CGUGGCUGAGAUUGCAACCAUCGGUCGCCUCAGGCAUCCGAAUUUGGUUCGACUUCUCGGUUAUUGCAGGCGCAAGCAGGAGUUGCUUUUGGUUUAUGACUACAUGCCUAAUGGAAGCCUUGACAAGUUUCUUUACCACCAACCUAAUAGCAGCCUUUAUUGGACACAAAGGUUUAAGAUCAUCAAGGACGUAGCUUCCGCGUUGUUCUGUCUGCACCAGCAAUGGGUGCAAGUCAUCAUUCACAGAGAUAUCAAGCCUGCCAAUGUGCUGAUAGACAGUGACAUGAACGCUCGACUAGGAGAUUUCGGGCUGGCAAAGCAAUGCGACCUUGGAAAUGAUCCUCAAACCUAUCAUGUAGCAGGCAUGCUCGGUUACAUGGCUCCUGAGCUCGCAAGAAUCGGGAAAGCAAACACAAGCACUGAUAUAUAUGCAUUUGGAAUAUUCAUGCUUGAAGUUACAUGGCUCCUAUCUCUUGUAUCUCACCACCCAUGUUCGGACUAUAACACAUACCAUUUAUCUAAUUAAAAAAAAUAACCCAUCAGCCGAAUACAUUACAACUAACCUACCCAAUUUUAACCCAACAAAUAAACCCAAUACAUUAAACCUCUUAAACCAUCUAACCCACCCUCAGCCCAAAUACAUUUACAACCAUCAGCCCAAUACCCAUUAGCCCAACUACCUAAAUCCACUUGAAACCUCAAACCCAAAACAGAAAAUACCUAACCCUAGCAUUCGACGCCGAAUUAGCCUCCCCACUUGCCCACCUGCCCUCUGACACCAGCACCAUUCCCUGCACCACCGGUCAACUCCCAUGCCCAUCCCCUGCAAUCAGUAAGGCAGACAAGACAGAAAUAAUAGGAAAAUAGAGAAAAAAGGGUUAUAAAACCCGAAUCAAGAAUUGUAAAAAAGGUUCGGGAGUUUAAAAAAACGAAAAGAAAUAAGAAUAACAUUCGAUUCCAGAGCAAAAAUAAGCAAUCCAAUCAGCAUUUGAAUACAAGAACAACAUCCAAGCAAUUCGAAUACCAAAGAUUGAAGAAUCAAAAGUGAGAAAAGUCUAAGGUGAUUCUAUAAUUUUAGUUACUGUUUUAGGUUCGUUUUUGCAUACACAUAUAUUAAAAAGACAACAAAUAUACAAAGAUAUAAUAUAAAAAAUAUAACAAAAAAUAAAUAAAUAAAAACUGUUUUAGGUUCGUUUCGGAAUCCUUCCCCUCUCCCUCCUCUCUCUUUUUCUCUCUUCUUCUCUUUCUUUUUUUUUUCUUUUUUCCCCUCACAAAUGAUUUUUUUCUAAAAAUAGGCCUAUUUAUAGCCCUCCGAAACGCCGUCGUUUUGGUGGCUGUACUUAAGCCCCAAAACGACGUCGUUUAAGCCCUUACCCGAUCCGACCCGACCCGUCCGGCCUAGGGUCGGCGUGUUUUUUAACGGAAGGGCUAAUUGCGCAUUUAGCCCUUCUGCUUUUUUAUUAAUUUACAAUCAAGUUUUAAUUUAAUUUAAUUUGGACCUGAAAGUUGUUGCGUGAUUCGAUUUAGUCCCUUUGCUGUUGUGCGUUUUAAAAUAGUUCAGAAAAUUGCAGUUUUGGCCCCCCACUGUUGCACGCGUGUUCAAAUAAGCCCUUUUUCUUGCUUUUUAUUUCGAAUUCGCCCCUAAAUUUUGUUUUACCUUCGAUUUAGUCCUUUUUUGUGUUAGUUUGCUGUUUUAUUUUCAAAUUACUCAUUAUUAUUUUCUGAUAUUUACUAUUAUUAUUAAUUAUAAUCUCUGUAUUAUUAUUAUUAUUAUUGUAUUUAUUAUAUGUAGUAGUGUACAUUUUAUUAUACACAUAAACGAAUAUAUAUUCAUGUAUAGCAUCAUUUUUAUUACUUUACUUUAAUAUUUUUAUUAUACUUAUUUAUUAGCAUUUCAUUACUAUUAUUUUUUACUUAAUACCUAUGUAUAUUAUAGUAUUAUUAAUAGUUUUUGAUAUUAUUGUCUUUUGUUAAUAUAUUCGUAUGUCAUAUACAUUCUUUUAAUAUAUAUAUUAUACUCUAUAUUAUGCAUAUUUUUUUAUAUAUCAUAUCAUUCAUAUAUUUUAUUAUAGUAUGUAUAUAUUUUAAUAACUAUAUCAUGUAGGUAUUCUUAACACUAUUAUGUGCAUACUUUUAAUAUUAUCAUUAUUAUUAUCAUUGUAUAUCUAGUUAUAUUUUUAAAUAUUUCGUUUUUACUAUUAUAAGUAUAUAUAUAUUAUUACUAUUAUUAUAUUCAUUAUCCAUAUUAUUGGUACUAGUAUUGAUGUUCACUCAAUGUUAAUAUACGUAUAUAUAUGUGUACAUAUUUAUGUAGUAUGUUAAUAGUUUUUUUUAUUUAUUAUUAUCAUUUCUAAUAUAUAUAUACCGUAUAUGUUUCUAUAUAUAUUAUGUAUAUAUCAUUAUUUUAUUUAUAUUUAGUUUUAAUCUUAGUACAUAUAUUUUAUUAUACGUAUAUAUAUAUUUAUAUAGUAUCAUUUUCGUAUUAUUUAUUAUUAUACUUAUUUCCACUAUUGCCAUUUAUUAUAUUAUUUUAAUAUUAUGUAUUAUUUGGUGUACAUACAUCUUUUUAUUAUUAUUAUUAUUAGUAUAUAAAUAUAUUUCCUAUGUUAUUAGUAUUCCUAAUAUAUAUUGUAUAUGUUCUUAUCAAUGUUAGUAUGUGUUCUAUUUUGUGUAUAUAUCUUUAACAUAUAGGUAUGUAGUUAUGUAGUAAUAUUAAGAGUUGUCUUUUAGCAUUAUUUUAACAUUUUUAUAUAUUGUGUGUAUGUAUCUUUAAAUAUUGCAUUUUUAUAUAUGUUAUGUAUACACCUCUAAUACCAUAUUAUUUGUAUAUUUUUAUUUUUCAUAUCUUCUUGAAUACUAUUACAUGUAUAUAUAUACAUCUUUUUAAUACCACAUCAUAUAUAUACUAUUAUUUUAUUUAUUUUUAUUCCUAGUAUAUUUAUUAUUAAUAUUAGUAUAUGUAUUUUAUUAUAUGUAUAUAUAUAUACUUUUAUAAAUAGUAUUAUUUAUAUCCUUAUAUUUAUUAUUAUAAAUUUGUGUAGUAUUGUUAAUGUGUAUAAUUUUUAUGUUAUUAGUAUUUAUAAUGUAUCUUGCAUAUGUUCAUUUUAUAUUAUGUAGGUAUAUAUUACGUAUGUAUUUUAGUAUUACUAUGUAUACACUUUUCACUCUUAUCAUUACACAUACUUUAAUAUAUACAUAUAUAUAUAUAGCACUAUUAGUAUUUUUAAUAUUAUGUUUACGUCACUUCAUUUAUUAUUAUUAUAUGUUCACAUAUAUUCAUGAUUUUAUUUCGUGUUUAAUGCUAUUACUAUCAUGUUUAAUACCAUAUGCAUUAUUAUUGUUUUAUACUAUUACUAUUGCAUGUAUAUUGUUAAUGUUCUGUAUACUAUUUAUUUCGUAUAUUCUUAACUUUUUAUUAAUAUUUGUUUGUUCCGAGUUUAGCAUUAGUAGUUCAUGCCAUAGUGUAACAUCAAUUUUAGUUUUCUUUUACUUUUAUUUGUUUUCAUUCAUGUCUUUAAAUUAAUUUCAAUAAAUAAGGCAACGUGCCGAUUUAACAUUAAGUCGUUGAUUUCAUCGCUAUGUUGGGUGAACAUCAAUCGACUCGUGUUAAAGACGGAACACUCUUCUAAAAAACCCGAAAAACUAAAAUUUCUUAUCUUUUCAACCGGAUCACGAUUAAAUCUUACAUUAAACUCAUAUUUUUGGAAAUCAAGACAACGCGUGUUUAUAAGAUACCAAUUUUGGGCGUCGCGAGGGAGCUAAUACCUUCUUCGUGCGUAACUGACUUCCAAACCCUAUUUUUCUCUGGCUUAUGACGUAGACCUAAACUCGGCCUACUUUUGUUUUAAAAAAAUAAAUUUAUUAGGUAUCCGAUCACACCUAUAAAAAAGAUCGGUGGUGACUCCCUCUUUAUUUUAAAAUUAAACUUCAGUUUUUAAGUUUUCACUAAUCGCCACAAUUAGCGACCAAGCUAAAAUUUUUACGUCGCUACAGCUGGCGACUCCACUGGGGAAAGAUUUUUGAGAGUCGUGUCUGAAAUUAAACUCGCAUUGUCAAAAUUUUCAAAAUCCUUUGUUCAAAUUAACAUUUAGUCAUGAUCCUCAAAUCUUUGUUUUCAAAAAGUCAUGCAUUCGCAUUAUGUUGUAAACGUUUUUCUAACUCGCUUUGUCCUUUUUUUGUUUUUCAGCUUUAAGUUUUAUGGUUUUAGUUUUGUAGUUUUUUUUAAAUAAAACGUAAAGGUUUGUGAGUUUCUCCCCACACACCGUGCACCUGCAUUUUGCAUAACAUGAGCUCUCUACCCGAGCUCCGUCCGUUUAAGUGAAAGUAAACGUUAUGCCUUCGUGAGUUAACUCGUCCCUCCGCACAGGCUAGUGAAUACUUUCGGAUUACAUAUGACUUAUGCUUUCGUGAGUUAACUUGUCCCUCCGCAUAGGCAUAAGUGAAUGUAAUCCCUCGAGUUGAACUCGUGAGCCUGUCAUGGGCUAUGACCGAGGCUUCGUACUAAUCUUAGUAGAUGACAGUACGGACAAUUCAAGUACAUGUAUAGAACUGAAAUCACAUAUAGUAAACCGUACGAGCCACCUAAUUAGAGCCAUGCCGAACCUCCGUCCAUUAAUAGUCACCAAAAUAAGUACAUGGGAGAAACGCCUCUUCCCUUUUAUUUCUUUGACAUUUACACUUUCUAUUUUGAUUUUUCGUAAUUCAUGUUUAUUGUACUAACCAAGAUAUUUGUCUGUGUUCUUAUUUUGCAUCAUGCAUUAUAGGCAUCAUAUUAGAAAGGUGUUGACUAGAGAUUGGUUGCCAAAAAAAUGGGUUUCUAAUGGAAGAGUCAAUUAUACAAACAACCGAAAAGAAUGUCGUGGUUCGGGACUGGUCUCUAAAAACUCAGAAAGAAAAAGGGGAUAGUCUAGUGGAGGGAUGUAUUGCCAACCUGCCCGAGCACAUAACUGUAAAUGUUCACCAGAAUAACCUUGAAGAUUUGGUUCGGGUUUGGAAUCAGUGGGACUCAGACACUAGGGGUAUCUUCACUGAAAGAUAUGGGGACAUAGCCAACUUGAUCGGUGUCAAUGUAGAUGAACGAUUGAUCCAAGCCAUGGUCAGAUUUUGAGAUCCGGCUUACCAAUAUUUUACCUUCAAUCGAGAAGAUAUGACUCGGACUAUAGAAGAGUACGUUGCUUUGCUUCGUGUUGAAAAUGUGUAAUUCUAUAAAGUAUAUGUGAAGGAGCCUAAGCCGAUGACCUUUAAGAAAAAAUUAGUGAGAUUGACAGAAAUGACUGACGCAUGGGCUGAAAAAUAGAUAAAGAAGAAGAAUGAAAAUAUUUGCAUUCCAUGGUCUUCCCUACGAGAUUUGGUUUUCAACCAUCCCGACAUGUUGAAAAGGAUAAAUCUAUUCACUUUGGCCAUUUAUAGUUUGAUCAUCUUCUCGAAAGUCCUUGGACACAUAGAAGUUACGGUGGUGGAUUUCUUCAAAAGACUAAAGCAAGGGAUCAACCCUGUCCCAACUAUCUUGGCUGAGACCUUCAGAUCUUUAAAUAAUUGUAGGAAAGUGGGGAAGGGACGAUUUAUUGGAUACGCGUAGUUGCUCAAUGUUUGGAUUUUGAGUCACUUCUUGAAAGUAAAGCGCACACCGUUCCAUAUGUUUUCAAAAACAUUAACCCUGUUGGAAGCUUAUCUCAAGAGAGAAUGGCCAAAGGAUGUUACCGAAGAGCAUUGGGUUUCAGUUUUUCAGAACCUUCGAGCUGAAGAUGUAACCUGGAGAGCACUAUGGAUCCCCCCUUCGGUUCUGUUAUGCAAGGUGGGAAAUCAAGAUUGGGUACCACUACUCGGGCUAUGGGGAGGAAUUGGAUACGCUCCGUUAAUGGUCCAGAGACAAUUUUCUUCAUGACAAUUCAUAUCCGCCACUGGAGGAUUGGCACAGUCCGAGUUCGCUUUUGCAGGUGAAGGGUAUAUGAAGAGGGUCCGAGAUAUUGCAAAGUCUUGGAAGAAAAUUCAUCUGAUGGAAUUGGCUCUAUAUGCUGAUAUCCUCACCCAAGAUUACGACAUAUGGAGGAAGCAACGGGUGAAUAGUCAGCAAAUCUAGUCAACAUACUACACCGUCCAGAAUUCUUUCUCGGAGGAAAUGCCGUCUGAGCUAGAAAUGGCAAGACAAGAAUUUGAACGAGAAAAAGCCAAGAUGUCUUGGGACCUUAGUGCUUUUCAAGAGGAAAACUACCAAUUAAAGAUCGACGUUCAGAUUGAAAGAUCCAAAACCGAGAAAGUGCAAAGAGAGGCUGAAGUCGUAAGAAAUGACUUAAGAGAUCUCCAUCUGGAAAAUAAAAAGUUAAGAGGCACAAUAAAAAAUAGUGGGCUGGGCAAGUCGUCGACAGAAUGGAAAGAAGAAAUAAGCAACAUUAAAGGCAGAAUGGAAUUUUGGAAAGGAAAAGUGAAGAAAUAGGAGGAAAAGACUGCUCGGGCUAUGAUAGAACUAAGGAGGAAGAACGCCGAAUAUGAAACUGUGUCUGCUGAACUUACGAUUAGUCAGUCCGAACACCGAAAGUUAAAAGAGAGAAUACAUGAAUUAGAAGAUAUGCUGCAAAAUCAUCAACAAUAGUUAGAUACUCUCUUGGAGGCUUUGGAAGAAAAGAAUAGUCAAUAUGAUAGAGAUAUUCGUGCUUACGAAGAGAGCCUCCAAGAAAAGGAAAUGCAACUUAGCUAUUUGAUCAAUGAAAUUCAUGGGGUAGCCAUACACGUGGUACAAUUAUCGGAAGAAGCUAAAAUUCUAAUUUGCCAAUUCCCUCCAACUCGAAGAUCAAACAUAUCAGAUUUCUUAGCACGAGUAAAGAAAUAUGGCGAUAUAGCUAGGAAGUUUGUGUAAUGGCUGAAUCGAAAAUGGAAAAAUAUUUUGUAAUGGACUCUUUUGAUAAAUGAAAUGCCUAAAAUAGGGGUCGUCUUGAAAUCAACACUAAAUUCUCACAUAUUCAUGCAUGACUAACAUUCAUUUUACAUUUAUGCAUUCAUUCAUUCAUUCAUUGCAUAUCCCAUAAUCGUUCGCUGAGGUUAAAACAUGCAAUUCGCAGUUGUAAUACCAUAAGACUGGAACCACGUCAUUCGUAUAGAACACGCCGACAAGCUAGAGUAAUGGAGGCCGAAUUCAAUGAAAGGAUUGAAAGGAUAGAAAGAAUUCAAAGAGAAUUACAAGAGUAGUUGGCCAAGUCGCAGCAAGAGACAAGAGACUUAAUGGUGAGAUCUCAAGAAGAAUCACUCGAACAAAGAGACCAAAUGGCUAAGAUGAUAGAAAUGAUGUCAGCUCUAGUAAAAGGAAAGGGACCUAUGAACCCUAAAGUUGUGGAACCACAGUCAAGGGUUAAUCACGAUCAGGAUCCGCCCCAUCCGCCAGGAUUUACUCCACCACACGCCCACGCAACACAAAGAGGGUACACUCAAUGGGAAUCUACAGGCCUAGAGCAACGACCUGCGCCACCUGCUAACCUGGGGCAAGGAAUGUUCGUAUCAAACCCGGGGGCUAGUCCUGCUGAUCCACUCUUCCAGAUUUGGACGAUCCAGCAGAGAUAGCCAGGUUGAAAUCAGAUAAUCACGAUGCAAAUGAGAAAUAUAGAAGCCUAGAGGAAAGACUCAAAGCGAUAGAAGGCACUGAAGUCUUCUCCGCACUAGGUGCUAAAGAACUCAGUUUGGUGCCCGAUCUAAUCCUGCCUCUGAAGUUCAAGGUGCCUGAUUUCGAAAAGUACGGUGGGACAAGAUGCCCAAAAGUGCAUCUCAUCAUGUUCUGCCGGAAGAUGACAGGCUAUGUGAACGAAGAUAAGCUACUCAUACAUUAUUUUCAAGAUAGUCUAGUAGGAUCGGCUCUUCGGUGGUACAACCAGCUUAGUAGGGAAAAGAUUCGAUCCCGGAAGGACUUGGCAUCAGCAUUCUGUGAGUAGUACAAGCAUGUAUCGGAUAUGGUGCCAGACCAGAUGACCUUGCAAAUGAUGGAGAAAAAACCGUCAGAAACUUUUAGACAGUAUGCGCAGAGAUGGAGGGACGUCUCGGCCCAAGUGGAACCCUCACUAACAAAAAUGGAGAUAACCGUUCUCUUUAUCAACACUUUAAAGGCGUCGUUCUAUGACAAGUUGGUAGGAAGUGCCACAAAAGACUUUGUGGAUAUUGUGAUAUCCGGGGAACUUAUUGAAAAUGCCAUAAAGAGUGGAAGGAUGAAGGUUCUGACAGUUCAAGAAGGACAGCACCCGUAAAGAAAAGAGAGCCAGAAACCCAUAUGGUGGGAGCUGGAAGCCAUUACACUCCAAACCCAUAUCCAAACCAACCCCGACCUCGAAAUUAUCCACCUCCGAAUUUCUAUUAUCCCCCUCAAACCCCUUAUUACCAAGCACCACCUCCUUCCUACCCCGUAUACGCCACAAACAACUAAAGACCCGUCACCACAUUCCCACAAAACACUGUACCUGCUCAAAGCCAAUCCAGAAAUGAACCAAGACCCGCAAGGUCCAAUCUUGAGAGACCGCAAUUUACUCCUAUCCCUGUGUCGUAUGGGGAAUUAUACCCAAAACUUUUGGAGAAACAACUAAUAUCUCCCCAUUACAUGGCACCCCUUAAACCUCCAUACCCGAAGUGGUAUGAUUCAAACGUUAGUUGUGCAUACCAUGCUAGGAAUCAGGGGCAUUCCACGGAGAAUUGCCUAGCCUUUAAGAGAAAAGUUCAAGGACUCAUUGAUGCAGGCAUCCUACGAUUCGAUAGUGCCAGUAAUGCAACUGGGAACCCGUUCCCUAACUAUACCGAAGGGAAUAUGAGCGCAGUGGGGAAAGAGGAUGAAUGGCAAGUCAGAAGAUAUGUUUUAGAAAUAAAGACGCAUGUGCAGAAAAUUUGAGAGGUACUAUUUAAGAAAGGAUUACUCUGUCACCCCGAUAGAAUUUUCAGAGAAGAAGGUCAAAGUUUUUACGAUUUCCAUGGAAUUGUAGGACACGAUAUUCAAGCGUGUAAGGAAUUUAAAAGGGUGCUCAAGACCAGAUGGAUAAUAAGGAGAUUAAGGUCCUUAACAAAAAGGUAGAGGCCAACGAAAGAUAAGUAUGCGCCUCUGACAGCCAAUCAUCAGGUCUCCAUUAUAGCACUGAUCAGCCGUUAGUAAUUUAUUACGACGCGAAGAAGGAGCCGGUGAAAACGAAAGUGAUAAUCGAAGUACCAUAUCCUUUCCCUUACAGGGACGACAAUGCGGUACCGUGGAAAUAUGACGUCAACAUUGUCACACCUGAAGUUGAAAAGUCCGAAGCCACAACUGGAGAUGUUGGGGAGGUAGGCCAUUUUACCCGCAGUGGGCGAUGCUAUUCUAAAGAAGUCAAGCUGAAAAGAAGAAUAGUGACUUGAAACAGAAAGAAAAAGCACCAAUGCAUGUGACCGAAGAUGAGCAUGAAACUGUGCCUGAACAAGAAGCUAAAAAGCUUGUAGACGAGGAGGAAGCACAGGAAUUCUUAAAAUUUAUUAAGUACAGUGAGUACAACAUGGUGGAACAAUUGAGUAAGCAGCCAGCACGAAUCUCGGUAUUAUCUCUACUGUUAAAUUCAGAGCCACACCGGAAUGCCUUGUUAAAUGUGUUGAAUCAAGCUUACGUGGCAAACAAUAUAUCCGUUGAGAAGCUUGAUAGAUGGGUGAAUAACCUAAACGUGGAUAAUUUCAUUUCUUUUAGUGAUGAUGAAAUACCACCUAAUGGUAGAGCUCAGUGAAAGCAUUGCAUAUCACAACCCGUUGUAAGGGUUACAUAAUACCGAACGUGCUUAUCGAUAAUGGGUCGACACUCAAUGUCAUGCUUUUGGCCACGCUUUCCAGAAUUCCGAUGGAUCUGUCCUAUUUAAGGCCUUGUCAUUCCACAGUAAGGGCAUUCGACAAGACAAGGCGUGAAGUCAUGGGAAAAAUCGAAAUCCCUCUAGAAGUGGGUCCCUACAUAUAUGAUGUCGAGUUCCAAGUCAUAGACAUUACACCCUCAUAUAACUGCCUUUUGGGAAGACCUUGGAUCCAUUCCGUUGGAGCGGUCCCAUCAUCCCUCCAUCAAAAGGUGAAAUUUAUCAUGGAUGGCUGUUUGGUCACUGUCGAGGGAGAAGAAGACAUUGUAGCAUCUAUUUCUACCGACGCACCAUACAUUGAAGUGAGUAAAGAUGCUAUAGAAUGUUCCACAGCAACUUCAGGGAAACAAGAUCUACAAUCUUCAGCCUACUCCACUACAACUUUAGGGAGCUAGGAUGGUGCUUAAAUCUGCUUCACUGCAGCUUCAGGGAAACAAUAUCUACAAUCUUCAGCCUACUCCACUACAACUUUAGGGAGCUAGGAUGGUGGCUUAAAUCUGCUUCACUGCAACAUCAGGAAGCCUAGAUUCACCGUCUUCGAUCUGUUCCACUGCAAUCUCAGGGAAACAAGAUUUACAAUCUUCAACCUACUCCACUACAACUUUAGGGAGCUAGGAUGGUGGCUUAAAUCUGCUUCACUGCAACAUCAGGAAGCCUAGAUUCGCUGUCUUCGAUCUGCUCUACUGUAAUCUCAGGGAAACAAGAUCUACAAUCUUCAGCCUACUCCGCUACAACUUUAGGGAGCUAGGAUGGUGGCUUAAAUCUACUUCACUGCAACAUCAGGAAGCCUAGAUUCACCGUCUUCAAUCUGCUCCACUACAAUCUCAGAGAAACAAGAUCUACAAUCUUCAGCCUACUCCCCUACAACCUUAGGGAGCUAGGAUGGUGGCUUAAAUCUGCUUCACUGCAACAUCAGGAAGCCUAGAUUCGCCGUCUUCGAUCUGUUCCACUGCAAUAUCAGGGAAACAAGAUCUACAAUCUUCAGCCUACUCCACUACAACAUUAGGGAGCUAGGAUGGUGGUUUAAAUCUACUUCAGUGCAAUAUCAGGAAGCCUAAAUUCCCCAUCUUCGAUCUGCUCCACUAUAAUAUCAGGGAAAUAAGAUCUUCUAUGGUGACUUCAAUCCAUCCCAUUGCAUCUUCAAGGGUGUAGGAUUUUUAUUUCUUUGGUCUAUCACGCUGUUCUUUGGAGAACAUGACCUGUUGAAUCUAUUUCAUGGGCCAAUUUAUGCCAAAUGAUUUAGGAUUUCAUGACUCGAAUGAAUCAGAUGAUCCUAGGUAGAUGUGUAUGAAUGACGUUUGUAUGAAUGCAAAAUGUUAUUUUUAAUGCUUGAUUUGAUAUUACUCGUCGUUCACCGAGGUUUGAUCAUUGACGUAUUAUUCUGUCGUCUUGUUUAGCUGGCAUUCUUAAUAGAAAACUCGAAGAAACAAUCUCAUCUACUCGACAAGCUUGCCCCACUUAAACUUUAUGGAGUUUUUUGCUUAUUCAACCCACUACAACUCAGGGUAAUUAAUUUGAUCUGUUACACCAUUCUCUGGGUGUAAUGACUCGUGGUAUAUGCUCGAUAUUUGUAUGAAUGUAGAGUAUCAUUUUUUUCUCGAGAAUGACCCUCUUUUACACUUAGGUUGACAUUGCUCGUUAUUUGUCGAGGUUGUAUCACCAACGAAAUACCUUGCUUCUUUAUUCAACUGAUAUCUUUGACAGAAAAUUUGAAGAGAUAGUCGCAAUUUAGACUCCUCUUUCUCAAGCAAUUUCAACCCUUAGGCUUGGUGAGUUCUAAAUGAUGGUCCUGUUUCAGGUUCUUAUACUGUUUAGAAGCCUCCAGAGUAAUAUACAUAACUUCUUUUGUGAAAGUUUUAUUAGUCCAUUAAUCAUUAUUUCAAUGCUUGAAAAAGAUCAAAACAAUAGACAAGAAGGAGAUUGAUUUAGAGCGUAGCCCGAAAUAAAUAAAUUAAUCAAAGAUUGCAAAUGCAAUAAGGAGACAAUUAAUUAAACGUGAAUAAGUUAAUCAAAGAUAGUAAUGCAAUAAGAAAGAGGUUUAUUGGGAUGUAUCUUGAAAAGAAUAAGGUAAUCAAAGAUAACAAAUUUAAAAAUGGGUAGAAUGGAAAACUAGGUGCCCCAGAUAUCGCCGCUUGAGCUUCUUUGUACCAACUUCUUUGAGGACCUUUCUAACCUUAAUAUGUGUUUAAGGGAUCCGGAGUACUUUGUCGAUGCCCCAAGACGUAGUAUACUUCGUUAUUGUUAAUUUAGGCAUAGCAAGACUGUUGUAUGCCCCACUUUGAUCCAAAUUUGAGCUGCCCUUUUCGGGUUUUCAACUCAAGUCCCCUUUGGUCUUAAGGCGCCCUUUGUGGGUUUUUGCCUUGGCCUCUCUCUUUCUUUUCUUUUCUUCUUCUUCUCCCUUUUUUUUUAGAUCUUAAAGCGCCAUUUGCGGGUUUUCACCUUGGCCUCUCACUUUCUAGGUGAAAUACUUCUUGUCGAAAUCCGAAUUCACCGAUUUGGGCAAGUCUUUGCCAUCCAUUUCUGCUAAUAUUAAUGCCCCUCCAAAAUAGGCCUUCUUUACUACAUAAGGUCCUUCUCAGUUUGGCAUCCACUUUCCUCUUAAGUUCUUUUGUAUAGGAAGGAUCUUCUUCAAUAUCAAGUUCCCCUAGAGGAAUUCUCUAAGAUGGACCUCUUCAUUAUAAGCUCAUAUCGUUCAUUGGACCAUAACAGAUGGCUUUCAACCUUUUUUCUUCAAAUUCAACUGAUCAUAUCGGGAUUGGAUCCAUUUUCUUUAUCCAACUUCAACUCUAUCAAGACUCAGAGACAAGGCAUCUCCUCUUCAAAAUUGUUUUUAUCCCAUAGACUAAUGAAAUAUGCUGCCCCGGUGAAGGUCUUGGUCAACGUUCGAUAAACAUGGUGACUUCUUAUGCUAAUCUUUGCAAGUCUCGAUCAUCUGCCCCAUGAUUUUUAGUUUGUUGUUGGGUUCCUCUCUCUCUCUCUUUUUUUACCUUUGCCUUUGCCUUUGCCUUAGCAAUAUAGCGCCUAAUCUUUGAACAGACUGCAAACUUUUGACAUUGUUUAGUUAUGUUGGACAUGAUCUUCUCUGGUAUUUUUUAGUACCUCUUUUGGAACUUGAUGAGUGUCGACUUAGUGAUAUUGGCAUAUGAAACAACUUUCACCCUUUUCGCGGAGUAAUCGACGACCCUAAAGACGAAUCAGUAUCGGUUAGAAGUUUUCAAAGAGAUCGGCCCAUAACUUCCAUGCCCCACAUAGAUAAAGUUUACGAAGAAAUGAAAGGGUAUAUGAAUCUUGUCUCCAUAAAUUUAGCAUUUGCGGCAUAAUUGAUGCAAUUCCCUUCUACGUUAGACCAGUAGAAUUCGAAUAUCAUGAUUAGCCUGGUCAUUAUAAAAACAUUAGCAUAUGCUGUUCAAACAUCUUGUAGCAUCCUCAUGUCUUAGUAAGCCAAGCAUAUCUUGAUGCGAUCAUGUGAAAACAUAUUUAACUUCUUGGAAUGACUCAAUGAUGUCUUGUUUUGUCUUUGUGGUAAUGCAGGCUCCAAUAUUUGCCCUUUUCUCUUGUUUUAGGCUUGCCAACCACUGACUCUUUCUAAGGUGGAAUCCCCUUUUUCAAUCUUAUUCUACCGUCCUUAACAAAUCAAGAGAUAGGCUACAUCUCUGUCAUCUUUAAAGUGCUGAGAUUCCUUUAGGCCCAUAUUUCGCUCAAAAGGAGACUCGGAGUUAAUGACAUCGUUGCUCACAUCAUUGAUAUCCGGGGACCUGCUGAAGGCAGAUUCCAAAGAAUAAAUGAUUCUAAGGAUGAUUAUUUAUAUAGAAUGAUCAUGAAUGAAAAUAUUUGAAAGAUUAUCCAAAAUAAAAGAAUUUAAAAAUAAUUGUUUGUACGGUAUGAAAUUGAAAGAAUAAAAAAAUAUUUACUCAAAAUGAUAACAAACAUGCAUUUUAUUGAAAUAAAGAUUUUGGAUAUAAGCCUAUUUCACAAAAGGAUUCUCAUUGCUUCUAGGCUUAAAACAACAAGCGUGUUUUGAAUAUUACUCUAGAUUAGCCCUAAAAAUACAAGAAUUUCCUCCACAGUCCCAUUUUUCAAAACAUUCCCAAACAUGUCAAGGGCAGAUACUUGAAAAAAAAAUUAUUCCCGGGUUCCCUCUUCUGAUACGUCUUUAAUGUUCGGAUUUCCCAAUACCAGGUCUUACACUAGAGUUCUGAGCUCAAUGUGUCAUUGGAUCUCAUACCCCUAUCCAUCAUGGAACUCGUAAUGUCCACCCCUUUAACAGAAAGGUUGGAUAACAGGUUUCCUACUCCAGAGGGAUCAUCGAAUUUCACGAUUCCCAAUUUGAUAAAUCUUUCGAUUAAAAUUUUAAAGGUGAUACAGUUUUCGAUGGAAUACCCCGUGAUUCCCGCAUGAUAUUCAUAUUAGCUACUUACAUUAUACCAUUUAGGGUAUGGAGGCUGUAUUGGUUCUAUGUAAAAAGGGGAUACGACAUGUGCAUCGAACAAAAUAUGGUACAACUCCCUGUACGUGAUUGGGAUGGGCGUGAAUUGGGGUUUUUCUGAGUUCGUUCUUCGAUUGAACCCUUGUCUUGGGGAGACUUGAUGGCUGGUAGUUACCUUCGAAAGGCCCUUGUUAUACCUGCUCGCGUCAUUCUAUUUAUUUUUCUUCUUCUUCGAGGCCUUUAGAGUCCACUAUCCCUUUUCCUUCAUUUUUGCCAGAACAACUGGUUUGGCUCUAUCAUCUUCUGGGUUAAAACCUGAACCCAUGGGGAAGUUCAACAGUGCCAAGUAUUAGUUUGAUAUUGGGGUCCGAUAAUGACGGGUACCCCUUGUAUGUUUGGUUAGGUCAGGACGUUUGUCGGGGUAAAACCUGAGGAAUAGACGAUGUCUUCAAUAUCAUCUUCACUAUUGACCACUGGGCCAUUCCUUUUUUCAAGUUCUCCGGCCAGUAAUUGGGUUAACUGGCCUAUCACAUUUCUUUGGACUUCUAGCAUUUGUUAUCGCAUAUCUCGUUGAAUUCUGAUCAAUUGCUCUUGCAUCUGUAUUUGCCUUUGCUCUAUUCUCUCCAACAAUUGGUCCAUAUCCUUUAUCGAUUCUGAAAUAAUUUCACCUAAUUAGGGCCCUUUAGUAAAAGUUUAAUGCAAACGAUGUAAUACAAUGCAAAUGCAUGGAAUGAAUGCAAAAGAAAGGAAUGCGUUGAUUCUGAAUUCAAUUCCAUUAGAACAACUUUUCUAGAAAACAAAUUCCCUUACAUAAAAUGAAUUACAUAUACAGCCUUUCUCUCAUGUUCCAAGCGAAGACACCUAUCUUCCUCUUCAUAUCCAGAUGUUAUGGUUGAGUCUUGCGAAUUCUCCAAAAGAUGUCUUUAUUAACUCCUUUUUACUUGAUCUAGGCUGCUACUCAUUGAUCACUUAUCCUCGCGAUACUCGUCGGCUCCUUUAAGAAAGUUAAGACGUGGCGACUCUCGAAUAAUCUUUGUCAGCUUGAAUCCUCGGGCAAUGAAACAAAGUUUUGUAUUACUCCAUUACAUAUGCAGUCUUGCCCUCAUAUUCUAGGCGAAGACACCUAUCCUCCUCUUAAUAUCCGGAUGUUAUGGUUGGAUCUUAUGAAUUUUCCAAAAGAUGUCUCUAUUAUUUCCUUUCUGCUCAUUUGGAUUGUGGCCCAUUGCUCACUUAUCCUCGCGCUGCUUGUUAGCUUCUUUAAGACACGACGGCUCUCGAAUAAUCUUUGUUAGCUUGAACCCUCAGGCGAUGAAGUAAAGUCGUGUACUUUUUAUCAACCUUCCUUCAUUGUGUUUACUUGAACCAUAUUUAACAACCGAGUUAUAAUCCACUUUAUCAAGAAAUUCGUUUUCUUAUGACAAACUAUUCUAUUUAGCAAUCGAAUAUGAAUCAACACCUCCUUUCUAUGAUGAUGUAAUGCAAUGCAGUUAUAAACAAAAAAAAAACAAAACACGUUAGUAGAGAAGAAAUAAAUAACAAAUAAAGCACCUAUUCGGGUGACUGCUAGGGGUUCGGAGUGGCUCUACCUAAGGUAAGCUCCUAGGUCCUCUAUAUGUGGUUCGGUUCUAAAGUAAGGGUACCUGAACUAGCAGAUUCCUCGAUCCUUACCCAUUAUAGGCUCAUAUGGGCCGAGUUCAGUUCAGGGGGAUACAUUUCCCUAUGGCUGCACGGAGAUGAAAAUCUCACGAAGACAUAGGUACUGAUGUAUCCCGAAAGCAAUCCACUAGCCCAUGCGGAGGUGAAAACCUCACGAAGGUAUAGUUUCUCACUCCCACUUAAAAGGUGUGACCACAACAGUCAUGCAAUGCAAUGUGCGAGGAUAUAUACAUAAGAAAACCCGAGGCAAUAAAGAAAAUAGAACUAAAACAAUGAAAAUCGUAAGAAAAAUGGAUGAAGUGCAAUGAAGGGAUCGUAGGUUUAAAACAAAUUUUCAAUUUCGACCAAAGACAAAAAUUAAUUAAUUUAUGGCUCGACUCUCAAUUCCCCAGUGGAGUCGCCAAGCUGUCGAAACCAUUUUUUUGAAAACGGGAAUCGACUUUGGUUUUGAAAAUGGAAACGAAAAUUGGGAGUCGCCACCAAUCUUUUUUGUUUAGGUGUGAUCGGAUCACCGAGAAGUUUGGUCAUUUUAAUAAAGCAUUUUGGUUUACUAAAACAAUGAUUUUGGUCUACGAAAUCUGAGAAAUCGGGUUCGGGAGUCGGUUAAGUGUGAGGAAGGGUUAGCACCCUCGUCACGCCCAAAAUUGGUACCUAAUCGAUUAAUUAACGUUUUAAUGUCGAAAGUUGAAAAGACUUUAAAAUAAACUUUAAAAUAUGAUCCCUUUUUAUGAAUGUUUGGAUAACUCAAAGUGGGUAUUAAGAUUCUUUUUGUUUUGAGGAGAUAAAAUAUCACAUCCAGCACGUAGGACACAUCGUUUCAAACCUUCGAUGCCAAAACUAUCUCAUGAUUCCCAAAACUCAUGCAUUGAAAUUUUAAAAAGGAUAUUUGGUUGUUCGGUCAAAUGAUAAGUCGAAACCCAGCACGUAGGGCACGAUUUCUCGAAAUUUCCAAACACGAAAUAUUGCCUUAUUUGCAAAAAAUCUUAUCUCGAGGUAAUAAGAUGUCAUAUCCAGUAAGUUAGGGCACAAUACCUCAAAUCUCAGAGAGUAAGCAUUUUAUUUAAAACUCGUAGCAUUUUAUUUAAAACUCGUAUUGUGAUUUAAAAGGAAUAUGUCGUUAUUUAGGUUAAACGAGAAAAAUCGAAACCCAGUAAGUUAGGGCACGAUUUCUCAAAUUUCCCAAACACGAAAUGUUGCCUUAAUUAGAGAAUUUUCUUUUUAUGAAAUAAUAGCAAAUAUGAAAUUUAAAACGAUGUGUAUUUAUGGUAAUAUGCGAAUGAGAUCAUUAUGUUGAUAAGUAAUGAGAAUAUGAAUAUACUAAUAAGAAAACAACUCAUAAUAAUCACAUAAUUUUUAACUAUUUGAUAUGAACGACUAAAUAAGAAAAUAACUAACAUAAGAUAAUGACAUAAAAAUAAUAAUAACAAUGAUAACAAUGAUGAAAUCUAAAUUAAUAACGAUUAAAAUAAAUAAACACAAAGGCAAAAUAAAAGAAAAUAAGAAGCAAUUGUAAAACAUGAUGAAGGAAAUAAUGUAUGGAAACGCAAAAUAAGGUAACCAAUAUGGAAAAUGUACAUGAAUAACAUAUUAUACAAAUUAUUGAAAAAUACAAACAUGAAAAUCAAAACAUUCCCAAUGAUAAUAAUCUUUACCACAUACACUAUUUAACAUUUCUAAAUAAUGAUUAAAUAAAAAUCUAUCUUAAGAAAAACUUUUAAAAGGUAAUAAGCAAUGUUAAAACAAAUGAACUUGAAAUAGAUAAUGUAAGACAAAGAAUCCAAAAGUAAUUAAAUUAUAUGUAUAUAAACAAAUGAUACAUGCAAAAAUUUGAAAUAAGUCAUAAAAGGAAUAAAUACUACUUAAAAUAUAAAGUUUAACAUAUAAACAAAUUUCAAACAAGUAAGAAAUUUAGAUUAGUGCUAUACAAAACAAUUUAAAACAAAAUUUACAAAUAUAACAUAAAUUAUACACACAAAAAUAAUAAUGUAUGCUCAUAUAGAAAUUUUGAAGCAAAUUAUGUAUAUAUUAGAAAAUUUUAACAUGAAUGAAUAAUAUACAAAGGAAUAUAUGUGUGAGUAACAAUCUAUAUAAGAUAAAACCAAUAAUUACACAAAAUAAUUUGAAACAACGUUUAUUAAUCAAUAAUUAAUCAUGUACAUAAAGGGAAAUACUUAGUAUAAAUAGUACAUAUAUAAAAAUACUGAUGGAUGAGAGUAUAAAAAAACAAAAUAUAUAGUAGAUAAGAUAUUUGACAAGAAUGAAUUAUAUAUAUAAAUGAAUUUAAAAAGAUAAUAUAAAUAUCAUGAAAUUAAUAACGUUCAUAAAAUAAAACCGAUUUUGAUAUAAACUAUAUAUGUAUUAAUUAAUAUAUAAGAGUAAUUAAAUUUAAUAUCAUACAAAAAUUUAAAGCAAUAUGAUAAUAAAUAAAGUCUUAAAAUAAUAACUAUAAUAAAAAUAAUAAUAAUAAUAAUGAUAAUAAUAAUAAUAUAAAUAUAUAUGAAAAAAUAGUAAUAAUAAAAUGAUUUAAAAUAAGUUAUAUGUAUAUAUAUAAAACUCAAAAUGAAUAAUAAUAAUAGUUUUUUAAAAAAACAAAUAAUUAAAUAAAUUGAACAUAUUAAGGACUGAACUGCGAUCAAAAUAGAAUUAAGGGUACAAAAAAUAAAUAAAAAAAACAAAUAAGGACCGAAAUGGGGCGGACUAAAACAACUGGGGAUCUGAUGGAAAAAUAGACCAAAGUUCGGACACGUGUCCAUUUCUAAGAGUUCAGCAUGCCAAUGGACUAAAUCAAAACAUACGAUAAAUAUUUGGGCAAAUUUAAAAAACAAAAGAAAACUAAAUCAGAGCAGCCCAUAAAUCAGAGGGACUGAAGGGAAAAAUAUCCCAAAGAAGUAAAACGCGCGGAUCCCCCUUAGUAGCGGGUCGGGUCACGUGUUAAUAUGCCCCAAACGACGCCGUUUCGACGCUGGGGGCCCUGGUCUCCAAACGGCACCGUUUUGUGCCUGUAUAAAAAACCGUUUUUUUGUUUUAAAAUUAUUAUGUUGCUUCAACAAAAAAAAAAGCAGAAAGGGCUCUCCUUUCUUCUCUGCUAGGGUUUCAAAACCCUAGCUUUUGCGCCACCAUCGCCUAUCCACGCUCCUCCGCCAUGGACGGUGGUUGGAGUUUUACAAAUCAGGGCCUUUAGCCCUUGUUUUAGCCCCGUUUGAAAGCCAGGCGUACUUAGCCCUCGAAUAAAAAAAGAAAGCUCUCCCCUUGUCCUCUUUUGAUUCAGUUUUGAAGACGGAGAGAACUCCGACGACGUAACCGUGAGGUGAUCCAAGUAAAUUUCUUCCUUCUUCUUUUUUGUUUUCGUUUACAUAUCUAAAUAAAAUAUAAAGUAAUCAAAGAAAAAAAGAAAAAAAGAACAAGAAUUUAAAACGAAAGUAAAAAAACCUUUGAAGCUUUUCUCUGUUUUUUUUCUGUUUUCGAUUUCUUUUUAAAAAACAUCUGUAAUACAAUAUUUUUUCUUUUUUUAAAAAAAACCCCUUUACAUUUCUGUUCUUUGGCUAUAUAGCCGAAUCCCCCCUUCUAUUACUGUUCUCUCUACUUUGUAUUAUUUCUGCCUCUGUUCUCUUUUGUUUUGUUUGCUGCUUUGGUUUUGCAAGUGUCAGAGGAGCGAUGGGAUGGUGGCGUGCUGCAAGCAUGGCCAAGAGAGGGGUACGGCGCACAUGGGGCUAGGGAGGCGCGGCGCCAAGGAUGAGCUAGGGUUUUUGCCUAGCUGAAAGUUUGUUUAGGUCUGGGCCUGUUAAUUGGGCUUAGGGUUAAAUCUGUUUUGGGCUUGUAAUUGGGUAAUGGGCUAGGUUUAAUUUGGUUUGGUUUUAUUGGGCCUCGGGCAAAAUUUGGGCCUUACAAUUGUGUCAUAAAAAUAGGUGAUAUUGGCAAUUUAUUAUCCCCAACCCAAUUUUACUAUUUAUUCCAGGCCAUUUGGAUGAUCAUUUUUUAAUUAGGAUCAUUUAUGUAAAUAAUUAAUUUUUGAGGGUCAUUUGAGUAAAAUAACCGUUAGAACUAAGCAACUAGGUAUGCUUUGGAACCAUUCUCUUGGAUAAGACAAUAAAAUUUUCUUUUUAUAGCAGAUUUUUUUUAUUUUGUCAAUUUUUUAAAAUUAAGAUGAUGUCCUACAUCAAUAAAAAAUAUUUCUAUCCUUUUCUGUAUAUUUAAAAGUAUUGAUAUUUUUUAAAAAGUUUUAAUUGGUAUUGUCUAAAUAACGGUAAUAUACAUUAUAAAAGUAUUUUUUCUUCAUUGUGAAUACUCAUAUUUUUCACUAAUAUUUUAAAAAAUACAUACGAUAUUGCCUGACACAAUGACGACACAAAUUUUUUUUUUUAGACAUUGAUGAUUAGGGGGAAAAUACGUGUAGUUUCAUUGGUGUGUCAGUGUAGUUUCAUUGGUGUGUCAAGUUGUACUAACAAAUACUAUAACAAAUGGGUCAUAUUCGUAUUUUUUUUUCAACUCAUUUUUGUAAUUAACUAAUUUUUAAGGAUUAUUUUUAUAAAAAUCUACUUCCAAAGUGAAAUAGUAAUACCAUUACCCAAUAUUGAGCUCGCUUUUCAGUAACUAGAGGCCCAAUAAUUAUUAAAUAACUUUUUUGGAAUAAUAUUUAUUCAAUUUAGUGCUUAUAGAACUAGUGAAAUUGGUUUGGACGAAAUUUAUACAUAAUAUUAAUAUAUUUUGUCCGUGGUUACUCAGUUCAACUUAAAUAUAGAAUUAUAUUUUUAUCUAAAGUUAUUUAUGUUUGUAACUAAUCAAUUCAAGUUGGUUUAGAUUAGUGUGUAUAUAUAUAUUAAAAUGUUUUAAUUUAAAUUAAUAUUUUAAUUUUUUAUUAAAUCUAAAAUAUUAACAAUUUAAUAUAUAUUACUAAUAUUUACAUAGUAUUUAUAUUACUAUAUAUUCGAUUUUAUGUGAUAUAAAUUGUAUAAUAUGUAAAAAUUAAAAUAAAAAAUAUAUUACAAAAAGUAUAAAGCGGGUUGAGCUAAGCUUCGACUUUAUAUAUUAGAGUUCAAGCUUGGUCCAUAUGUUAAAUGUUUCUUAUUUUUUCAAGCUCAUUUUGGGGCCUUAUGCUAUUAUCUAAUCCCUUUCGUAUUUUAACCGAACUUUUAAACUUUAAUUUAAUCUUAUAAUUUUAAGUAAAUGAAUCCUUAUAUUUCUUCGAUUUAAUAAUGUUAAUAGGACGUGACAAGUUAAUUAAGAUACAAGUGAUGAAGUGAAAUAUUUUGUCUAUUUGACCAUUAAAUUUUUAAAUGGAUUUAAGGCCAAUUUUUUUGAGUAUUUUUAAGUUUUUUUUUAAAUAACAAUACUUUAAUUUAGUCUAUAAUUUUAAGGCGAUAUAUAAUUAUUUAAAAUGUUGGUCCAAUUAUUACAUGCGAUAAUUUUUCUACUAAUAAUAUUGAGAUCAAUAUUUUCAGAUUUAGACUAUAAUUAAACCGAUCAAAUCAUCAAUUCUCACCUUAAAAUUGAUUCUUGAUCAAUACCCUUUUCAAUUAUGAGUUGAAUUUGGUUCCACAACGUGACGUUAAACCAAAAUGCAAGUAAUUGGGUGAAAUACUUUGGUCAGAAUUUAAUUAAAAGAAGGUAAUGUUAAUUAGUAAUGUGUACAAUAAUGAAGUGAUUGAGUGUAAAUAGUCUUUAGAUUCAUUUAAGUUUUUAUAUUAUGAUUGACUGGAUAACGGAUUGCUGGGAUAAAGGAGACAUUUUGGCGACUAUUGAUAAGAGGUUGGGGAAGAGAUUUGUGGGACAACAAGCGGAGUUGGUGCUGAAGCCUGGGUUGCUUUGUUCACACCCGGUGACAGCGGCUAGGCCUAGCAUGUCCAGCGUUAUAUCGUAUUUGGACGGUGUUGCUUCAUUGCCUGAUGAUUUCAGCUCUGUUAUCAAAGUUCGAGAAUUCCCAGCAGGAUCAAAUGAAGUGGACGCUCCUAAUGAGUUGACAGGCGAGAGAAACACCGUUCCUUCAUUAACAAUUACAGAAGCAUUUGUUUCUCACGGUAGGUGAAGUGGAAAAAUAUCGGGUUUUUCUUUAAAAAUUAUGAUUGUAAAAUUAAAUAAAAAUUUAAAGCCUUCCGAAUCGAGUAAUAGGGUUUUGUAUAUAUUUUUAAGCAUCAGAAGUAGCAUACUGUGGCUGUUCAUGCAAAUAUCAUUUAGGAAUAUAUUUUGUAACUGAGCAUGUGAUUCUCAAAAUUUUGGAAUUUUUAUUCUUUUUUUAAUUGUUUUAAUUUUUAGAGUUUUUUAUUUUUAUUUUAAUAUUUUUAUAAUGUUUUAUAUUCUAAUAAAAAUAGGAAGGUGGUCACAUGCAUAACAAAUUAAAAAGCUUACUCGAAUAAAAAAGUUUGAUGUAUGUGACCACCUUUCCAUUUUUAUUACAAUAUAAAGCAUCAUUAUCUGAAGUCCUUCAUAUGUUAAUUUCUUAAUUACAUGUACUAUUGGUGUUUAAUGUCAACAAUGACGAAUAUUGUAUAUUAAUCAUUAUUUAAAUAUCAAUUAUUGAUAUUUAAAUAAUGAAUUCAAAUAUAGUGUUAUUUACAUAAUAAUAAUUGAUAGGUAUAUUUGAAUUCUAUCUAGUCUCAUUUAUAUUUGGGAAAGGAAGCUCACUUUAAAAAAUUAUUUUAUGCAUAAUUUUUAUUAUUUUUUAAAUAAAAAGAUUAAAAUAUUCUCGAUAAUUUAUUUAAUUACAAAAUGACAUUUUCAUAAUUUCUUUAGCUGAAUUAGUGCCCGGUUGAUUUGGACACCAACUCAAUCAAGAGCUUAAAUUAUAAGAUAUAGAUAUAUACAAUUGAUGGAGGUAGGUGUGUAUAAUAAAAUUAAAAUGUUUAGAGUUAUCAAGAUAAAACUUUAGUUGAGUGGUAAAUUAAUCUUUAUCUUUGUGAUGCUCGGGUUGAUUGUUUAUAUUAAUUAAAAUGUAUUAUUUUAUUAUUUUAUAAUUUUUAUAAAUAAUAUUAGGGAAAAUUUUUAAAAAUAUUCAUUUUCUUUAAAUUGCUACGACUAUUAGUGAUAAUAUAGGGCAAAAUUAGAUAAUAUAAAUAUUAGUAAUAUUGAAAAUCAUAGCUUUGGAAUGUUAAAUUAAGGAACAGAUUGAAUUAAUUGAAAUCUCAUAGUAAGGACUUAAAUAUAAAAAAAAUAAAAAUUCCAUUAGGAUCUAAAAAACAAUUUAAUUUUUAAAUGCAAUUAAUCCAUGCUUUGUUUAAUCACUACAUUAUAAAACCUUGAAUAAAAAAUUUAGAGUUUUUAGAACAUGCCUUAAAUCUAUAACAAUAAAACUAUAUGCUUUAUUUGUCUUUCUCCGUAUACUCUUCUACCUAUCCAAAUUCUUUUAAAUCAAAUUCUAAACUCUGCGAAUCUAGACUUCUGACUUCUUCCUAACUACAUCGAUACCAGAAACCAUUGGAUGGGGUUGGGACGUCAUUCUUAGCCUUGCCUUGAUCUCUUCUUAAAGCUAAGUUCCCUUUUGCUUGUUGCUUCCUCUCUCUCUAGCAUUGCAGUGGACAAAGUGUAGGGAACAACUAACUGCAAUUUGAUUUAUAUCAGAGGCAACAUAUUAUUGAAAAAUCCCUUAAAAAAUAAAUCACCCAAAAAUCAGCCUACGUUUUGGUAUAAUGACACUCAUUGCAGUUGGCAUGAAGGGGGCAUGAGAGGCUCUUUGAUAGUGUCGCCACUGGGAUGACAGGCCAUUGGUUUCAUCUUCAUCUUUUGGCUUGAAGUUGCUGUUGGGGUUUGGACAGCAGAGGAAGAAAACAGAAGCAAGUAAUCCGGAUAAAGUAAAGUUAAACUUCAAUACUUGAAUAAGCAAUAUGCCAUAUACAUAAGUAAUCCGGAUAACAUAUGUUGGAUUUUGCGUAAAACAAAGAAGAAGAAGAGAAGAAAAGAAAAUGAUGCCAAAAUUUGGACAAGAAGAAAAAUAAAUUUGAUCUCCAAAAAUCUGAUCUUUUUUCAUUAACAGGAGAUGCAUUCAUAUUACAAAGAAAUAUGGCAGUUACCUAAUGUUUAACUGUUCCCAUUAAUACAUGACUUAAGCCUAGCUAGAAUUAGACACAAAAUGUAGCUGACAUAUGAGCCUUUAUAUCACAAUCAAAUCUUUAACAAAUCCUACUAACUUUAAAAGUCAAAUUACAAAGGAACUAAAUCAAGUUACAAAUGAACAAAAUAAACAAAAUGCUGCUACUCCUCUGGUUCAGCUUGAAUGCUGGUUUCCUGUUGCAUUGCAGGCCAAAGUUUAACAGUUGCAACCUUGAGGGUUUUGAAUCGUGGCUUCGAAGCUCAAUGUCGCAACACCCUAUGCUUAGUGUCACAAUCUCCACAACAAACUACUCCAUGUUGAAAUUUGGUGAAGUUCAACAAGCAAUAUGACACACAAGCACUUGUGACACGACCUCCACAACAGUUGAGGUCCUCCUUGAUGUUUAGUCUCAAUCACCUCCCUAUACAAGCCCACUACAGCAAAACUGACUUUUAGCGGCGUUUUUUUAGGCCUUUAGCGGCGUUUUUACAAGCGCCGCAAAAAACACCGCUAUUGCUAACGGUGCUAAAGUUUGCGGCGUCUAUUCUAAAGAUCAUGACUUUUAGCGGCGCUUUUCCCACAAACGCCGCUAAAGGUCAUGACCUUUAGCGGGACUUUUUCUAAAAAUGCCACUAUAUAAUAGACCUUUAGCGACGCUUUUUUGACAAACGUUGCUAAAAAGUAUAAACUUUAAAAAAUAUAUUUUAAUUAAAUAAUAUUUGUUUUCUAUGAUAAAUAUUAUAUUAUGUUUUAUUUUUUAAAUUUGAACUUUAAACUAUACACAAUUUUUAAAAAAUCAUUUAUAUGUAACUCAACAGAAAUUAUGUUCAAAGAUUCGUUGUGUCACUAAACAAAGAAAAAUGAUUUACACAAAUAAAUAAAAGACAAAAGAAAAUGAAGGUUCUAAUGAGCAAACUAUUUUAUAAGCAAUCAGAAAGAAUAGUACAGGAAAUUCUUAGUAUCCUACUUGAAGAAAGCAUCGAAAAAUAUAAAAAGGAUGAGAAUGAGUACAAAGAAGCAUCUUUAAGUUGAACCAUUCUUGAUGUCAGGUUCCUUGCCUGUCUCAAGGAGAAAACACUUGCACACAACAAGGACAUAAUGUCCCUUUCUCCAUUUGACUUAAUCACCUACAUUCUCUCAUACCCUUUCUGCUAAUAGCAAUUGUUCAAGUUCUUCUCUUCUUCUCUCCAUUUCCUGCAUAUAAAUGUCCAUGAGAUUAUGGUAUUUGAUGAGAAAAUUAGUUCACAGCUGUGAUACUUUCACAAUAUUGGCCUGAAAUACCCUACAAAUCAAUACCAUAUUGCAAAAUCUCCAAUAUUCUUAUCAUGUUAAGGUGUUUAUUGAUAAAUUUCUUAAGAGAAAUGUUAACCAAUGCCGUGUAAUUAAGCAUCACUUUUUUCUUGAAUUCAGUUAAAGUAAGCAAUGUAUUAAAUGUUAGAAAAUAUCCUUAAAAUGAACUGUUCAAGACUCCUGAAAGGUUGUGGGUUCAAUAUCUUAACAACAAUCACUUGUAACGCACGAUAAGAAUGGGUUCUUACAGUAUAUCUGUCAACUUAAGAACACUUGAUUAUAAUGUGGUAGGAGAGGUUUGAAUAUAAAAAAAGAAGCAUUCAGAGUAUGACUAGACCUCCAAUUGAUCAAACAAAAGAAUACAUAAAUAAGAAAUCAUCAAGGCAAGAUGUAAACCAAAAGGCCAGCUUUGAACAACUCUCAUAGCUUACCUCCAGAUCUUGAACUGCUUGUUCCCUUGUAAUUUCCUUUUGCUGGCGAGAACAUUUGAGAAAGCCAAUGCAUAAGAUUCCCUGACAAAUUUAUUAUCAGUACAAUCAAGGAGUAAACAUAAACUCAACUCAAAAUCACAGUUCUGAAGCCUUUGCUCAAUUCCACCCCAAACUAUAUUUUACCUCCUGUUGUUUAACGUUAUAUAGAAAUUAUUCUUUACUUCUAGUAUCUAAAAUUACAAGCACAAAAGGCAAUAUCAGGGUCUGAUGAACAGUUAGCUUUGACUAAAAAUACCAGUAAAUCCAAUAAGCCCUAAUUAUAAAUCUAAAGAUUUGAAAUCUAACUUUGGAACAAAUUAUAACACAAAACUAACAACAAAAAAACACAAAAUAGACAAACAAUCACGCAACAAAACUAGAGCAAAUACAAGAAUUUAAAAAAGAAAAAAAAAGAUGAUAAAUAGCAGCAAAGCUAAAAACAAGUAGCAAAAAAAUGAAACAAAUUAAAACAUUAUAUCAGUUAUUCAACGGUAUUAUUCGGAAGGAUGUUCAAAACCAGAAUCCACAAUAGAUCGAAGCAGCUCCAGUUUUAGUAGAAAGUCUCUGAAUCCCGAACUGUGAAUUCCAACAUACCCCCUACACCACAUAAAAAAGCAAUGAAACAAAUUAAAAUAAAAUUGCUUUACGCUAAAACUAGCAGAUUAUAUUAGAACAUUGUUUUCCUUAAAAAUAUUUACAAUAAGUUAAAAAGAAAUAUUUUAAAAUUUGAUUAUGUAUAUAAUUAUAUGUAUUUGCUUUAAUUAUAUGUCUUGAAAUAAAGUUUGUAUGCAUAAAUAACUCCCCAUACACAAACUAUUUCAAUCAGCAUAAAUCAGAUAAUUUGUGGCUUCAACAUGCUGACUUUACCAUAAUUUUGUCUAAAAUUUACAAUCUUUAACAUGGCACAUCACUAAAUUUAAAUAGUUGAUUUCACAAUCAUUAUAUCUACAUUUGGACCUUAAUAAACCUAGAAAUUAUCCAUGCCAAAACACAUUUAAUGUGUCCAAGAAUCAGACAGUAUAAUGCAGCCAUUAAUCAAAUUUGAAUUUGAAUAACAUAAGACAUACUAGACUCUUCUACAAAUGCUGGAAAACUUGUCCUUACCAGGCUGUUUAAACGGCAUAAACAAGGUAAAAUCAUGAGAUUUAAUCCGGCUUUUACUCAUUAAUUUUUUUCAAAGUCGAACCGCAUCUUUCAUGUCCCAAAAAUCAUAAAAUUCAACAUGCAGUAUCAUAAAAUUAGUUUGAGCUCCAACCUUUAAAUUUUCAAAAGAAUAUCACAUCAAAAAUUGGAUAGAAAUAAUAUAAAAUUUCUUAAAACAAAUUCCAUAUGGACAAACUAUAUAGAAUGUCCCUUCAACUAACUAAUGGUUACCUGUAUCACUGCCACACCACCAAAUAAUUUAGCAAUCCUUUUGUUAAGUUUUUCCUUCUCAUAAUCCUGUUCUGCAGCCUGCAUUAAAGUAAUAAUAUAACUAAUUGCAUACUCAAUGUCUGCCACGAAUAUUCAUUGGUAAUUCAUUAUUAAAAGUCAUCAUACGGUUAGGAAAGCUGGUGCAAAGUUUUCGAAGAUUGAAUUUCAAAUGUUACCAUGUUACCAUGCAAUCGGCCCAAAACUAAGCAAUUCAUGUCCCCAAGUUAGAUGGUUGUGGCCAAUACAUGACUAUUUCAGCCCAAAACUCUCUUUCCCUUUUGUCUUUUACAGUUCAUUUUUUUCAUGAAAUAGUUUUUGAUGUCACGAAUUUACGAACUAAAGUUUAAACAACUUUUUUCACUGAUAUCCAAUAUUGACUGUUAAAUUGACUUAGAUUUAAAGUAUGUUCUUUUAUCUAUCAAUGAAUAUUGAUUUACUAUACCAAUCAUUGAAUUAUUACUUGAAGCUUAAUGGCAGAACUUUAAAAAAGAAAAACUUAACAAUCUAGUAACUUAAAUAAAAAAUUUUGUAUAAUUCAGUGAUAAAAUUAUAUAUGUUUUUAAUUUAGUGGUUAAAAUAAAACUCAGUGUUGUAUUUAUAGCAAAAAAUUUAUGAUUAUAUUAUACCAAAUUUAUAUGGAGAUUUUGUGACAAAUAAAUAGUGGAUACUCUUGAUAACAUUAACAUGUAGUUUGGCAAACACCUGAGGAUAUUGUUGUUAAUACAUUUUUCAAAAAAAAUAGAUAUUUCUUAGUGCCGACUUUUAGAUGCUUAUAUUUUGAAAUAUUAAUAAAAUUACAAUUUAAUUUUCAAUAUUCUUUAAUAAUUAUAUACUAGAAUUUUACUGUUAAAAUAAUCAUAAAAACUUGAAUUUAAACGUAUAUUAAAUCUGAUUGUAGAUAGCAAUAGAAAUCAUGUAACAUUAAAUCUGAUUAAUGCGUUAGAUACUGUUCAUCAUUUUCAUAUAAUAAACUGCAAAUUUUGAAGUGCCAAUAAAUAAGUUCAGAUGAAAGCAUAAAAACUUACAAAUACCCUUCCAUUCAAAGGAACCUUUCAAAAGGAAAGGCAACCAAAAUAGAAGGUAAGAUGGUUAUGAGAAAAGGGAAAUUUAAUAAUCAACUAAAUCAAUUGUCCAGAGAAAAAAAAUCCUGAGGUAGUUCAAAAUCAGAGUAUAAUUUCAGGUCAAGUAAUUAUUAAAAAAAUAAUCAAAUUAGUAUAUAAAAUUACAUACCUUCACGUUUGCGUGCUUCCUCUUAUUCUCUCCUCUUUAAACCUCACAUAGAAUAUUUUCUUCCUCUUGAUAUCCCUUUCCUGCUUCCAGGCCUGAAUAAUUUUCUAACAUGCGUGCCAACCUAUUCUUCUCUUUCAAGUCCCCAUCAUGAUGCUGCCUACUCAACUCAACUUCCAGCUACAACAUAGAAAAACAGAAUUACGAAUGAUUAUAUCAAAAAGGUUGACAAUGGCAAAAAUACAAAACAAAACAGAACCUCUCAUAAAGAAAGACUGCGACAUAUAAACGCUGCUCUUCCCUUCAAGAUAUGGAAAUGCAAAUGAAGAUAGAACAUCUGUUGAGGCAGACUUAAGAUAACAAAUCAAAGUCUUUGAUAUGUUUAUAAAACAUGAAAGGUCAUAUGUUACAAGACCUGGAAAGAGAAGCACUCAAAACAAAGUACUUCUUUCAACUGCAAAACAAGGAAUUAAAAUUUUACCUGUUGUUCACGUUCAUGAAGCACCUUCUCUUCUAGCAGUCGUCGUUGAAAAGCGGCUUCAAUCAAAGGUGCUGCUUCCUCUCUCUUAGCUCUUUCCAUAUGGUUCAUUGUUUUCGCAACCUUUUGUAGUCUCUUCUCCUGUUCCUGCCUCUCCUUUAGCUGCUCACUCAUCGCCUGCUCAAGCAAGGUUUGCUUUGUUAAUUUCUCCUGGACACAUGCAUAGUCAGAACUUAAAUAAAAAAUAAAAAUAAAGAACAGCUUAUAGGAGUCGGAAACUUAAUGAAAAUAAAUGGCUGUUCACCCCAUCUAAAAUUGGCUUCCUUUUCCCUCUUUUCAAAUGCUUUUCAGUUUCCUGUAGAAACACCUGUGCUUCUUCAAACUCCUGCUCCUCUAUUUCCUUACAGAUUCUUUCAGCUCGCUGUUGCUCAAAUACAGCAGCAAGCCUCUUUUUCAAGUGCCUAUAAAAUUCCUACCAAGGAUGACAAUCUAGAAAGAACUAUUGAUAUGAACUCAUGAGAGCAAGUUUUGAUUAGGCUAGGGUUCAAGAGUCUUCACAUUUAUCUAUUUUAACUAUAACAUUUAAGCUUUUAUAGUUUAACUCAGGGACAAUACCAUUUCAAGUAUUUAUCAUCACACUUAUUCAAACUCAACAUCUUUAUUAAAAGGCAGACUCAACAUACCAAACAGUUUAACCUCAAAUUUGCAUUGGUUCAGAUGUCUUUACUCACAUCUUUAUUGACAGGUUUUAUGGAGACUAAUUGUUCUGCUUCAAAGGACAAAUAGAAAGUACUCAAUUUAUCACGUAGACUACAUUACUUCAAAGGACCCAGAAUUGAAUACAAAUAGAAUCGCAUGAAAUUCAAAGAAAACAUACAGUAGAACCUUGGGGGGAACAAAUAAGCAAUAGAACAGACACAUAUGUACCAUUGUUGGAGACUAAUUGUUCUACUCCAAAGGUCUUGCACUGGGAAAGUGGGCGGCGGCCGCAAGUGCAGGUUUUGGAGUGGACCUAGAAGAUGCUGAUUUUGCUGAAAUGUUGGAGAGCAUCGACUGACACUUCUCCUGCUGCUGUUUAAAUCUAUCUAACUUCUCUUGUAAUGCCAUCACUCCAGACCUUAACCUUCACAACUCUCAAAUCCCAGAGACACAAAAGAAAGAAAAAUCAAAGCUGAAAAUCAGAAAAGCUUGUCAAUAGAACUACCCAAAAUCGCUAAAUCUUAAGAAUAUUUCUUUACUUUUCCCAGCUUUUGAGAUUUUCUAUCCAACUUUAAUUUCGAGUUAAAACACUUCAAAUCGCUGAAUCUUAAGAAAAUAACCUUGGUAGUUGGUAAGGGAUUUCAACGAGCUUUCGGCUUCAAUUUCCGUUUAGAUGACUGUCCCUUUGAUAAAAGGUUGAGGAGAGAAUGAGAGUCCUGUUAAAUAAUAAGCGAAAACGCAGAAGAAGAGGGAGUAACGAGCGGGUAACAAAAAAAUAGGAUUUUAUCUGUUUGCGGCGUUUCCACUAAAAACGCCAGUAUAGCUUAACUUUUCACAUUUAAAUUUUUGUGGCCUUUUGUCUAAAAACGUCACUAUUGCUUAAUUUUAAUUUUUUUUUUAUUUUUAACAUUUUUUUCUAUUCUUUUUCUUUCAAAAUUUUUAACAUAUUUUUGUGGCGUUUUGUCUAAAAACGCCACUAUUGCUUAAUUUUAAUUUUUUUUAUUUUUAACAUAUUUUUUUCUAUUCUUUUUCUUUCAAAAUUUUUAACAUAUUUUUGUGGUGUUUUGUCUAAAAAGUCACUAUUGCUUAAUUUUAAUUUUUUUUAUUUUUAACAAAAAAUUAGGGAUUUUGAUUUUCCCUUUUUUGCUGUAGUGGUUUAAUGUGUAAUUGUAGACGUGAAAUUCUAAUUGUGGUUUAAAUGUAUAGUUGAAACUUUAAUUUUGAUUUAAUCAUACACAUUUAAAAAAAUAAAUACAUCAAUAUAUUUUUAUAUUGAAUAAAUAUAAAUAUUUAUGUAUCCAUGCAAUUUAUAAAUAUAAAAUGAUGUUAUAUCAAUAAUUGUGUAAAAAAACGAAAAAACGUGAAGACACAAAUAUAUAUUUUAAAAAGAAAAUGAGUUACAAUUAAAAAACAUGGAGACACAAAUGAGUGCAGAGAAUUUUCGUUCGUAUAAAUAAAUAUAUAUUUUAAUUAAUCAGUAUAGAUAAAUAUUAAAAUAGUAUAAACAAAAAACUAUUAAUAAAAUUUAAAGGUAAACUUAUCAUUUAAAACGUUUUCCACAAAUCCCUUCAAUCCAUUAAACAAUAUAACACUUAUUAAUAUAUAAAAAAUAUUUUUUUAUCAAAAUCAAGAUAUCUAUUAUCGAUAAUAAUAAUUAAUUAUAGGGUUUAGGAUUUAAUUAUUGAAUAUGAUUCACUUGAUUAACAUACUAUAUAUAUACCCAUGGCCAUUAAACCUUAAACCAUAAAACCCUAAAUCAUAGACCUUAAACCUUAAAUAUUAAACCGUAAACCAAAAAAUAAAUUUAAUCAAUAUUAAGUAUUGCUUCCAUUAUUUAUUAUGAACAUAAGCUUUUACAUUAAUAUAUAUGUAUAUACACAUCAACAUCCAUGUGAUGUUUUUAGGGGUUUAGGGUUUUAAAAGUUAUAAUUUAGGGUUUAGGGUUUUUAAGGUUUAGAGGUUUAGUGUUUUAGGGGUUAUAGAUUAGUGUUUAUGAUUUUUUUGGGGUUUAAAGGGUUAUAUGACUUUUAGCGGCGUUUUACCAAAAGCGCCGCUAGUGCUCCGACUUUUAGCGGCGUUUUACCAAAAGCGCUGCUAUUGCUCUGUUUUUAGCGGCGAUUUUAGUAAAAUGCCGCUAUUGCUCUGUGUUUUACAAUUUUUGCGGCGUUUUAUCAUAAAACGCCGCUAAAGCCCUAUUUUCCUAUAGUGAAGUUUAAAUUAAUUAUUAGACCUCUAAUGACACAGUUUUAUCAAUUUGGGUUUCAAAUGUGAUAAAAGCUAGCAUUGAAACUAAAACUAAAAUUGAUAAAAAAAACAUAAAAAUACUUUUAAACUAUUUAAGAACAAGCUUGUUAAAUAUACGCGAGAACCUAAUUUAACAUUUCAAACUACGAUAGAUCAUGCUUCGCCACCCUACAAUUAUAUACAAGGAUUGUCAUCGUUUUAUAGGGUGGGGGUAUACCUACUUUCUGGUCGAACCUCAAUGGGUCCUUGUCGAACUCCAACAUCCUGAGAGGCAACAACUUACAGAUCAGUUGCAAGAGAUGGAUGGGAUAUGGCAAGUGAGGAUUGGAAUAGGAUCAGGAAAUGCAAAGGUCUUCAAUGAAUAAGACAUUUUCUUUGAAUUAAUUCAUUUUAAGGGACGUUUGUUAGCGAAUGAGGAGAGAGCUUGAUGACAUGUGACAACUGACACUAGUUACUCAAGAUGUGAGCAGUUUGAGGCAACCAUACAAGUUUUGAGGGAUUUUUCUUUUGCUAAGAAUGUUUGGAAUAAUCUUGUUCCAAAUGAUCUUGGCAGGUUUUUGCAUAUUAAUUAUGGAUUAACUUGUUUGGAAUUUAAAGAAUAUUGGGCAGAUUGAUGUUGAAGGCGUAGACUGAUCGACUUUGUUUUCUAUUAUUUGUUGAUGUCUUUGGAAGUGUCGUAAUGCUUUUGUGUUUAAAGAUGCAAGUAACAGCAAUGGGGAAGUUGUAAUGUCUAGUCUAUCCUGGGCUAAAAGUUCAACUCACAUGGGGUCUUCUAAUAUUUUUGUUACAAUGAUCUCCAGAGCUGCAAAGCAAUGUUGACAUCCCAAGGAAGGUUGGGUUAAGCUUAAUUCGAAUGAGACAACCGACAUUAAUAUUGGUGUCACGACGAUUGAAGGGGUUCUAAGGGAUGUGAAUUCAAAUUGGAGUUUACCUCGUACCAUGCCUCAUGAUUUGUUGAAAAUGUGUCCGUGCUUUUAUUGCUGUCAAUUAUAAUUAUAGUAGUAAUUAUUAUUAUUUUUUCAGGUUGAAAAUCAAAUAUAUUUGUGGAAUACUUCUCUAUGAGCUCCUUAGAAUCGAAAAAAUCGUUCUUGCGAAUGCAUUUUCACUGCAGCUCAGUCAACAAAAGACAGGUUCUACUGUACCCUUAUAAAAUUUCUCUCUUUGUAAGAUCUAAAUGUUGGGUUUGAUGAUUAUGAAAUCAAGGCUGCUCAUUACCUAACUGAUUGGUUAUCUAAAUGUCUAUUGUAUCUAUAUAUAUAUUUUGUGUGUGUAAUGAUGUCUUGUUUGAUCAUACUUGUGUUGCUUUUCCUCCUGAACCUUGCAUCUUCAGAUAUCAAUCAGGGUCAGUUCAGUUUCAAAGGUUACUUGCAUCUUCAGUAGAUUCAAGUGGGUUCUUUAAACUAAUUUUACAACCCAUACAAAAGGUCACAUCUUCUACAAGAAUCCAAUCCAAUUCAAGAACUCCACGGAUGGUAGUGUUUUCUCUUUUUCCACCACUUUUAUUUUUGCAAUUGUACCGGAAUUCCCAACUUUGAGUUAAUGCAUUGAUUUUCUCAGCCAAUUUGAAGCAGUUAAUGGCACUAAUCUCAUCACAACCCACUAAAUUGCAAACUUUUGAUGGACUUGCAACUACUUCAAGUCAAGAACAACCAUCUAUAUUCACAGCUGCUAUACUUGUUGGUAGCUCAGGCAACGAUUUAAGCAUCUUGCAAUCUGACAAUUUAAGCAAUUUGAGCCUGGAAAGUUUGAGUAAGAGCCAAAGGAAUGGUGAUGAAAUUCUUACCAUUAAGAUCAAGACGUAUCAAAGAGGAUAUACCAGAAAUAUCACCAUGAAUAUCUGCUUCACUAAGAGUGCACAUGUUGCAAUUUGACAAUAUAAGAUAUUCAAGCUUGGAUAGUCGAGUAAGAAUGCAGGUAUGCUGAUGAAAUUGUUAUCACUAAGAUCAAGAUGCCUCAGAGGAUAGAUCAGAAAUAUAACUAUGAGUAUCUGCUUUACCAAGAGUGCACAUGUUGCAAUUUGAUAAUGCAAGCAAUUUAAGCUUUGAGAGUCGAGUAAGAGAUGCAGGUAUGCUUAUGAAAUUGUUACCACUAAGAUCGAGAUGACUCAAAGAGGAUAGAUCAGAAAUAUCACUAUGAUUAUCUGCUUCACCAAGAGUGCAUAUGUUGCAAUUUGACAAUAUAAGAUUUCCAAGCUUUUAGAGUCGAGUAAGAGAUGCAGGUAUGCUGAUGAAAUUGUUACCACUAAGAUCAGGAUGCCACAAAGAGGAUAGACCAGAAAUAUGACGUGGAAUAUCUCUGUUAAGCGCCUGGGCGUAGGAUCUAGUCACAGGUCUAGACAAGAAAGAAUUCUUGCUUCGACCUAUGGUUACUCAAAAGGCAGAUUCGUCAUUGACUGAACCCCCUUCCCCAAACUAACGUUUGUGAUGAAAAUAAACUUCUUGGUUUAUUUUAUAUUGGCAGCCUUUUUAUAGGCUGUUGAUUACAAAGGGAAAGUCCUAAUCUAAUUCCUAAUUUAAAGUCCAAAUAGAAUUUUUAAUUUAAAGUCCUAAUAGAAUUCUUAAUUUAAAGUUUAUAAAAAACCUAGUAAAAUUAAAACUCCUAAAGAAAUUAAAUAAAUGUAAAACUCUAAUUCCUAUUCCUUCUUUGAUAUUAUUUUCUAAUGAAAACAUCUAUAUCAUUACUUCCCUUCUCGGAGUUGAGCUUGUCCUCAAGCUCAAAUUCAGGAUAAGCUACUCGAAAACUAUCAAUUGGUUCCCAAAUGGCAUCUUUUUGGGGACAUCCUCCCCAUUGCACUAAUAGUUCCCGUUGACCUCAAUUAAGCCUGGUAUUAAUAAUAGCUUGUGGAGUAGGUAAGGCCUUGCCAUCAUAUACUAAGGGCAAGUCUCCUACCGCAUCUAGUUGAGGUCCUUUGUAUUCUUUGAGGAAAGAAACAUCGAAUACAUCAUGUAUUCUGCUACCUGUAGGUAAUUCAAGCUGAUAGGCCACUGUUCUUAUUUUGUUCAAGACCUUAAAAGGACCAAAAUAUUUUGGCAACAACUUGUGAUGUUUCUGUUUAGUUAUCGUCAAUUGUCGAUAUUGUUGAAGCCAUAACCAAACCCAAUCCUCGACUUUAAAAUUCAACUCUCUGUGCCCCAAAUCAUAAGUGUUUUUCAUUCGUUGCUGAGCUUGCAAGAGUCUAUCCCGAGAAUUUUGUAAAAGUGCAUCCCUAUCUUGUAGAGCUUUAUCCACAGCUUCAAUCCUUGUAGAACCAGCUGAAUAUGAGAGAAAUCGAGGUGGAUCCCUACCGUAUACUAAUUGGAAAGGGGUGGCUAGGGAAGUGUGAUAUGGGGUGUUGUAGCAAUACUUAGCUCAUGGAACCCAAUCGACCCACUAUCGUGGACUAUCAUUAGAGAGGCAUCGUAGGUACAAUUCUAUUGUUCGGUUAACUACCUCCAUCUGACCAUCAGAUUGGGGAUGGUAUGCUGAAGAAAAAGCGAGCUUAGAACCACUUUGACGAAAUAAUUCCUUCCAAAACAGGCUGAGGAAAACUUUAUCACGGUUAGAAACUAUGGAUUCUGGCAAGCCAUGAAGUCGGAAUACCUCUGCAAAGAAGACGGUAGCAACAGAUAUAGCAGUAAACUGAUGGGACAAGGGUAAAAAAUGAGCGUACUUCGAGAGUCCGUCCACAACCACUAUAAGUACCGAUUUCCCUUUUACUUUGGGUAGACCCUCUACGAAAUCCAUAGAGAUAUCAGCCCAAACGUGUUGUGGUAUUGGAAGAGGUUGAAGUAAACCUGCAGGUUGUAAAUUUUGCCAUUUGUGGCAUUGGCAUACUAAACAAUGUUGCACAAAUUCUAAGGUUUCAAGCUUCACUCCUUUCCAAAAAAAAUCUUGACGAAGAUGAUGCAAUGUUUUCAAUCCCCCUUCAUGUGCCAUAGCAUCUAUAGAGGAAAUAAUAGUGGGAAUAAUUGGUGAGGUAGGUAAAAGGUACAACCUCCAUUUGAAGAAAAUCAACCCAUCUUGUAAUACCCACUCGGACCCUAAUUUUCCUUGUAGAAUUUGUUGUUGGAGUUAUGAUAAUUCUGGGGAAGCUUCUAUUUCUUGUCUGAUGGCUUUAAGAAUUUCAACUCGAGGGAAUGAAACAUUCAUGAGGUGUGGUAAGUCUUCGUAUUUUCUAAUAAAGCAUUUGCAGCUCUAUUCAACUUCCCUGCUUUAUACUCCACUCGGAAAUCAAACCCCAUUAACUUGUUGAUCCAAUGCUGUUGUGGGGAUGUUGUAAGUCGUUGGUCUAACAAGUACUUAAGACUGAAGUGUUCAGUAUGGAUGAGGAAGUGCCUUCCCCAAAGAUAGGGCUGCCAAUGAGUCACUACCUUUGCCAAACCAAUUAAUUCAUGUUCGUAGGCCGCCAACUUAAGGUGUCGAUUUGCAAUCUUGCAACUGAAAAUGCAAUAGGGUGUCCCUUUUGUUGUAAUACGGUUCCAAAUCUGCUAUCUGAAGUAUCACAUUCUACCAUAAAUUCCUCCUCAAAGUUGGGUAAUUGAAAGACUAGGGCUACUGAAAGAAAUGUUUUUAAUUGGGUGAAAGCAACAUCAGCUUCCAUAGUCCAGUUGAAGCAUUUUUCUUUAGAAGAGAUGUUAAGGGUGUAGCCACUUGUCCAUAAUUUUUAAUGAAUUUUCUGUAAUAUCCUGCCAGCCCAAGAAAGCCUCGUAGACCCUUGGUAGUUUUAAGAGUCGGCCAAUAGGUGACAUCUUUAAUUCUAGUGUGAUCAACCUCAACUCCUUUACCAUGGAUGACAUGACCGAGGUAGGUUACCUGAGACUCUCCAAAGAAACACUUGGAUUUCUUUAAGAACAACAUGUUAUCCCUCAAGAGUUCAAAAACUAAUCUUACAUGAUGUAUAUGUUCAGUCCAUGUUUUGCUAUAAACUAAUAUGUCAUCAAAGAAGACUAAAACAAACUUACGCAAAUAAGGGCGAAAAAUGUCAUUCAUCAAACUCUGAAAUAUGGAAAGGGCAUUGGUAAACCCAAAUGGCAUAAUAAGAAAUUCAAAGUGUCCAUGGUGGGUUCGGAAGGCUGCCUUUUCCACAUCUAUAGUUGCCAUUCUAAUUUGAAAAUAUCCCGACCGUAAAUCCAAUUUUGUAAAAUAUUUUGCCCCAUGAAGUUCGUCCAACAAUUCAUCAACUACAGGAAUCGGAUAUUUUUCUUUAAUAGAGCAAGCAUUAAGCUCUCGAUAAUCAAUGCAAAAACGCCAUGACCCGUCAUGUUUCUUUACCAAGAGUACUGGAGAAGAGAAUGGUGAUCUACUGGGUCGAAUGAUUCCUUGUUGUAACAUUUGAUCACACUGCUUUUCAAUUUCAUCCUUUUGAAAAUGUGGAUAUCGAUAAGGCCUAACUACAAUAGGUCUCGUUCCUGGUUUAAGAGUUAUUCGAUGGUUACAUUUGCGGUUAGGAGGUAACCCAGACGGUUCUGGGUGCUGCCCUUACCAUAGUAUCUUCUUUUUGUUUACUACAAAUUGCAUAGUUAAGGAGCUGAAAUCCCAUAAUAUUGGACCAAGGGUACAUAACCAUUUAACCCCCCAAAUCAUAUCAAACCCUUCUAAUGGUAUUGUAUAAAAAUCGGCUUGAAAAUUGUCAUUGGCCACAACGAACUGUACUAAUUUACAAAUGCCUAUGCUAGGAACCCGUUCUCUAUUUGCCACAUAUACUUGCAACCCAGAUUUCUUUUGUUUUUUCAGUCCCAAUCUUGGCAUUAGACCUUCACGUAGAAAGUUAUGUGUACUGCCCGAAUCAACAAGAACUAACACUGUUUUUCUUGACACCUUUGCUGUUAGUUGCAUAGUAGAUGAAUUGCAAGUUCUUCCAAUGGCAUGUAAAGAAAUUUCAAGAUCAUCUACCUCAUCAUCUUGCUCAUAUUCAAUAUCUAGUACUUCUAUCCAAAAUAGCCUUUUACAUCUGUGUCCCAUAGAGUAAGACUCGUCACAAUUAUAACACAAUCCCUUAGCCCUUCUUUCUGUCAUUUCUGCUCGUGUCAAUCACUUGAUAAAUGGUGCAGAAGAACCUAUUUUGUUGUUAUUCCCCAUUGGUUUCGUUGUUUGUCCUCCUCCCUUUUCAAAGCUCUUAGUUGUUGGAAUAAUUCAAGUGCUACCAGCAUUUUGGGAAGCUGACCAGUUUAGAUUGGUUUGAGAUAACAUCUUGGAAGAGACUUUUUGUUUACGUUCCAAAGCUCGAGCUAUAUUCAUUGCAACUCCAAGGUUUUCUGGUUGUUGCAUUUCAAUAUCAAUUCUUAGUUCCUCUACUAAUCCAGCAGUAAAAAGGUUUACUUGUUGCCGAGGUUUAAGAUCAGUAGUCCUAGCAAGUAGUGAUUGAAAUUGGUAUUGAUAUUCUUCUACCGUCCCAGUUUGUCUCAGGUUUACAAGUUCCCUCAAGGGGUUAUUACUCAUAGGUGGUCCAGACCUGACAUGACAACACUCUCUGAAGCAUUCCCAAUCCAGAUUUGCCUCCUCUUCUUCGAUUUGAUCAAACCACAUUUGUGCCUCUCCUAAAAGAUGGAAUGAAGCUAGGCCAACUUUGUCUUCUUCGUUGGUCCGUUGAUUGCCAAAAAAAAUUUCGCAUCUUUUUAACCAUCCUAAAAGAUCUCCAACACCACCAUAAGUGGGAAAUUCCAUCUUAGAGUAUCAUGGCACCAUGCCCCAAUCGUGUUGCGAAUCUGAAUUUCUUUUCUUGCCUCCACUGCUGCCCUAUUCUUUAUUAUUCUUUUCUGAAUCCCCUUUCGUUGUCUUUUGGACCGAAAGAGAAAACAUCGCCAUCUGCUCCUUUAAUGCUUGUUGCGUUGUAGCCAUUUGUUCCAUGAAUGCCUCCAGCUUGGCUGUCAAAGUUUUUUCAUCACCCAUGACAGCUGACUCUGAUACCAAGUUGUUAAGCGCUUUGGCAUAGGAUCUAGUCACAGGUCUAGACGAGAAAGAAUUCUUGCUUCGACCUCUGGUUACUCAAAAGGCAAAUUCGUCCUUGACUGAACCCCAUUCCCCAAACUAACGUUUGUGAUGAAAAUAAACUGCUUGCUUUAUUUUAUAUUGGCAGCCUUUUUAUAGGUUGUUAAUUACAAAGGGAAAGUCCUAAUCUAAUUCCUAAUUUAAAGUCCAAAUAGAAUUCUUAAUUUAAAGUCCUAAUAGAAUUCUUAACUUAAAGUUUAUAAAAAACCUAGUAAAGUUAAAACUCCAAAAGAAAUUAAAUAAAUGUAAAACUCUAAUUCCUAUUCCUUCUCUGAUAUUGUUUUCCAAUGAAAACAUCUAUAUCAAUCUCAUUCACAAAGAUUGUAGUCCCUUAGUUUUAGCUCUCUUAAAGAACUCAAACCUGACAACAAAGGCAACAUCCGAGCCAUGGGAUUUGUCCUCCCUUGGAUUACCCUGAAAAGAGAAGGCAAAUUUGGUAGUAACUUAUAUGAUGGUCCCUUGUGCCCAUUGAAAGAAAGAACUUUAAGAUUUUUAAAUUGAAAAAUGAAGGAUGGUGGUUCUGUUAUAGUUGUUUCACUCAAGUUGAGCUCUUCCAAAAUCUUUGUUUGCUGCAAAUUCUCCGAUAAAUUUUUCACUCUAUAACAACCGAAAAGAUCAAGAGUUUUUAGACGUUCCAUUUUCCCAUCAGUCUCCGGAAACCUUACAAGACUUGAGCAACCCGAAAAAAUUAAUGUUUCACGAGAUUCCAUUCCAAUUUUGGUUGAAAGACUCUUGAGACUUUUGUAAUCUCUUAAAUUCAAAAAUUUAAGGUUACUAAGCACUCUAAUUGAUGGAUGAAGAUCCAAUAAUUUAGUACAACCUUUUAAAAAUCAGAACUUCAAGAUUUGAUGCUUGUGUGUAGUCUAGGGAAUUGAUCCGGUUUUGGACCCAUUAUUAUUUUUAUUUUUUGAAAUAUGAAUGGCUGGAUUAUAUUAAUAAAACAAAUUCCAAAUCAUUUAGAGCCCAGACAAAACAGAAAAUAAAAGAAAGCACAGACAAAGCAGAAACAAAAAGACACCCGACAAUGCAACAAACAAACAUUAAAUAAAAGCAGGAUAAUCCAAACACCCAGGCAGACUUUCCUUUUCCCUAAACAUCUGAGAAAGCGAAACCCUUCAGAUGCCUUCUUUGUUUCGUUGAUAACCAUCAAAAUGUCUGCUCUAGAUCUUUCCGAUGCAACUGGAAGAAACCCUUCAGGUCUGGCUAAACUCUGCAUUUCAUCACUUCAAAACACCAAUCUUCCGUCAAAACUGAGAAACCCAGUAGUCAAUCUAUUCUCCGGUCUGUUUGCCCCCAGUAAAAUCCCAUUUUAUCUUCUUUCUAAGGAGUGGACCUUCGACCUGCUGGACAAAGUGAGCCCAACUGUUGACGGUCCUCUUCCGCUGCCACUUUCGCGUAUGAAGGAACCGCACCAACAAGAUAAGUUUCUUCAUCUCUCUUUAAUCCCACUGUAGCCAAUAGAUGUGCAACUCCGUUUGCUUGUUUUGGCACAUGUUUAAAGAAACAGAUUUGAUACCCCUCACAGAUUGUUCUAAUAUUUGAGAUAUAGGCUCCUAUCACUGACCUUUCAAAUCCCUUUGUUUGCAGCUUCCGAAUCACAGAUAAUGAGUCUCCUUCGAUCUCCACCCUCGAGAAUCCCACAUGCAAUCCCAUCUCAGCCGCAUUUGAGGUUCAUUAUUUUUAACUUAUACAAGGGCUGUUGAAGACCAUCAUAAAUUAGAAACAAAUGAGAAAACAUAAUAAACUUAAAUAAGGCUAUUGUGAAAGAUGAUCCAAUUAAGACGAACCUUGAAAGAGUUCACUAAUCAUAUCACGUCAACCGUUUAAUCAGGCAUUUUGCAUUAAAAAAAAUCUAUAAUUUGACUCAAAAUAAAAUCUUAUAAAUGCUAAGAACAUUUUUUUGUCAUUAUACCUUAAAUUACUAUUUAAAUUUAUAUUUUGAAAACAAAAAAUUCAAAAAAACCCCAUUAAAAUAGUAUAAUUUACAUUACAUUACAAGUAAAAAAUAACAGAUUAUAUAAUAACAUAAUCUAUUUUUUGAAAUCGUAAUUUUCUAAAUUCAUCCAGACCUAUAAAUGCGAAGUGUUGACUUCUAUUUCAACUUGACUUUUGUGGAUUGCUUACUUGCAUUAUCCUUUGAGCCAUGCUUCUAUCGGUCUACGGGGCAAACAUAAAACACCGAGAUUAUUGUUUUUGCAUUGACAUCAUUUAUAUCACUGGUAUAUUAACUUAUCUCAAAUUGAGAAAGUUUUGUUGAUAUUACAGAAAACACAACCACUAACAAGAAUAGAAAAAAGAAAUUAGACAAGAACAAAAACUAAAUCUAUUGAAUUUAAAAAAAAUAGAUUGAUUAAGUCUCACACACGAAAAAGAUUUUUCAAUUAAUUAAAAGAGCAUACUUUAUUUUCAUAUUUGAAUAAGUGUUAAAAAUAAAUGUUUAAACAUAAAUACUUUAUAAACAAUAUAAACUAAAGAGUUGGAAUACUAUUAUUUGUACUUCAAGCCAUGAAAUUUAAACGGUAGGAAUUAAACCUAUUUAAGUACUAUUAAGGACUUAUAUUUAAUUUUCUAAAUAAAUAAAAAUAAUUUUGACUGAUUAAAUUGAACACAUAAAUUAGAUUUACUUCAGUAUUAAGUAUUAAGUUGAUUAGAUUUACUUCAACCUACAAUAAAAUAUAGAUGUAAGUGAAUAUAUAUAUAUAAUAAAAUUAAAAUUAAAAAAAAAGAAAUGAAUUGAGUGACUAAAAUUUAUAAAAAAGUAAUGAAUUCACUAUUCAUGUCAUGUCAACACUAUUAACAGUUCAAUAAGCAUUUUGCAUUAAAAAAUCUAUAAUUUGACUCAAAAUAAAAUAUUAAGAGCUAAAUUGCUUUAAAAAAAAUAAGGGUUAAAUUGUCAAAUUUUAUAAACACUAAGAACUUUUUUGUCAUUAUGCCUAAUUUAAAAGGUUUUAUUUACAUUACAAUUAAAUUACUAUUUGAAUUUACAUUAUACAGGCAACAAAUUCAAAAAGUUGAUUUAAAAUACUAUAAUUUACAUGUAAAAAAACAACUAAUUAUGUAAUAACAUAAUCUAUUUCUCUAAAUUCAUCCGACCCUAUACUUGCUAAAGUGUCCACUUUCAUUUCAACUUGAAGACUUUUGUUGGUCCCUCACUUGCAUCAUCCUUUUAGCAAACUUUCAUAUUUCUACUAGCCUAGGGGACAAACAUAAAACACCAAGGUUAUUUUUGUUGCAUUGAAAUCAUCUAUAUCACUGGGGAGAAGGGAUUUUAUAGAACUGUGAUUCCAUGUCAUCCUUAUUACCUUCUAAUAGGAGAAUAACAAAAUAGAUUUUUCCUCUUGAUUUUCAGCUUUUUUUUCCUGAAAAAUUCAAAUUCAACUAAAACUAUUAAAAUUUUGAUUUGUCAUUCUCCAAUUGCAAAGGUAAAAAGAUAACGUGAAAUCACAGUUUCAUAUAAUCGUUUCUCUAUCACUGGUAUAUUAACUUACCUCAAAUCAAGAAAAUUUUAUUAAUAUCACAAAAAACACAACAGUUGAAAAUCUUGCUCAUGUCAAUAAAAAAUCAUAUCUUUAUUUCCCUAAACCCUAAUAUUAGACAAGAACAAAAAAUAAAUUUAUUGAAUUUUAAAAUAUAUAUAUAUUGGAUAUGAAUGUCUCUUACACGAAAAAGAUUUUCUAGCGUACUUUAUAUUCAUAUUUGAGUAAGUCUUAAAAAUAAAUCUCUAAACAUAAAUACUUUACAAAAAAAAAACAUAAACUUAAGAGUUGGAAUAAUAUUAUUUGUACUACAAACCAUGAAAUUUCAAUGAUACUUUUAUUAGGAGUAAUUAAACCUAUUUAAGUACUAGAAAGGACUUAUUUUUAAUCUUCAAAACAUAUAAAAACAAUUUUGACUGAUUAAAUUGAAGAGAUAAGUCGGUCUCAAAUAAAAAUGAAAUAGUUUUUAACUCGGUCCAAAUUAUGAUCUAAUAUUUAUUAAAGGAUUUCACCUUAUUGUUACCUGCUUUGUCACGGAAACUAUCCAUUUUUCUUUACAUUUUUAUCUCAAAUUGAUUAUAUUUAUUUCAACCUCCAAAUAAAAUAUAAAUGUAAGUGUAUAUAUAAUGAAAAUAAAAUUUUAAUAAAAAUGAAACCAAUCAAAAUUUACACAUUUCAGUUAUGUAAAAAGGAAUGAAUUAAGUGACCAAAAUUUUAAAUGAUAUAUAUAUAAACUAUCUUAUCAACAUUUAUGAUAUGUACAGAAUAUGACCUCCUGUUCAAUAUGAGUAAAAAAUUUAAAAUUUUUUGGUUUAUAAGAAGGGUUAUAAAUAAGUUUAGAAUGAUUACAUUAAAUAAAAGAUGUGUAAAAUAAAAAUUAAUAGGACAAGAUUGAUUAAGUAGUUUACCACAGUUAAUGCUUCUUCCCUGAUUGGCCCAUUAUAAAAUUGAAAAAUUUUUGCAUCAGUUUUGGUUGCAGCCCUUCUUCCUCUGCUUCCUCGGAGAUAUUACGUUUUUGUUGGUGGAUGUGUUCAAAAUUUGGUGAAGAUAGAGUGGAUGUGUUCAAAAUUUGGUGAAGAUAUUACCUUAAGGCUAUGACCAUUGAAAAACACAUGAAGCCCAUCACGUUUAUGAUUUAAGCAAUCUGUUGUCCUUAUAUUAUUGGUUUCACAGCCACCAUAUUUAUCCUCCAAGGAAAAUGGAUAUAAUUUAUCACGCGACCAAUAACGAAGAAAAAUGUGAUCUUUCAUUAUGGGCUUGUUGAAUCGUUUACCCACCAACCAGCCUCUCCUCUCAAUCUGUCGAGGAUUUCUACCAUACAUUAACGCUCCACAGUCGAUAAAGCCCACAUCCCUUGAAGCAUCAUUAUUGACAAAAAUGCAGCAGCAAGCAACUCCAAUCCAUUCACUAUCUUCUUGAAGGUUGAUAGGUAAGAGAAUCUUAAUAAAGAAGACACUUUUUUGUUGGCUAAACCAUUCUGGGAUUUCACUUCCUGGCAUGAUAAUAUCAAACAUUUUUCUUGAAUUUGCAAAUGCCUGCAAAAUAAAACACAAGUCGUUUGGUAACUAAAACCACAAGUUCUCAAGUGUAAGAUUUUGUAAGGGAGAAAAAGAGAGAUUAAUUGACCUUAAGAUGUUUUCUCAGCAGUGUUAAUGCAUUGAUAUUCUCAGCCAAUUUGAAGCAGUUAAAGGCUUUAAUAGCAGCCGAGUCCACUAAAUUGCAUACUUUUGAUGGACUUGCAACUACUUCCAAGUGAAGAACAACCCUCUAGCCACACAUCUUCUAUACUUGUUGGUAGCUCAGGCAACGAGUUAAGCGUCAUGCAAUUUGAUAAUGCAAGCAAUUUAAGCCUGGAAAGUUGAGUCAGAGCCAAAGGAAUGGUGAUGAAAUUGUUACCCCCAACAAAAAGAUAUCUCAAACAGGAUAGACAAGAAAUAUAACUAUGAAUAUCUGCUUCACCAAGAGUGCACAUGUUGCAAUUUGACAAUUUGAGAGAAUCAAGCUUUGAAAGUCCAGUAAGAGAUGCAGGUAUGUUGAUGAAAUUGUUACCACUAAGAUCAAGGAAUUCCAAAGAGGAUAAACCAGAAAUAUCAUCAGGAAUAUCUCCUUCACAAAGAUUGCAGUCCCUUAGCUUCAAUUCUCUUAAAGAACUCAAACUUGACAGCAAAGGCAACAUCCGAGGCAUAGAAUUUGUCCUUUCUUUCUGGAUUACCUUUAAAAGAGAAGCCUAAUUUAUUCGUAACUUAGAUGAUGGUCCUUUGCACCCAUUGUAAGACAGAAUUUUAAGAUUUUUCAAUUGAAAAAUGAAGGAUGGUGGCUCUGUUAUGGCUGUUCCACUCAAGUCAAGCUCUUCCAAAAACUCUACUUGCUGCAAAUUCUCUGGCAAAUUUUCAACUCUAGAACAACCACAAAGAUCAAGUGUUUUUAGACAUUCCAUUUUCCCGUCAAUCUCCGGAAACCUAACAAGAUUUGAGCAACCCGAAAGAAUUAAUGUUUCAAGAGAUUCCAUUCUAAUUUUAAUCGGAAAACUCUUGAGACUUGUGCAGCCUCUUAAAUUCAAAAGUUUAAGGCUCUUAAGCACUCCGGUUGAUGGAUGGACAUCUAUUAAUCUGGUACAACAACCUUCCAUUAUCAAAACUUUAAGUUUUUGUGCUGUUGUGAAGUCUGGUGUCCUGAUCAGGUUUCGGGACCCUUUGAGGUUGAUCAUUUUCAACUUAUACAAAGGCUGUUGAAGACAACAAUAAAUUACAGAGAAAUUAGAAAAUAUAAUAACGCUCAUUUUUGUAUUUUUUUACCUUAAUCAAAGUUUAAUCAUUUAUAUUAAAAUAAGUUAAAACACAAGGAUAAGAUGAGUUAAUUCUUACUAUGUUUCCUUUACAUAGUUGCUCAAUGUGACUAUAUGUUAAAAGAAGUGUGACAAGGUUGUCCGGUUGGAAGCUUGAAGACAAGUAUCUUAAAGGAUAUCCUGUCCAAUCUAAAAGUCGUAGUUCAUUAGAAAGAUAUUUGAGAUUGUCACAAUUUGAUUGGCAAAGCACUUUGAGCAAUCUCAAUUUUUUCAUCUUCGAGAAGAUAUCCACACUCAAAUUGAGCAUCUUGCUCGAUUCCCUAAUAACCAUGAGCAAAAUAAAAAUAAACUUCAAAAUAUACAAAAACAUUCGAUAUCUAAAAGCUAUGUUGCAUCAAUAUUGUUUUUUUAAGUACAUGUACCCCAUACUUAAAUCUAAUAUAUAUCCGAAUAGAGUAUUGAGAUAGGAUUGAACAUAUUAAACAAUACUCUAUCUAACACUUACAUUCAUCUUUUAAUUACCUAAACCUAAAAAAAUUAGAACUAAUAUUUUAAUUUAUGUUUGGUGCAAUAAUAUGUAAUUCUAUACAUUAUUGGUGAACCAAAUGAUCGCAUAACUUGGAUUUAUUUUUGAAAACUUUUAAUGACAUGAUAUAACCUAGUUGAUUGAUAUAUUGUCAUUACAUAAAAUAUAAACCAUCAAUAUUAGUAAACACAAUGACAUACAUCUCUUUAUAAUUUCCUGUGAAAGAGUAUUGUGUUUCUAUAUAAAAUAUAAUAAAUAUAUCAUCAAAACAUUAAGUAUUAAGAUUGUGCUUGGUUAGGUGAAAAGUGGAGGAAUAUGAGGAUGAAAUGGAAAAGUAAUAGUGUCAAGAGAAAUAUAUUUUCCAUUCAAUUUCCAUCUUUUCUACCAAACACAUCUAUGGCAAAAAAAUUUAUGUUUUCCAUCCUUUCAGUUUUUUUAUCCUAAUUUCUUUCCACUCUACCAAGAAAAGCCAAAAAAGGUUUUGUCAUUUUUAUUGGAUAUUUUUCAAAAAAUAAUAAAAAUAUUAAUAGUACAUAUUGAUAAAUUUAUGUAUGUAUUCUUACCUUUUAUUGUCGAUGAUCAUGCCUUCAAUCACUUUGGUUGCCUAAAAAGAAUCAAGAAUAGACAAUAAGAAGACAAAAUAAAUGGUCUAAAUUGUACAAAAAAAACUUUUGAAAAAUUACAUACGUGCUCAACAUUAUCACAAUCUUUUGGUCAAAAUAUAGUAAAUAAAAUAUUUUAAACAAAGUAAAACAUUUACUAAUGAGAGUAAUUCAAUAAAAUUAGACACUUGUAUUACAAAUCCUUAUUAAUAUUUAUAAUCAACAAAUGAAAAUUAUCUUAAAGUUACUCAAUGUUACUUAAGGGUUGAUACGUAAAUCGAUUAGAUUAAGCUUUGGAUUUACAUCAUAUAUUGAUAGAAAUAAAAUUUUGUAUGUAAUUUUUGUUGAAUGAUUUACCGUGUUUUUUACUAGAACAUGAUGGACAUCGCUUUCCUUCCACAAUCUACAACGUUUUCCAGGUUUAUCAACACAUUUUUCUUCAACAAUUUUUCUUCCCAUUUCUUGCAAUAAGGCAUGCAUCCUCAAAUAUUGGUUGUCAUCGCUGACUUUUAUAAGAGAUUUCUUAAUGAGAACAUCGAUUCCAAUAUUCGAAAAAAACUCACAACCAUCUAAUACUUUCAUUACCAAAUCUUUCUUCUCCCCGUUGAAAAAGCAUACUAUAUCUAGAAAUAUAUUCUUUUCCCUUUCUUCCAGUCCAUCAAAGUUGAUUCUUAGUGUGUCAAGAAUUUCUUUGUUAGAAUCUUGUUUAAGUCUUUCAAUUGCACUUCUCCAUUGAGCUAAAUCUCUACCGUACAAAAAAGAACCCAAGAUUUCAAGAGCUAAGGGGAGACCACCAGCGUAACGUACAACAUGUUUAGAGAGCUCAAUAAAAUCAUCUUUUAGUACUGUAUCACUAUCAAAAGCUUUCAAAUUGAAAAGCCUAUGUGCAUCGUUUGGAUUCAAUGUUGUAGGUUUAUACACAUCAUCGAUUCGAUAAGAUCGGAGCAAUUAUUCAUCUCUUGUUGUUACAAUGAUCCUACUCCCUAAAUUGAACCAAUUACGUCUUCCAACCAAGCAUUUCAAGUGUUGUACGCUAUCAACAUCAUCAAGAACAACAAGAACUUUUUUGCUAGACAAUCUACAGCUAAUUUUGGCAUUCCCUUCAUGAACAUUGAAAAAGUUGAGGCAUUCAUCUGGCAUGAUUUGAGAAAGAAGUUGUUUCUGUAAAGAAACAAGUCCAUGUUUGUUUGAAACUUCUCGAAUAUCAGCAAAAAAACAUUUACCUUCAAAAUGAGAUGAUAUUUGACUGCAAACAACCUUUGCAGGAGUUGUUUUACCGAUGCCACCUAUUCCGCAAAUUCCAAUGAUGCGGACAUCGUCUUCCCCAAUGUUUAUUUUCGAAUACAACUCCUCCAAACGUAAACUAAUUCCAAUACUCACCAUGAUCAUGAUCAAUUGGAUAUAUCUGAUCUAAUUUUGCUAAUAUCUUCUUAUCAAUGUCUCUGAUAAACUCUGGUUCAUGCCUACAAUGAAAUAAAAAAUCGUUGCUAUCUUUCAAAUGAUCUUUUUCAUUUUUAAUUCAACGAAUCAAGAAAUAUAAUAUAGCUGGAAGCAAACAAAAAGCAAGAAUAAGACAGUAAGAUAUAUUAUAACAUCAAAAUACAGAAGUUGCUCGUUAGAAUUCUUAGUUAAACACGAAAUCAUAAAAAAAUAACAUGCAAUAAAAUAAAAAACAAUCUUUUAGUCAUUAAAACUAGGAAAUAUGGAAGAAAAGAAAGAAAUACCUAUUAUUUAAAUGCCAUCCCGAGAUGUUAGCCACUUCAGUCGAAGCAUUUCGCCACUUUUGGAUCUUGUCUUUAUCUUUCUUGUAUCUUUCUUCGUGUUUGGCGAAGGCUUCUUCAACUUUUCCCUUCUUUUUUCUUAAAUCGGAUGGAUCCACGUCAUAGAAAAUUGGAAAUACUUCAUGACCCUUGUCAUUUUUCUGUUUAACAAUCUCCGCAAGCUCCUCCAAGCACCAACCUGAAAAGGCAUAGGUCUCCGAAAAAACGAUUACCGAGCACCAUGAUUGCUGAAUUGCUUUGAAGAGUUCCGGUGCGAUCUCUUCACCGGCCUCCAACUUUGGAUCGUCUCUAAAAGUGACAAUCCCACUUCUAUUUAGAGCAUCGUAGAGAUGAUCCGUAAAGUUCUUGCGGGUAUCUUCACCUCUAAAACUCAAGAAAACAUCGUAUUUCUUUCUAGAAAUGGAUGAGGAAGUCGAAAGUAACGACAACAUGAGGAUAUAUGAAAAGAAAAAUAUAUCUCAAUCUGGUUUUGAAAUUCAGAAAAAUAUAGAUGGGCCAAUGCACCAGAAAGAAACUAGAAACAUUAAGUAUAUGAGAAUGAAAAAGGAGAAAAACAGAUGAAGUUUCGAGGGAAAAACAAAGGAUUUUUGUAAGAAAUUUCUGUUUUACUUUUCGAAAUGAAUCUACCAUGAAAGGGAGUCGGUGUGGAAAUUCGGGGUUAUAGCUGUUGUUUCCGGGAAGAUUCCAUGAAGGUGAGAGUUGACAAAACGGAGCCUUCAAUGGGUUGGAUGGUUUGUGUUUUACUUUUUUUAUUUUUACAUUAUCAUAUCCACCUUAUAGUCAGCAGCUUCUAAUAUAAGAUAUGUGAUUUUAGAGAACUUUAAUAUUUAAUUAAUUUUUUUAAAUAUUACACUCUUAAUUAUAGUAAUUAUUAUAAGAUUUUUUAUUUAAAUUAUUGAAUAUAAGUAAAGAAUCUUAAUUUAAUAAUUUAAAUAUUAUAAUAAAUAUAUAUUGAAUCGAAUUGGAAAGCGCAUGUUCCAUUAAUGAAUUAUGCUCGGUUGUUACUUCAGAAUGGCUGAUAAAUAGGGGGCAUAGACUGUGGUCUUUACAGAAUUUAUUUGGGGAUAUCAACUGUGGUACUAGGCAGAUGGCUCAAUUUCAGGUUGCAGUUACUCAUCGACAAAGUAAUGGUACGGAAGAUGCUGUAUAUUGAGAUCUUCUUUUUUUAAUUUCUCAUGGUGAAUUGGAUAGAUGUUUUCUUGUACUUGUUGUGUACUGGUUUUUGUAUCUAGAUGUCAGUUGUGAUAUUGUUGUACUCAUGUUGCUCUUGAAAGAGUUGGUGGUUCCAACGUCUUUCUUGAAGUAUUUCUUCGAUUGAGCAAAAAAAAAAAUUUUUUUUAAAAGAUUAUAAUAGAUAUUUUUAAAAAUGAUAAUUAAAAUAUUUUUAACAUAUUUAACAUACAAUAUAAUUUUCCUUUAUAUAACUAAUGUAAAAUAAUAUUAUUUUUAAAUAUAAAUUUAGUAAUAUGAAACAAUAAAAAAUAUUUUCAGUCAGUUAAAAAUCAUCAACUUAAAUAUAAAUUUAGUAAUAUGUGGAUGUACUUGUUAUGAGCACGAGGAAGGAGAAAAACACACGAAACAACAAUCAACUUUUAUAAGAAAUUUGUGUAUACUUUCCCACCUUUUACUUUUCCAAAUGAAUCUAAGUUGACGAUAAUACCUAUUAAAGGGUGUAGGUGUGGAAAUUCCGGGCUAUAGAUGUUUCCUGGAAGACUACAAGACGGUGAGAGUUGGCAAAAUGUAGCCUUUUAUAGACCAAAUUGGGUUGGGUUUAGUCUGAGCCCAAUUAAAAUUUUAGACCCGUUUAUUAAAUUUAGGCUCAGUUUCAUCUAAAAAAUAAAUUUAAAUUUUUUCAUUCUCAAUUCAGAUAAAAAUAAUAAAAUUCGAGCUUGGCUUGUCUAUAUUAGAUUUUUAUAUUAUUUUUACAUGAAUUUUUUAAAAAUAAUAUAAUACAUUAAAAAUACUAAAAAUAUUAAAAUAAAUAUUUUCUAACAAAAUAAAAAUAAAUUAAAAAAUAUGUAUACUUAAAUAUUAAAUAUUAAUGUUAUUUAAGAACGAAAAAAAAAUUUAUUUGAACAAAGAACACUGUUAUUUAAGUUACAAAUAUGUAUUAUAUUAAUCUUAUCCUAAUAACGGUGUUAUAAUAGCAUGCUAUUGUAACGUUUUUAAGUAACAAAUACAAACAAUAUUUUUUUGUUUUUUAACCUUGUGAAGUUCUUAAUAACACUGCUAUUUAUUUAAUAACAUGCUAUAAUAAUAAUGUAAUAAUAUAUUAAUCCUAUUUGAAUCGGAUUUAAUAUAUUAGUAACACUAAAUUUUAAAAUAUAUAUAUGUUUAAAUAACCGUGUUAUUGUAACACUAAGAUAAGUACAACUUAACAAGUAAAUAACUUUAAAGUAGCAACAAAAUUAACAAUAAAAUAAGAGUUAUACAAUAUUCAAACAAUAAAAUAAGAGUUAUAUAAUAUUCAACCAAUAACAACAUAAUAGUAAAAUGGUAGCAAAAUAGUGAGAAAACAACUAAAAAAUAGCAACAAACCAGUAAAAAAUAAUAUUUUUUUCCAAAUUCUGGUCGGGCCGAGCUUAGGCCAAAAAAGCCUUACCUGAGGCCCGACCAAUUUUUUAAACGAGCAUUAUCUUUUUGUCCAAACCCAAUUUUCGGGUCUAUAUUUUUGUCCAAACUCUUCCACUUUUCGGGCAGACCUUUGGGUUGAGACGAGUAGUCCAACCCAUGGACAGGCCUAUCUACAAUUAUUAUUAAGUAAUAAGUAAAGUGUUGGAUGGUUUGUAUUUUACUUUUUUUUUUUUUUUGCAUUAUCAUAUCUACUUUAUGAUUACUAGCUUCUAAUGUCACAUAAGUUGGUCACAAAUGAAAAUGAAAUAGUUUUAACUCAGCCAAAAUUAUGACCUAAUUCUCAUUAAAGGAUUUCGUCUUAUUAUUACAUACUUCGUCACAAAAGUUAUCCAUUUUUUCCACAUUUUUGUCUCAAGUUGAUUAUAUUUACUUCAACCUUCAAAUUGUUAUCAAAAUGUAAAAAGGAAUGAAUUAAGUGACUAAAAUUUUAAAUGGUAUAACAAAAAAACUAUAUUAUCAACAUUUGAGAUAAGUAUAGAAUAUGAGCUCAUGUUCAAUAUGGAUACAAAUAAAAAUUUUAAUUUUUUUUUUGGUAGAUAAGAAGAUUAUGUCUCAUAGGCAAAUUGUUAAAGAUGACCAGCAACGCAACAACAAGGAUGUUUUGGUGCUUAAUCAUGCAGCUGUUUUUUUUUUUCAAACUAGUUUAGUUUAUUUGUAAUCAAUCUUGUUGGUGUAGAAAGACUAGUUAGUUUAUUUGUUUAUGUUUAGGUGAUGAUUUAGCUUAUAAGUCAACUUGUUUAUGUGUUCAAGUUAUGUUUUGUGAGUUUCAAUGUCAUUGGUGGGAGUUGUUAUGUAUUAGGCAAUUGUUUGUAACAAAAGUGAACAAUUGCCUUAAUGAAAAUCAUAUUAGCUACGAGUUUUUGCUAAUCAUCUUUCAUUCUUCUUCAAUUUUCUUUUCUUCUAUAUUUUUCUAUUUUGGUAGCAAAAACUCGACAAAUGUUAUCAAGAGUCUGUCAUCUUUGAGGGCCUUUGUUCUUUGAUGUUUGUUCCUUAUUGUUUGUUUGGAAAGAAAGAAACAUUCAUUGUUGUUUGUUUGAAAAGAAAGAAACAUAAGUUGUUUUUGUUACUAUAAAAAAAUUGAGUUUUUCACCUCUACCACCACCUAUUUUUGCAAGUGAAAACUACCACAUAUGGGUAGUGAAAAUGAAAACUUAUUUACAGGCUCAUGAUUUGUGGAGUGUGGUUGAGGCUGAUGCAGAAUCACCUCCAUUGAGAGCUAAUCCUACCAUAGCUUAAAUUAGACAAUAUAGUGAUGACUGUGCUAAGAAAUACAAGGCAAUGUCCUGCCUACAAAAUGGAGUAUCAGAUGUGAUCUUCACCAGAAUAUGACAUGUGACUUUCCAAAGCAGGCUUGAGAAAAGCUAAAGGAAGAGUUUUAGGGGUUUGAUAAAACAAGGCAACACUAGUUGAUAAAUUUGAUGAGAGACUUUGAAAAUUUAAAGAUGAAAGAGUCAUAAUCGAUCAAGCAAUAUUCUGAUAGGAUAAUGGCCACAGUCAACAAUAUCAGAUUGCUUGGAGAUGACUUCAGUGAUAGAAGAAUUGUUCAGAAAGUUAUCACAACUCUUCCAGAAAAGUAUGAGUCAAAGAUCUCUUCAUUGGAGGACUCGAGAGAUUUAUCAAUUAUCUCAUUGUCAAAGUUAAUAAAUUCUCUUUAUGUAUAAGAGUAAAGAAGGGCUAACAGAUUGGAGCUUUUCAGGCCGGAAGCAAGGAUGGCUCAACAUCAAAUUGUAAGGGAAAGAAACCUUAGUCAGAAAAGAAAGAGAAGCUAAAGAGAGAAGGUGGAAAGAAAAUGUUCCCACCAUGCACUCACUACAAGAAGUCCACACAUUUAGAAAGAUAUUAUUGGUAUAGGCCUGACAUCUAGUGUAAAAGUUGCAACCAACUAGGCCAUAUGGAGUAAGUUUGUAAAAAUAAGGAAAACCCAUAAUAAUAGCAGUAGAAUCAAGUUCAAGCUUAAGCUACUGAUGACAACCAAGUUCAAGAUGAUCAUGUUUUCACUACAUCCUAUUUUGCAACCUCCAGUAGGGUAAAAAAGGAUUGGCUAAUUGAUAGUGGCUGCAUACAUCAUAUGACAUUAGAUGAAAGAAUAUUCAAGGAGUUAAACAUCAGUUUUGUUUCAAAAGUUAGAAUUUGGAAUAGAAAUUUCAUUAAAGUCGAAGAGAGAGGAGAGGUCGUGGUCAACACUCACUAAGGUAUCAAAACAAUCUCAGAUGUCCUUUUUGAACCUGAAAUUGAUAAAAAUUUAUUUAGUAUUGGUCAGCUUAUAGUGAAAGGUUAUUCUCUCAUUUUCAAAAAUAAAGUCUAUGUAAGGUUAUUCUCUCAUUUUCAAAAAUAAAGUCUAUGUGAUUGUGGACUCAUUUGGUUAGGAGCUAGUAACAGUGGACAUGGUUGAUAGAUGUUUUAUUCUAGAUGUAAAUUAGUUAACAACGAAAGUUUAUGCUAGUCUAAUUGAUGAAUCAUGUUUAUGGCACAAAAUAUUAGGGCAUGUUAAUUACAGAUCACUUAGUUUGUUGCACAAGUUGGAUCUAGUUGAAAAUAUGUCUAAGGUUGAUGUUAAAGAUGAAGUUUGUGAGGUCUAGAGCUUGGGAAGCAAGCCAGAUUUAUCAUUUUUAGUCAACACAACUUGGAGAGCUCAUAAUAAGCUUCAACUGGUCCAUAAUGUGGACCCAUGAAGACUUCCUCUCUAAGUGACAAUAGGUAAUUUGUUUUAUUUAUUGAUGACUGCAUAAGGUUUUGUUGGGUAAAAUUUUUGAAGCAAAAAUAAGAGGUAGCUUAUUUCUUUUGCAAGUUUAAAUGCUUAAAUGAAAAUCGGGCAAACUAUAAGCUUAAGGUCUUAAGAUCAAACAAUGGCACUGAGCACUUGUCAGAAAAGUUUCAGAAGCUUUGCGUAGAGGCAGGAAUUUAGCAUCAACUGACUACAAUUUAUACACCUAAGCAGAAUGGUGUUUGUGAAAUAAAGAAUCGAAUAGUGUUGGAUAUGGCUAGGUGUUUGUUAUUUAAAAGCAAAUUGCCAAACACUUUUUGGGUUGAGCCAGUGAAUACCUCAGUGUAUUUGCUUAAUAGGUUACCAACUAAUGCAGUGAAAGGAAAGACACCUUUUAAAGCUUCGUUUGGACACAAACCAUCUAUUUCACAUUUGAAAGUGUUUGAUUGCAUCUAUUAUGCACUUUUACUAGCUAAAAAGAAAAGCAAGUUAGAGAGAAAGUCAAUGCUUGGAUUUUUUGUUGGCUACAAUAGCACAAAGAAAGAGUACAGGGUUUUUGAUCCUUCCACCAAUAAGAUUUUUGUGAGUAGGGAUAUGAAGUUUAAUGAAAAUAGUGGAUGGAAAUGGUAUGGCACAGAUGCAACUUUGCUUGAACAAGAUAAAAAAGAAAGUGGUCUACAGCUAGUUGAAAAUGAAAUUCAUUUUGAUGUAGGGUUUGAUGACAUACCUAUUAGGGGUACAAGGCCAAUCACUAACAUUUAUCAAAUGUGUGAUCUGGCCAUUUUGGAGCCUUAAAUUUUUUAUGAAGCUUCCAAAGAAGCUUGUUGGAAAGAAGCAAUGCAAGCAGAAAUGGACAUGAUACACAAGAAUGAUAGAUGGGAACUGGUUGAUAGGCCAGUCCAGAAAAGAAUCAUUGGCGUAAAAUGAGCAUUCAAGACCAAGUAUAAUGAAAAUAGGUCACGGAAUAAGUGCAAAGCAAGUUUAGCAGUGAAGGGACACAUCUAACACAUGGAGUCCAUUUUUUAGAAACAUUUGCACUAGUUGCAAGGUUAGACACUAUAAGGCUCCUAUUUGCUUUAGCAACUCAAAAAAUGUGGAAUAUAUACCAGUUGGAUGUAAAAUCUACCUUUUUGAAUGGUUUUUCUCAAGGAGGAGAUUUUUGUUGAACGACUAGAAGGGUUCAAAGUGAAUGGUAAAGAAUCCAAAGUUUGCAAGCUUAAGAAAGCCUUGUAUGGCCUAAAACAAGCUCCAAGGGCAUGAUAGAAUUGAUGCUUAUCUGCCACAGCUUGGGUUUUAAAAAAGUGUCGAAACCAUUUUUAAAAUCGAGUUUUAGGAAAAUGGGAAUCGACUUUAAAAAUGAAAACGGGAGUCACCACUAAUCUUUUUAGGUGUGAUUGGAUCACCUUAUAAAAUGUUUUGUUUUAAAACAUUAAUUUUGGUCUACGAAAGUCGAGAAAACGGAUUCGGGAGUCGGUUACGUACGAGUAAGGGUUAGCACCCUCGUAACGCCCAAAAAUUGGUACCUAAUUGAUUAUCAAGUGUCUUUAAUGUCGGAAAUUAAAAAAUUUUAAGAUGUAGUCCUCUUUAAAAUAUUUUAAUUUUGAAAAUUUGGGUUCACCCGUAUCAAAGUAUUGACACUAAGUUAACCUUUUUUGGAAAUUCUUAUCUCGAAACAACAAAACGCUAUAUCCAAUAAGUUAGGACAUAUUGCUUUAAAAUUCCAAGAUAGUGGCUUGCAUUUAGAAAACCUUUAAAAAAACUUAGAAGGGUACUUGAUUAUUCAAACUCAACGAGAAAAGUGGCAACCCAAUAAGUUAGGGCACUACUUUCUCGAAAUUUCCAAACACCAAGCAUUGCCUUUAUAUUUUUUUGAAAACUUUGGAGUCUCAUUUUUAAAAAAAAAUGUUGCAUAAGGAAUCACAUUAUCACUAUAGAAUAGAAUAUUGCAAUAAUAAGCGAAUAAAACAUGCAUUUUAACGAUACAAUAGCAAUAAUACAAAAAUCAUAUACUAGAUGCAUACAUUUUAGAAUUACAUAACAUCAUAUAUACAAAGAUACAUAUAACCUAUAUUGAAGAUGGAUAAGCAAAACAUACAAACAUACAUAGUAAUAAUUAAGAAAUGAUACAUGAUACACAAUUUAAAAGAAAUAUAAUAUCGAUGUACAUGUUCACAAAAUAUAACAUCAAGUAAUAAAUAUAAAAAAACACUUAACACACAUCAUACAUAAUAUAAAAACUACAUAAAAGAAUUAAUAUAUAUAAAAUAUAAUAUAAGGUGAAUAAUUGUUAACAAAAUAUACAUAUAAUACAAAUAAAAAUAUGACAUUUAAUAAUAAUUUUAAAAUAGUAUUUAAUUAUACAAUAUGUAAUAUAUAAUAACAGAAUUUAAAAAUAUAUUGUUUUAAAAAAAUAAUGUAUAAGAAUUUAUAUUUAUAAUAAAAUAAUUUUAGUGUAAGUUUAGCAUAAUAUAAAAUAAGUAAUUAAUGAUGAAAUAUACAUGUUAUACAAAUUAUAAUAUUAUAAUAUCCUCAAAAUAUGUAAUAAUAGAAUAUAAAUAAAGUAAUUAUUAAUAUAUAAAUAAAGAUAAGUAUAUAAUACAAGUUAAAUCCUUUAAUGAUAAUAACAUAUAGAUAAAAAAUAUAUAAUAGUAUAAAAAAAUGACAUAAUAAUAUAAAAUAAUAUAUAAUAUGUAUGUAAAAAUAAGGUAUAGUAUAUAUACAAAUAUUUAAUAUAUAAUAUAAGUAAAAAUAUAAUAACCAUAUAUAAAUAAUAAUGUAAAAUAAUAAUAAUAUAAAAUAACAUAUUGUUAAAAUGUAAGAUAAUAUAAAGAUAAAGAUAUUUAAAAAUUAAGUGGUAAAAAUAUAGUAUAGAUAUAGGAAAAUAAUAUACGAUAAAAAUAUAAGUAGUAUUUUUAAUAAUAAUAUAUGUAUAGCUUUUAAAAAUAAAUAAGUUAUAUAUAAAAUAAAAUAACAAAAUUUAAAAAUAGUAAAAACAAGGGUUAAAGUUGAAUUUAAAUAGACUUAUAAGGCUAAUUUGCAAAAUAGUAUAAGUUCUGGGCUUGAUUUGCAAGAAUUAAGACGACAAAGGACUCACUGGGCAAUUUGCCCUAAUCCUAAGCGACGUUGUUUCCAGAAUGCAAUAACUGUUGGGACUAAAUUAAAACUAAAACAAAAUAAUAGGGCCAAAUCAUAAAUAAAAUAAAGCGUAAUUAUAAACUAAAAAGGGUGGAAGGACCGAUUGGGUAAUUAACCCAAUUCUAAAAAAUACGCGGAUCAUCCCCGGGUAAUCGGGUCAACGCGCGGAUCCUGAGGCCUUUAAAUGACGUCGUUUUUAGGCUUAUUAACUUAAGCUAAAAUGGUGCCGUUCUGUUAAUGCUAUAUAAGCCAAUUUUUAGUUUUUGAAUCAUUUGAAAUCUGUUUUAAAAAAAAAAGAAAAAACUCUUUGAAGGAGAGUUGGGGAGGGGUAUUCGGAGGGUCACCGGACCUCCAUCUAGGGGUCUACAUGCGCUCACGCGCCCCCGUUGCCUCCACCGCACAUGGUGGUCAGAGGUUUAAAUACCUUUGUUCCCUCAAGCAAAACCCAGGUAACCUCUUUGUCUUUUUAACAUCCACAGUUUUUUACUAAAACAGUUCAUAUAUAUAUUCAAAAAUAAAACACGAGACACAUGAUUAAAUCACCUUUUCUAAAAACUGUUGGUAUUUCCUUGAACGAAUCUAUGUAAGUAGAUUUCUAUUCUGUAAAAAAGUCCCUUUACACUGUUCUGAUUCGGGCUUUUAUAGCCACUGUUGCUAUUACAUUUUUGGAAAGAAACCUUUUCUUCCAUGUUUAUUUUGUUUGCUGUUGCGUUUCUUUCCUUCUUUUAUAGGUAUCAUCAAGGAAUCCGGCAAUGACAGUGCUGGUGUGGAUUCUUGGUGUUGGUGAGGCGCUGAUUACGGAGGCAGAGCCUUGAGUGAUGGCCUCGAUUGGAGAGCUGGACAGACGCUCCCCGAACCUUCUAGAACCUGUUGCGGUGCGAGGGGAAAGAGCUAGGGUUGAAAACCCUAGCUGAUAAUUUUGGGUUUUUGGGCCUCUGUUGUUUGGGUCUAGUUUAGGUCUGGGCUUCGGGUGCAUUUGGGUUAAGGUUGUAAUUGUAAUGGGUCUAGGGUGUAAACGGGUUAAGGGAUAGUUUUAGGCCUGCUAGGUAGUAAUCGGUCUAUUUGGGUAUAACGGGCCUGAAGUAUUUGGGCCAAAAGGGUUUGAGCUAAAGGAUAUUGGGUUAGUUUAGGGUCUGUUGGGCUGGUUAUUUUAUUUGGUUUUGUAACCUGGACUGUUUUUUGAAUGGACUUAAAUAAAUAUUUAUUUAUUAUUUUGCUUUUGGGUUUUAAAACCCAGUCAAAUUUGGGCUACUACAGUUGCCCCUCUUUGCUCAUUGCUGUGUAACAGGAAUUGAGCAAAGACUCAGAAAGACCAAAUUUGACCGGUCUUAUCAUGGUCUUCAAUCUGCUUCUCGUAAACUUAUGACUGUCAUGUUGGUAUCUUCGAUCUGCUCUCCGCCAAACACAGAGACGCCAAAUUUGCUUCUUCGAUUGUUCCUUGUAAGCACCAGGGUACCAAACCAUCUUGGAUCUGCUUCAGCAUAAACAUCUGAAGGUGAGAUCUGCUAUGUAUCUGCUCUUCCUCAAAGUGAAGAACCAGACUUUGAUUCAUUCUCUGACAAUACAGAGAUGCCAAAUCAUCUUAGAUUUGCUUCAGCGUAAACACGUGAAAGCCAAAUCAGCUAUGUUUUCGAUUUGUUCCUUGUAAGCACAAGGAUGCCAAACCAUCUUGGAUCUACUUCAGUAUAAACAUCUGAAGGUUGGAUCUGCUAUGUGUCUGCCCUCCGUCGAAGUGGAGAUUCCAGACUUCGAUUUGUUCUCUGACAAUACAGAGAUGCCAAAUCAUCUUAAAUUUGUUUCAACGUAAGCACGUGAAAGCCAAAUCAGCUAUGGCUUCGAUUUGCUCCUUGUAAGCACAAGGAUGCCAAACCAUCUUGGAUCUACUUCAGUAUAAACAUCUGAAGGUUGGAUCUGCUAUGUGUCUGCCCUCCGUCGAAGUGGAGAUGCCAGACUUCGAUUUGUUCUCUGACAAUACAGAGAUGCCAAAUCAUCUUAGAUUUGCUUCAACGUAAACACGUGAAAGCCAAAUCAGCUAUGUUUUCGAUCUGCUCUCCGCCAAUACAGAGAUGCCAAAUCCGGUAUCUUUGAUCUGCUCUCUGACAAUACAAAGAUGCCAAAUCUGCUAUCUUCAACUCGUUCCCUAUAAACACAGGGAUGCCAUGCUGAAAUCUUCGAUCUGCUUCGCUGUAAGCACAUGAGUGUCAGAUCUGUUAUCUUCGAUCUGUUCCCUAUAAACAUAGGGAUGCCAAAUCUGCUAUCUUCAUCUUGUUCCCUAUAAACACAUGGAUGCCAUGCUGAAAUCCUCGAUCUACUUUGCUGUAAGCACAGGAGUGUCAGAUUUGUUAUCUUCGAUCUGUUCCCUAUAAACAUAGGGAUGCCAAAUCUGCUAUCUUCAACUUGUUCCCUAUAAACACAGGGAUGCCAUGCUGAAAUCUUUGAUCUACUUCGCUGUAAACACAGGAAUGUCAGAUCUGCUAUCUUCGAUCUGUUCCCUAUAAACAUAAGGAUGCCAAAUCUGCAAUCUUCAACUUGUUCCCUAUAAACACAGGGAUUCCAUGCCGAAAUCUUCGAUCUUCUUCGCUGUAAGCACAGGAAUGUCAGAUCUGCUAUCUUCGAUCUGUUCCCUAUAAACACAGGGAUGCCAAAUCUUGUUUCUUUGAUCUACAUUGUCCCAUAAAAGACAUAACCUGUAGAAUGCGUAUGAGUUCAUGCCUAAUAAUUAGGAUGCUAUGAUCGAAGUGAGUCAAAUUCUCCUAAUUAGACAUGUUAUAAUGCAAAAUGUUAUGAAAAUGAUUCCUAUUUUGGAUGUCAUCACUCAUUCCUUCAUCGAAGUUUAUCCUUACUUCUCUCGAAGUCUCAUUCCAACUCAACUUGUGGGUUUGUACCAUUCUUCAAAUGCUAUGACCUGCUGAAAAUGUCUGUAAGAUGAUCCUCUCCUAAGAUCGAAUCGUUUGAUUUGUUCAAUCAUCAUUUAGACUGAAGAAGAAAUUUCAGUUUCCCGGAGUACAUCCGACCCUCACAUAUGGGAAUUCCUUAAACAAUUGUCUUGUUUCAGUUUCUUUUAUUAUCUAGAAAUUUCCAGAGUAAUAUGCAAAACUUCAUUUGUGAAGAUAUUUUAGUUCAUCUAUCAUUAUUUCAAUGCAACAUGCUUUAUGAAUAAUAGGAGACAAAUAAAUUGAUCCUGAGGAUAAUUAGAUUUGGACAAAUUAUUGGAAGGAAUAUAAAAAGAUUAACUUGAGAACAUAUCUUUGCGAAGAAAAAGAAUCCAAAGAUAGUAAAUAGGACAGAAAUCAGAUGCCCCAGAUAUCGCCGCUUGAGCGUCUAUACACCAGCUCCAUGAAGGCUUUCUUAAGUUCAACAUGUGUUUAAAAGAUCCAAAGUAAUUCGUUGAUGCCUCGAUAUACUUCACUUCUCUUCGAAUCCGGUAUAGCAAAGUCACUGCAUUACUUUCCAAAUUUGAGCUGCCCUUUCGGGUUUUCAACUGAAAACCCCUUUUGUCUCAAGGCGCCCUUUGCGGGUUUUCACCUUGGCCUCUCCAUUUUUUCUUUUUUCUCUUUUUUAUUUUUAUUUUAUUUUAUUUUUUUCUCUUUUUCUUUUCUUUUUUUCCUUUCUUUUUCUUGAAAUAGAAGUCCCAAAGUACCCUUUGCAGGUUUUCACCUUGGCUUCCCUUCUCCUUCAGAUAAAGUACUCCUUGACCGAGUCCGAAUUCACUGGAUCAGAUAAAUUCUUCCUAUCCAUUUCUUGUCAAAAUCAGUGCACCUCUAGAGAAAGCCCUCUUUGCAACAUAUGGCCCUUCCCAAUUCGGCAUCCUUUUGCAUGGGAAGGAUCUCUUUCAGCACAAGGUUUCCUUUAUGAAAUUCUUUUGGACGAACCUUCUUUGUCAUAAGUCUGUGUCAUCCAUUCUUGGUACAUUUUCUUAGGAUGAAUACUUUCAAGUUAAGUUUACUAGAGGUAUUCAAUUCUUGACUCCAUCAAAUCUUGGAGGAAAAAUCUUGAUUCAUAAACCCAUGAGAAAGGGAUUGCCCUAGCAGCAGUCCUAGCUGUUGUUUGUCAAACCCUACAAAAAGAUGGUUCAAUGAUUCUCAGCAGACCUUGUUGACUUUAUCCUUCAACCUGGAAAGCUGAGGUACAGAGAUUACUCCCUGAGCAUACAUCCCACCAUGACUCAAUGAUGUUUCUGAAACAUCCCUAAUCUUCAUAAAUUGCCCCCAACUGUGAAGCUGCCAAAUGAGCGUAGCAAAUAGGAGCCAUAAAAAAUAUGGCUGUGGUGCUCCUUUGAUACAUAUAGGAUAGAGAAUGAACAAAAUCUUGCAGAUCAUCAGCCGAAAACCUAGCCUGGUCUAAGAGAACAUGAUAGUGGGUCUGCCUCGUGAUUCCAAUCAUUCCAGCAUGGGUACCAAGGUAAAAAUCAUUAUUCUUUGGAUGGCAUACUUUGUUGUCAAUGACAGUACCAUGUAGCACAUUGUCAAGAGAUCCCUGCUGAAAAAAACUUGGUAUGAUAGUUUUUCGUACAACAAUAACCACAAUCUUUAGGGUUCCACUUCUCGUCAAGGAACUUGCAAGCCUCAAUAACUUGAUCAAAACUUGAUUUAAUUGAGACUCGCUAACUCCAUCCCUAAAAAUAAUGAUUUGAUCAGGUUUCCUCUUCCGUGAACUUGUAUAGAAGUCUAAGAGAGCUUCCUUCAUGAUACUGUUAUCCACUUUGUCAGAAACUGGUUUUGAACAAAGAAUCUAUCAUUUUAAUCUUCAGAGAUUGUGUACGGCCUGAUGCCCUAUAGCUGGAAAUCAAUGGCCACCGCUUGGAGCUAACCAUCGCAACUAUUGACGGCACAUCAGACUGCUCAGGAAAGCCAAACAAUGUACCCAUUCCAAGGAUGAUGGUUGGAACCUUUGAAACAACUGGAAUUGAAGGUGUUUUCCCCAGCGUAAGCAUAGAGAGUAGGCUGUAGUUUCUUAUGCCAAUUUUUACCAGUCUCGGUCAUCUUCUAUAAUUUGUUUUCUUUUUCUUUUUCUUUUCUUUUGGCAACUUUUGUUGUCCUGUGGUAUGGCGCAUUAUCUUUGAAAAGACUGCAAACUUUUGGCAUUGUGCAGUUAUAUAUAAUCUUUUUUUUUGAAAUGGAUGAAUUUUGACUUUGUAAUAUUGGCCUAUGAAGCUAUCUCCCCCUCUUAAUGGAGUAGUUGACGUCCACAAAGAUGAGUCAUUGUCAACUUGAAACUUUUGACGAGCUCGGGCCCAUAACAUACAUGCCCCAUAAGUCUUGACUCCUUUAAAUUUGGCAUUCAUUGUACAACUGAUGCGAUCCCUUUCCAUGGUGGACCAACAGUGCCUCAAAACCUCAUGUUUAUCCUGGCAAUUGCAAAUCCUCCUGCAUGCGUUUUUGGACCACAUUUUUGAAUUCCCAUAAUAGUCUCAACAAGGUCUUGUUUUGUCUCCUCAGCUAAUUCCAAUUUCGCAAUCUUUCCUUCCUCUAAGGCUAUAUUUCCUACCACCACCUCAUGGGGUAAAAAAAACCAUUUUCAACAAAUUCAGAAACAAGUCACAAUUUCUGUCACCUUCAAAGUACUGAGAUUCCUCUAAACACAUAUCGCACUCAAAAGGAACUCUGAAUCUGUAGUAUCAUUCCGUGUCAUUGAUAUCUAGGGAUCUAUGAUAGGCACACAAAAGAAUAUACAAGGAACAAAUGAAUUCAAGAAUGACUAUUUACAUGAAAUGAAAAUUUAUAAAGAAUGUCAAAGGUCAAAAGAAUCAGAAUGAAAGAAUAUUUACUCGGAUAAAUAAUAAAAGUAUGUUUUAUUGAAAAUAAAAAUGUCUGGACAUGAGCCCACUUCUCAAAAAAAAUCUCAUUACUCCUAGGAUUUAGAGCAACAAGAGUGUUUUGAAUAUUACUCCGUAAAAUUCCUAAAGAUUACAGGAAGUUCUUCUGCAGUCCAAUUGUUUAAAGAACUUCCCGGUUCGUAAGGGCGAAUGCCCUCAAGGUUUCUUUGUUCAGUCCAUUUCUCAUGUAUGACAUUGAUGGGAUGAUUUUCAUUUCCAAACACCCCCUUCUCCGGGUAAGCUAUCCCUCCUGACACAAAAGUCAGGGAUAUGUAAGGGAACGUCGUUAAUUCCCAUUCAACUUCUUUUUCACUCAGCCGUGACCCUCUUCUCUCUCUCUCUUUUUCUUUCUCUUUUUAAUAACUUUAACUAAUUAGGGUCUUUUUAUAAUUUUGAAUGCAAAUGAUGCAAUGAAAUGCUAUAAGAUGCAAAUGCAUGAAUGCAAAAGGUAUCGAUCUCGAUUCAAUCUCAUUUAGAAAACUUUAUUUAGAAAAAAAAAUAUCUUUACAUAUAAAUGGAUUACAAAUACGCUUUCGCCCUAAUGCCCAAAAUUUUAAAAUAAACUCUUAGCCACGAUCUAAUUGUAUCUCAUAUUGGUGCUCAAUAUGUCAGCCUAUACCACCAAUGUCUGUAAAUAAUCAGCUACCUCCUGAGUUUGAGCUACGACCUCACUUGUGGGGUAAUCCGUGCAGCUAGGGAUACCUCCUCCAAUACCUGUGAAAUUGUUCUGAUUAUCCUGAGAGAGAAAAUUGUGAACAAGCAGGCAUCAUUGUUCUGCAGUAUGCUGCCUUAAAAUGAUAUCCUAUAUCCUCAAUGCUUCUUGAGAGUUUUCAGAUUUCUGCUUCCGCAGAGCAUUGCUUGUAUGGGUAUCCUCAUAGCAUAGCUAAUCUCUAAAGGUAUUUGUAUGAUACGGUCUUUUUUAAUCGCUUUCUUUCACGCUUACUUGAGCUAUCCAGGCCAUCGGGCUUGCAAGUACUCAAGCUUGUUGUUUGGUAGCGGUCCUAUAGUAAACGAGCUUUUUACCAUCAUAGGCAAAAUUCUUUCCAUCCAACUCAUUUUGUAGGUCUCAUGCACUCUAUCAAUCACUUUCCUUCCAAUACCCAUACCAUCCACAUGGCAACCGUCUUCAUAUGAAAGAGAAACGCUAUAAUGGUAGAAAUGUCCAUCAAUACUCCCACACUUAUUUUGAAUUGCUCAUUUAUCCUCCUGUCAAGCAAAUACUGCAAGUCCCCUUAAUUAUUGUAGAACAACUGCUUGGCUUCAUUACUCCAUUGAUCCCAUAUUUCUUUUAACUCCUAGAGAUUAUUUUGAUCCACGCUGAUGCGAGGGUAACCCCAUAAUUCUGAUGUGUAUCCUUCAGUGUUUCCUUUGACCAUUUAUGGACGUUAACGUUGCCCUCCAUUCUAUCAAGAAGUCCGUUCUCCAUAAUAAAACUUUUUAACUUAGAAACUGACCGUGAAUCGAUACCUUUUAAAUGCAAAAUGACAUGCACAAAAGAAAGAAAAUAGUCAGUAUCAUAUGAUAUUAAUAAACAUAAAGAUAACCUAAGUAUAAUUCUAUCUAUAUUGAGCUCUUACGAUUUUUCUAUAUGUGGUUUGUUUCUAAAGUUUGAGGUACCCGAACCAGCAGAUUCCUCGACCCUCACCCAUUAUAGGCUCAUUUGAAUCGAGUUCAGUUCAGAGGAAUACAUUUCCCUAUGGCUACACGGAGAUGAAAAUCUCACGAAACCAUAGGUACGGAUGUAUCCCGAAAGUGAUCCACUAUCCUGCACAGAAGCGAAAACCUCAUGAAGGCAUAGCUUCUCACUCCCACUUAAGGGUGUGACCACAACGGUCAUGCAAAUGCAAUGCGUAUCAGAAUAUAGCAACACAUGCAAUAAUACAAACACAUGUAAUGCAAAGAGGAUUAAAUUUUAAAAUUUUUAAUUUUCGAUAUUAAGACAAGAGAUAAUCAAUUACACGGCUUGACUCUCUUAUUAGUCCCCAGCGGAGUCGCCAAGCUGUCUAAACCAUUUUUAAAAUCGAGUUUUGGGAAAAUGGGAAUCGACUUUAAAAACGAAAACGGGAGUCGCCACCAAUCUUUUUAGGUGUGAUUGGAUCACCUUAUAAAAUGUUUUGUUUUAAAACAUUAAUUUUGGUCUACGAAAGUCGAGAAAACGGAUUCGGGAGUCGGUUACAUACGAGUAAGGGUUAGCACCCUCGUAACGCCCAAAAAUUGGUACCUAAUUGAUUAUCAAGUGUCCUUAAUGUCGGAAAUUAAAAAAUUUUAAGAUGUAGUCCUCUUUAAAAUAUUUUAAUUUUGAAAAUUGGGGUUCACCCGUAUCAAAGUAUUGACACUAAGUUAACCUUUUUUGGAAAUUCUUAUCUCGAAACAACAAAACGCUAUAUCCAAUAAGUUAGGACAUAUUGCUUUAAAAUUCCAAGAUAGUGGCUUGCAUUUAGAAAACCUUUAAAAAAACUUAGAAGGGUACUUGAUUAUUCGAACUCAACGAGAAAAGUGGCAACCAAUAAGUUAGGGCACUACUUUCUCGAAAUUUCCAAACACCAAGCAUUGCCUUUAUAUUUUUUUGAAAGCUUUGGAGUCUCAUUUUUUUUAAAAAAAUGUUGCAUAAGGAAUCACAUUAUCACUAUAGAAUAGAAUAUUGCAAUAAUAAGCGAAUAAAACAUGCAUUUUAACGAUACAAUAGCAAUAAUACAAAAAUCAUAUACUAGAUGCAUACAUGUUUAGAAUUACAUAACAUCAUAUAUACAAAGAUACAUAUAACCUAUAUUGAAUAUGGAUAAGCAAAACAUACAAACAUACAUAGUAAUAAUUAAGAAAUGAUACAUGAUACACAAUUUAAAAGAAAUAUAAUAUCGAUGUACAUGUUCACAAAAUAUAACAUCAAAUAAUAAAUAUAAAAUAACAUUUAACACACAUGAUACAUAAUAUAAAAAAUACAUAAAAGAAUUAAUAUAUAUAAAAUAUAAUAUAAGGUGAAUAAUUGUUAACAAAAUAUACAUAAAAUACAAAUAAAAAUAUGAUAUUUAAUAAUAAUUUUAAAAUAGUAUUUAAUUAUAAAAUAUGUAAUAUAUAAUAACAGAAUUUAAAAAUAUAUUGUUUUAGAAAAAUAAUGUAUAAGAAUUUAUAUUUAUAAUAAAAUAAUUUUAAUGUAAGUUUAGCAUAAUAUAAAAUAAGUAAUUAAUGAUGAAAUAUACAUGUUAUACAAAUUAUAAUAUUAUAAUAUCCUCAAAAUAUGUAAUAAUAGAAUAUGAAUAAAGUAAUUAUUAAUAUAUAAAUAAAGAUAAGUAUAUAAUACAAGUUAAAACCUUUAAUGAUAAUAACAUAUAGAUAAAAAAAAUAUAUAAUAGUAUAAAAAAAUGACAUAAUAAUAUAAAAUAAUAUAUAAUAUGUAUGUAAAAAUAAGGUAUAGUAUAUAUACAAAUAUUUAAUAUAUAAUAUAAGUAAAAAUAUAAUAACCAUAUAUAAAUAAUAAUGUAAAAUAAUAAUAAUAUAAAAUAACAUAUUGUUAAAAUGUAAGAUAAUAUAAAGAUAAAGAUAUUUAAAAAUUAAGUGGUAAAAAUAUAGUAUAGAUAUAUAGGAAAAUAAUAUGCGAUAAAAAUAUAAGUAGUAUUUUUAAUAAUAAUAUAUGUAUAGUUUUUAAAAAUAAAUAAGUUAUAUAUAAAAUAAAAUAACAAAAUUUAAAAAUAGUAAAAACAAGGGUUAAAUUUGAAUUUAAAUAGACUUAUAAGGCUAAUUUGCAAAAUAGUAUAAGUUCUGGGCUUGAUUUGCAAGAAUUAAGACGACAAAGGACUCACUGGGCAAUUUGCCCUAAUCCUAAGCGACGUUGUUUCCAGAAUGUAAAAACUGUUGGGAUUAAAUUAAAACUAAAACAAAAUAAUAGGGCCAAAUCAUAAAUAAAAUAAAGUGUAAUUAUAAACUAAAAAGGGUGGAAGGACCGAUUGGGUAAUUAACCCAAUUCUAAAAAAUGCGCGGAUCCUCCCCAGGUAAUCGAGUCAACGCGCGGAUCCUGAGGCCUUUAAACGACGUCGUUUUUAGGCUUAUUAACUUAAGCCAAAAUGGUGCCGUUCAUUUAAGGCUAUAUAAGCCAAUUUUUAGUUUUUGAAUCAUUUGAAAUAUGUUCUGAAAAAAAAAAGAGAAAAAGCUCUCUGAAAGAGAGUUGGGGAGGGGUAUUCGGAGGGUCACCGGACCUCCAUCCAGGGGUCUACACGCGCUCACGCGCCCCCGUUGCCUCCACCGUACAUUGUGGUCAGAGGUUUAAAUACCUUCGUUCCCUCAAGCAAAACCCAGGUAACCUCUUUGUCUUUUUAACAUUCAUAGUUUUUUACUAAAACAGUUCAUAUAUAUAUUAAAAAAUAAAACACGAGACACACGAUUAAAUCACCUUUUCUAGAAACUGUUGGUAUUUCCUUGAACGAAUCUGUGUAAGUAUAUUUCUAUUCUGUAAAAAAGGUCCCUUUACACUGUUUCGAUUCGGGCUUUUAGAGCCACUGUUGCUAUUACAUUUUUGGAAAGAAACCUUUUCUUCCAUAUUUGUUUUGUUUGCUGCUGUGUUUCUUUCCUUCUUUUGCAGGUAUCAUCAAGGAAUCCGGCAAUGACUGUGCUGGUGUGGAUUAUCGGUGUUGGUGAGGCGCUGAUUAUGGAGGCAGAACCUUGAGUGAUGGCCUCGAUUGGGGAGCUGGACAGACGCUCCCCCAACCUUCCAGAACCUGUUGCGGCACGAGGGGAAAGAGCUAGGGUUGAAAACCCUAGCUGAUAAUUUUGGGUUUUUGGGCCUCUGUUGUUUGGGUCUAGUUUAGGUCUGGGCUUCGGGUGUAUUUGGGUUAAGGUUGUAAUUGUAAUGGGUUAAGGGUGUAAACGGGUUAAGGGAUAGUUUUAGGCCUGCUAGGUAGUAACCGGUCUGUUUGGUAUAACGGGCCUGAAGUAUUUGGGCCAAAAGGGUUUAAGCUAAAGGGUAUUGGGUUAGUUUAGGGUCUGUUGGGCUGGUUAUUUUAUUUGGUUUGUAACCUGGACUAUUUUUUGAAUGGACUUAAAUAAAUAUUUAUUUAUUUAUUAUUUUGCUUUUGGGUUUUAAAACCCGGUCAAAUUUGGGCUACUACAAAGAGCAUCAAUGAGUCUACUCUUUAUGUAAAGAAAUAUGAGAAUAAGACCUUGUUGAUUGUGUCAUUGUAUGUAGAUGAUUUGAGAUGUCUAAUUUAGGGGAGAUGACUUACUUUCUUGGCAUAGAAGUAAUCUAGACUCAGCAUGCCUUUUAUAAGUCAACAAGCAUAUUUGCUUUGAAGAUUUUGAAUAAUUUCUUCAUCGGAAACUGCAAACCUGCUAGCAUUCCGGUGGCACUAAGUGAGAAGCUUUCUAGCAAAUGUGACUAUGAAAAAGUGGACGAGAAACGGAAUAGAAGACUUGUAGGUUGUCUGCUUUAUUUGAAAGCAUCAAGGUCUGAUAUUAUGUUUGCAGUCAAUCUUCUAUCAAGAUUUAUGCGCUGCUGUAAUGUUUCUUAUUCAAAGCAGCUAAGAGGGUCAUAAGAUAUGUCAAGGGAACUCUCAAUUAUGGGGUGAAAUUUGUGAAGACUGAAGAGCUCAAGUCGGUUGGAUAUUCAAAUUAUGAUUGGGCGGGCUUGGUUGAUGAUAUGAAGAGCACAUCAGGGCAUUUUUCACUCUAGGCUCAGGAGUUUUUUGUUGGAGCUCAAAGAAGCAAUAAGUGAUGACACAAUCAACAAUAGAAGCAGAGUACAUUGCAACUACUGUAGUUGUUAAUGAAGCCAUUUGGUUGCGAAAGCUUUUGUUUGAUUUGAAUUUAAGUCAAGGGGAAGCAACAGAUAUCAAUGUUGAUAAUCAGUUUGCUAUUGCAAUUGCAAAGAAUCCAGUGUUUUAUGGCAAAACAAUGCACUUUAAGAUUAGAUAUCAUUUUGUAAGGGAAGCUAAGCAAUCGAAGGAGGUCAACCUGAUUCAUUGCAGUUUAAAAGACCAAUUUGCUAACAUUUUAACCAAGCCUCUUGGGACUACUAUGUUUGAGAGUUUGAGAAGAAGUAUUGGUGUCUGCUGCAUAAAAGCCCAAGGAGGAGGGCUGAAGAUGGCCAACAAUACAAUAACAAGGAUGUUUUGGUGCUUAAUCAUGCAAUUGUUUUUGUUUUAUCUUUCAAAGUAGUCCAAUUUAUUUUGUAAUUAGUCUUGUUGAUGUACAAAGACUGGUUAGCUUAUUUGUUUAUGUUUAAAUGAUGAUUUAGCUCAUAAGUCAGCUUGUUUAUGUGUGCAAGUUAUGUUUUGUGAAUUUUAAUGUCAUUAGUGGGAGUUGUUAUGUAUUAGGUAAUUGUUUGUACCAAAAGUGACCAAUGCCUGGAUGAAAAUCAUAUCAGCUAAGAGUUUUUUCUGAUCAUCUUUCGUUCUUCUUCAGUUUUCUUUUCUUUCAUAUUUUUCUGUUUUAGUAGCAAAAACUCAACACAAAUAACUUUAAAAUAAAGAUGUAAACAUGCAUAAAAAACAUUACUAAGACGAGGUUGGUUAAGUAGUUUACACAGUUAAUGCUUCUUCCCCGAUUAGCCCAUUAUAAAAUUAAAAACUUUUUACAUCCGUUUUGGUUGCGGCCCUUCUUCCUCUGCUUCCUCGUAGAUAUUUCGUUUUCGUUUUAGGAGAGAAGUGCUACCAAUAAAUCCAUUGUUUUGAGCAGAGUGUUGGUGGAUGUGUUCAAAAUUUGGAGAAGAUGGAGUGCUAUGGCACUGCAACUCUUUUAUUUCUUACAAAUCUUUCUUAUACACUAUUCUAGCACCACACUUCUUCACCUUAACACUACUUCCAAUGAAAGACACCUCAAUCUCAUCACAUAUUCGAUCUGAGCUAUUUGUUGUCCAUAAAUUAUUGGUUUCACAGUCACCAUAUUUAUCCUCCGAAAAUGGAUCGAAUCUAUCACGUGACCAAUAAUAAAGAAAAAGGUGAUCUUUCAUUAUGGGCUGGCUAAAUCGUUUACCCACCACCCAUUCUAUCCAAUCAAUCUGUCGAGGAUUUUUACCACAAAAAAUAGAUCCAUUACAAUAGAUAAAUAUUCCACACUUGGUAUCCUGGUUGUCAUCCCUUGAAGCAUCAUUAUUAACAAAAAUGCAGCAACAAGCAACUCCAAUCCAUUCACUAUCUUCCCGAAGGGGUAUCUUAAUUGAAGAGUUAUUUUCUUGUUGACUAAACCAUUCUGGGAUUUCACUUCCGGGCAUAAUAAUCUUAAACCUUUUUCUUGAAUUUGCAAAUGCCUGCAAAAUAAAACACAAGUUGUUUGGUAACUAAAACCAUAAAUUCUCAAGUAUGAGAUUUGUAAGAGAGAAAAGAGAGAUUAAUCAACCUUAAGAAGUUUUUUCAGCAGUGUUAAUGCAUUCAUAUUCUCAGCCAAUUUGAAGCAGUUAAUGGCUUUAGUGCCAACCGAAUCCAAUAAAUUGAAUACUUUUGAUAGACUUGCAACUACUUCAAGUGAAGAACAACCAUCUAUCCACACAUCCUCUAUACUUGUUGGUAGCUCAGGCAACGAUUUAAGCAUCUUGCAAUCUGAAAAUCUAAUAGAAUAAAGCUUGGAAAGUCGAAUAAUAGAUGCAGGUAUGCUGAUGAAGUUGUUACCCCUAAGAAGAAGAUAUCUCAAAGAGGAUAGACCAGAAAUAUCACUUGGAAUAUCUCCUUCACCGAUAGUGCAGAUGUUGCAAUUUGACAAUUGAAGGAACUCGAGCUUUGAGAGUCAAGUAAGAGAUGCGGGUAUUCUGAUGAAAUUGUUAUCACUAAGAUCAAGACGUAUCAAAGAGGAUAGACCAGAAAUAUCACGUGGAAUAUCUCCUUCACAAAGAUUGCAAUCCCUUAGAUUUAGCUCUCUUAAUGAACUCAAAACUAGCAGCAAAGGCAACAUCCGAGGCAUGGGAUUCGUUCUUCUUCCUAGGAUUACCUUGAAAAGAGAAUACAAAUUUGGUCGUAACUUUUCUGGAUGCAAAUUCUCCGAUAAAUUUUCAACUUUACAACAACCGGAAAGAUCAAGAGUUUUUAGACGUUCCAUUUUCCCAUCAAUCUCCGGAAAUCUUACAAGACUUGAGCAACCCAAAAGAAUUAAUGUUUCAAGAGAUUCCAUUCCAAUUUUAGUCGGAAGACUCCUAAGACUUUUGCAAUAUCUUAAAUUCAAAAGUUUAAGACUCUUAAGCACUCCGAUUGAUGGAUGAACAUUCACUAAUUUGGUGCAACCUUCCAAAAUCAAAACUUCAAGAUUUGAUGCGGUUGUGAAGUCUGAUGUCUCGAUUAGGUUUUGGGACCCUUUGAGGUUCAUCAUUUUCAACUUAUACAAGGGCUGUUAAAGACAAUAAUAAAUUAGAGAAAUAAUGCUCAUUUUUUUUUCUUUACCUUAACCAAAGUUUAAUAAUUUAUAUUAAAAAAGCUAAAACACAAGGGUAAGAUGAGUUAAUUCUUACUCUAUUUCCCUUCCAUAGUUGUUUAAUGUGACUAUCUGGUAAAAGAAGUGCGAUAAGGUUGUCCGGUUGGAAGCUUGAAGGCAACGAUUUUAAAGGGCAUCCUUUCCAUUCUAAAAGCCGUAGCUCAUUAGAAAGAAAUUUGAGAUCAUCACAAUUUAAUAAGCAAAGCACUUUGAGUAAUCUCAAUUUUUUCAUCUUUGAGAAGGCAUAGACACUUAAGUUGAGCAUUUUACUCGAUUCCCUAAUAACCAUGUUUAAAUCAAAAAAAAGCUUUAGGAUAUACAAAAACAUUCAAAACCUAAAAGCUAUGUUGCAUAGACAUUGUUUUUUUCUUUUCAGUACCUAUAUCCAACACUUAUAUCUAAUGCAUAUCAAUAUCUGCAUAUUAAGAUACAAUCCUUUAAAAACUCUUUAAACGCAAGAAAAAAGCUUUUUUUUUAAAUUGAACAUACCCAUAUUAAAGACUUGUUGUAUAUAACAGUGAUAUCAAACAUCAAAUUACCUAAUCCUGACAAAAUUAUUGAAUAAAUAUUUUGAUUUAUAUUUAGUCCACAAGCAAUGCAUAAUUCUAUACAAGUUAAUGACACAUAAUUAAAAAUGAAACCCAUUUUCAUUAAAAAAAACUUUUGAUGAUAUGUAAUAAUCUAAUUCAUUGAUAUACACUAGUGCAUUAAAUAUAUACCAUUAAUUUUCUAAAAACACAUAAAUUUCUCAAUUCUUUUGAAAGAGUAAUAUGUUGCUAGAUAAAUUUCAUAAUUAAACAUUAAAAUAUUAAGUUUUAAAAAAGAUAAAAUAAUUAUUUACAGUACAAAAAGAUAUGUUUAUGAGUAUUUUCUUACCUUUUAUUAUUGAUGAUUAUACCUUCAAUUACUUCUGUAGCCUAAAAAAUUCAAGAACAAAAAAUAAGAAAACAAAAUAAAUGGUGCAUAAUGUAAGAUAAAAUUUUUGAAAAUUUACAUUUUUAUUUAGCUUUAUUAUCUCAAAAUAUAAUAAAUAAAGCAUUUUAAACAAAAAAAAAACAGCUUCUAAGGAAGCUAAUGCAAUGCAAUGCAAUGCAAUUAAAUAUUUAUUUCUACAAAUUCUUUGGUAUUUGUAAACAUCAAACAUAACUUAUUUCAAAAGUACUAAAUAUCACUUUUUAAGGCUAGUUGUAUCUACCAAUUAGACUAAGCUUUGAAUUUAUAUCAUAUAUUGAUUAGAUAUUCUAUAUAUAUAUAUAUUAGGUAAUUUUUGUUGAAUGACUUACAGUGUUUUUUGUUAAGAUAUGAUGAACGUCUGUUUCCUCCCACAAUCUGCAACGUUUUCCAGGUUCACCAACACAUUUCUCUCUAACAAUUUGUCUUCCCAAUUCUUGCAACAACUCAUGCAUCCACAAAUAUUGAUUAUCAACUUUUAUGAGAGAUUUUUUAAUGAGAACAUCAAUUCCAAUAUCUGGAAAAAACUCACAACCAUCCAAUACUUUGAUUACAAAAUCUUUCUUCUCCCCAUUGAAGAAGCAUGCUAUAUCUAAAAAUAUAUUCUUCUCCUUUUCUUCUAGUCCAUCAAAACUGAUUCGAAGUUUAUCGAGAAUUUCUUUAUUAGAAUCUCUUUUAAGUCUUUCAAUUGUACUUCUCCAUUGUGUCACAUCUCUACCACACAAAAAAGAACCCAAAACUUCAAUAGCUAAAGGAAGCCCACCAGCAUAAUUUACAACAUGUUCAGAAAGCUCAAUGAAAUCAUCUUUCAACACUGUAUAACUAUGGAAAGCUUUCAAAUUGAAAAGUUGAAGCGCAUCUUUGGUAUUUAAUGUUGUAGGCAUAUACACAUCAUCAACUUGGCAAGAUCGAAGCAAAUGUUCAUCUCUUGUUGUUAUAAUGAUUCUACUCCCUAAUCCGAACCAAUCAUGCCUUCCAACCAAGCAUUUUACGUGUUGUAUGUUAUCAACAUUAUCAAGAACAAUAAGAACGUUUUUGUGAGACAACCUAUGGCUAAUUAUGACAUUUCCUUCAUGAACAUCGAAAAAAUUGAAGCAUUCUUCAAGGAAGAUCUGUGAAAGAAGUUGUUUCUGUAAAGAAACUAGUCCACAUUUUUCUGAAACUUCUCGAAUAUCAGUAAGAAAGCUUUUACCUUCAAAAUAAGGUGACAUUUGAGUGUAAGCAGCUCUUGCGAGUGUCUUUUUACCGAUACUACCCAUUCCACAAAUUCCUAUAAUGCGGACAUCAUCUUCCCUAAUGUUUAUUUUCAAAUAUAAAUCCUUCAAGCGUACACUAAUUCCAACCAAGUCGCUAUAAGUAACUGGAUAUGUCUGACAAAGUGUUGUUGAUAUCUUCUUAAUAAUGUCUUUAAUAAAUUUUGAUUCAUGCCUACAAAGAAAAUAAAUAAAUUUUAAUUUUUUGAAUAAAUUUUUUUUGGUAUCUUUCAUAGUGACGGUGCCUAGUAGAGACCUAGGGGACAUGGUUCCCCUAAAAUGGUAAAUGUUCAACUUAGACCUUUAUAAUUUAUUAAAUUUUAAAUUAAUAAUGGUAAAAUUGAACUUUGGUCCUCCCAAAAAUGGAAAAAAAAUGAAUUUAACCUUUAAAAAUUAUAAAGAUAUAGACUACUAAAAAUGAUGAAAUUACUUUUUUAUUAUCAUAAAAAUAUACAAUUUAAUUCCAGUCCCCUAGAAAAACUUUUCUAGCUCCUCCACUGUUUCAGAUGCACUUUCUUUUUCAAUGGAUCAUGAAACAUAAUAUAGUUUGGAAGAAAACAACAACCAUGAAUAAGAAAGAAAGACCCAUUGUGGAACCAGAAUACAAAAUUUGCUCUUCUAUUGAAAUAUGACAUUUUUCAAUUAAACACAUAGGAUUAGGAAAUGUUAAGUAUGACUCCUAUUUCAGUCAAAUCUGAGAAAUAAUCUUCUAGUUAAACUCUAUUUAUUUGUUUCAAUCAAACAUUGAUUAGUUUAGAUUAUUUUAUUAUUAUUUGACCUAUGAAUUUAGCCUAUAAAUAGACUCUUUUACAACCUUAGAAAAUACACUCAUUAGAUAUUAGAACUCAUAACACAUUUAGAGAAUUUUGUGUUUACGUUUUGAGGGUUCUUUGUUUUUGGGGUUUAGUUUUUAUCUCCAUCUUUUGUACUCUUCGUUCUUUUGUCAUUAUAGUAAAAUUAUCUUUGCUCGUGGUUUUUUAUCCUUUUUGGAGAGGUUUUUCUACGUUAAAUUUGUGUGUUCAAUUAUCAAUUUAUUCUGCUAUUUUUUUUACUUGUUGCUUAAUCGGGUUAAUCCCAACAUGUGUUAUUAGAAAUAGUUCAAUUUUCAUAGAUCAACCCAUCUAGAUAUGGCAGCAACAAGGUUUGAAAUUGAGAAGUUCGAUGGUGAGACAAAUUUUAAUCUGUGGCAAGUUCGGAUGAUGGCAAUUCUAAUUCAAACCGGCUUGCAAAAGGUUGUUACCAGGAAAAAGCCUGAGAAUCUAAAUCAAACAUAAUGGGAAGAGCUUGAUGAAAAGGCCUUGUCUGCAAUCCAGUUGUGCCUUGCGAAUAUGGUAUUGCAGGAGGUAUUUAUGGAGAAAACCUCAUCCAUAUUGUAGAAAAGGUUAGAAACUCUUUAUGCGACUAAGUCUCUGGCUAACCAUUUACUGUUGAAACAAUGUUUAUUUACGUUUCGCAUGCACGAAGGUGAGCUUCUUAGAGAUCACAUUAGUCAAUUCAUUACUAUUUUAAAUGAUUUAAAGAAUGUUGAGGUUCAUAUUGAUGAUGAUGAUCAGACUAUACUAUUAUUGUGCUUUUUACCCCUUUCAUACAAGUCUUUCAGGGAGACCCUGAUUUAUGGCAUAGACAAACUCUCAUUCGAAGAUGUGAAGGGCCAUUUGUUGAAUAGAGACAAACUCGACAAUGAGUUUGGUUUGGAUAGCAAGGCCGAUAAGCAAGCUUCCGUUUUGAUAGCAUCAAAGAAACGAGAUAAAAGGUAUCGCUAUUGUAAAAUGUUAGGUCACGUCAAAGCAGAUUGUUAUAAACUGUAAAAUAAAAGAGUUUUCGAGAGUAAUGAGGAAGAUGUAGCUGGUGCUAAUUUGGCUGAUGAAAGCAAUGAUGAUUUCUUGUUAGUGUCAACAAGUGAUAACUCUAAGCUCAUGUCCGAGUGGAUCCCAGAUUCGGGAUGUUCUUUCCACAUGUGUCCCAAUAGAAAAUGGUUCUCCACAUAUACUUCAGUUGAAGGUGGAGUUGUGCGCAUAGGAAACAAUUCAUCUAGUAAGGUAAUUGGUAUUGGUACUGUUAAAAUUAGGAUACACGAUGGGACAAUUAAGACACUCUCAGUUGUCAGGUAUGUACCUGAUUUACGAAAGAACCUCAUCUCCUUAAGUAUUUUAGACUUGAAAGGAUACAAAAUCAACAUCGAGUCGAGAGAUAUUAAAGUAUCUCGUGGAGCUCUCGUUUUGUUAAAAGGUAAAAGAACCGAUAGUCUUUAUAUUCUAGAAGGUUCUACAGUGACCGGUGAAAUCGGACGUCCCUCAUCCAUUACGGAGUUGAAGUCAACUCGUUUGGAGCGGAGGCAACUUAGUCAUAGGAGGGAAAAAGAUAUGACCGUUUCGUUGAAGAGAGGUUCUCUUUUGGAUGCAGGUUUUGAAAAGUUAGGGCACUGUGUUCAUGAAAAUCAAACCCGGGUUAGUUUUGAUUUGGCAGUGUACAAGUCGAAGGCUAGAAGUCUUCCAGUUUCUAAGCACAGAUUCGACUUAGUUAAUUCCUUAUAUAGUUCAAGAUAGGCUCGUAGCGGGCUUUGGUAAAGAUGGGGUUGUGGAAAUAUGAGUCAAGGUGGAGAUUUGUUAAGUAUGACUCAUAUUUCAGUCAAAUUUGAGAAAUAAUCUUCUAGUUAAACUUUGUUUAAUUAUUUCAAUCAAACAUUGAUUAGUUUAAAUUAUUUAUUAUUAUUUGACCUAUGAAUUUAGCCUAUAAAUAGACUCUUUUACAACCUUAAAAAAUACACUCAUUAGAUAUUAGAACUCAUAAAACCUUAGAAAAUACACUUAUUAGAUAUUAGAACUCAUAACACAUUUAGAGAAUUUUGUGUUUAUGUUUUGAGGGUUCUUUGUUUUUGGGGUAUAGGUUUUAUUUUCAUCUUUUGUACUCUUCGUUUUUUUGUCAUUAUAGUAAAAUUAUCUUUGCCAGUGAUUUUUUAUCCUCUUUGGAAGGGUUUUUCCACGUUAAAUUUGUGUGUUCAAUUUAUCAAUUUAUUCCGCUAUUUUUUUUCUUGUUACUUAAUCAGAUCAAUUCUAACACGAAAAAAAGUUAUAUAUAUCCGAAAAACUAGAAAAUAGAGAAGAAAAGAAAGAGUUACCCGUUAUUUAAAUGCCAUCCCUUUAUUCCAGCCACUUGAAUUAAAGCAUUUCGCCACCUUUGGAUCUUCUCACUAUCUUCUUUGUAUCUCUCUUCAUGUCUGGCAAAGGCUUCUUCCACUUUCUCUUUUUGUUUUCUUAAAUUAGAUGGAUCAACAUCAUAAAAAAUUGGAAACACUUUAUGGCCGUCGUUGUUAUGUCGUUUAACAAUCUCAGCAAGCUCCUCCAAGCACCAACUUGAAAAGGCAUAAGUUUGUGAAAAAACGAUUAUCGAGCACCAUGAUUCCUGAAUUGCUUUAAAGAGUUCUGGCGCGAUCUCUUCACCGGCCUCCAGCUUUGGAUCAUCCCUGAAAGUAACGAUCCCACUCCUACUUAGAGCAUCAUAGAGAUGAUCGGUAAAGUUGUUGCGGGUAUCUUCACCUCUAAAACUCAAGAAAACAUCAUAUUUCUUUCUAGAAAUGGAGGAAGAAGUUGAAGGUAAUGACGACAUGACGAUGUACGAGAAAGAUGAUAUAUAUAUGUGUGUGUGGAUGUAGUGUUGAAAAUCAGAAAACUGAUCGCUCAAUACGCCAGAAAGAAACUAGAAUGAAUAACUAUAUAUGAGCAUGGAGGAGGAUAAAAACAGAUGCAAUUUUCCAAAUGAAUGCGCGUAGGUGUGGAAAUUGGAGUGAUGCAUGUGAAUCCAAGAAGGUGGGAGUGCCUACAAUAUUAUUCAAGUAAAGUGUUGGACGAUUUUUGUUGUACUUACUUUCACAUAAACCUGCCUAAGAAGAUAGAAUGAGAGGGCCCAACGUUGCUUGUUAGGAUUCUAUUCAUGCAUUAAUACAAAUUACAAAGACUUUGACUUACACAAUUUAUUGUUGGACGCUCCUGUCCUUUUCUCAUCACAAAAGAGACUAAAUACAAAGUAUAUGCUUGAAGAAAAGUAUUUUUAUCAAAUUAUAUUUAUUUAUUUCUUAUUUUUUUCAUAAAUUUUCGUUAAUAAUAUGGUUAUGAAAUUAAAUAUUAUUCUUUAAGAAUUCAUGUUUGAAUAGAAGAAAAUGUAAAAACCAAUGUAUACUCAACGCAUGAAAACACCAAUGUAGGUUCAUCCAACCAAAUCAUGUGACGAAUUUUCAAAUAAGAUGUUGGAAAAAGUGGUCAUUCUUUUAAUUCGUGUUUCCUAUAUGGGUUAAUAGAAAGCAACUGGGAGCAACCGUGAAGAAUUAGUCAAACAUGUUUCAAUCAACCAAGGUCAAACAUGUUUCAGUCUCCUUUUUCUGGAUGUGAAAACCUAAGUCUUGCGUUUUUUAAUUUUAAUUUUUUUUUAAAAAUAUUUUUAUAUUUUUUGAAAAUAAAUUAUCACUUUUUCAAAAAUUUUAAGAAUAUUUGUAUAAUUAUUUUUUAAAAAGGUUUGAAUUUUUUUUAUUUUUAUUGAUGUUGCUAGGGGUGUGCAAAUUUCAGAUAAAACCGAAUUAAUUCGGUUAACCGACCGAAUUCGGUUAAUCGGUUGAUUAACCGACUAAAUUCGGUUAAUCGGUUGAUUAACCGAAUUAAUUCGGUCGGGGUCAGUUAAUAAUUUUUUAGAAGUUCGGUUAACAGUUAAUUCGGUUCGAAAUGGGUUAGUUAACCGAAUUAACCAAAUUUAGUAAAUACUAUUAUAAUAUAUAAGUAUUCGGUCUAUUCAGUUCGGUUAAUUUUUUGGAAAUAUAAAUUAAUUGGUUGGUUAAGUCAGUUAAUUUUUUAUAUGCUUUAUACUUAUAUUUAUUUUAACCAAAAAUAAAAAAUAUAUAAAUUUCGGUUAAUUAAGUUAACCGACUGAAUUAACAGAAAAAGUUCGGUUUAGUUAGCGGUUAAGGAUUUAAAAGGGUCGAUUAAUUUGGUUAAUGGUAGUUCGGGUCGAUUAACCGGUCGGUUAACCGAUUGAACACCCCUAAAUGUUGCAACAGUUCCAUGUCAGCAACUAUCGUUGAUAUAGAGCACCACAUCAGCGCUAUAAUGGUCAACAUUAGUCAAAGGAUCUAUUUGACCAGCUUUGUUAGUUCAAGGGCUUAAUUGAGUGCAAAAAGUUCACAAUGGCUUAAUUGAUUUUUGCACCCAAUUGAGCCCUUUAACUAACAAAACUAGUCAAAUAGCCCCUUUGACUGAUGUUGCUCUUUUGUAUUUAAUAGCAACGCUUAUAUGGCUGUUAACAGAUGUUAUGUAUGCAAAAACAAUAAAAAAUUCAAAUCAUAAAAAAUAUUUUAAAUAUAAGUACACAAUGAACUUGGACACGCAUGUGUCUAGAUUCUUUCUACAAUCAUAAAAAAUUCUAAAAAAUAUUAAAUUCGUUAAAAAGUAUAAUAAUGAUUAGAACUUAAUUAAAAUCAAUAAAUUGAAAAAUGAGAAGCAAUAAUUAACAAAUAAAUUGUUAAUCUGGAUUUUAUGAUAUAAGUUGUUUAUGCUUGUUUUCUUUUUUAAAAUAAAAAACAAUAAACUAUUUUUUAAAAAGUUUUAUGAAUCUUAAUUAAUUUCUAUUUUUUUUAUAAUUUUUUAAAACAAUUCUAAUUGUUUAUGUUUUUAAAAUUCUAGAACAUGUAUGAACAAAUGGGUGUUCAGAUUCAAAUGAAUCUGGACAACCAUUUGUUUAGAUUCAUUGUGUGUUUAUUUUAAAAAUAAUUUUAUUUAUUUUUAAAUUUUUUUUGUUGAUAUGGCACUAUCACAUAAUCAAUCAGCAAUGAAGUGGCACUUCCAUGUCAGCAAUCAAUGAUGGCAUUGCACUACCACAUCAGCAAAUGGUGUUGAUGUGGCAUCUAUUAACGACGACAUCAGCAUUGCUGUUAAAUACUAAUGGUUAACCUCAGUCAAAGGGUCUAUUUAACCAAUUUUGAUAGUUCAGAGGCUCAAUUGGGUAAAAAAAGUUCAGGGGGGCUUAAUUGAUUUUUUAAAAAAAUACAAUGGCUUAUAAUACCAUUAAGACUAAAAAUUUAGUAAUCAUUUAUUUCUUUUAGAAUUUUAUAAUUAUCUUUGCUCUAUUUUAAUAAAGAAAUGUAAUUAAAUCUUAUUAUAUUUUAAAAAAUAUAUAAAUUUAAUUUUAUUAACGUUAUUAAUAUAUGUAUUUAUUUAAAAAGAUAUUUUAAGUUUAACAAUUUACUACAAUGUAUGUUUAAUAUUAGAACAUAAAAGGCUAAUUUAAUUAAGUAAAUAUUUUAAAAUAAAGAGAUUAUUUGAUAGUUUGAUGAGUUACUCAUUCAAUAUAUAAUACUUACUAAAUUUAGGGUUUUUAAAAGAAGCCUUAGAAUCUAUAAUAAUAAAAUUAUAUGGUUAACUGUAGAUGUGCUCAUUGGUCAGGUUAGGUCGGGUCCAUCCAAAAUUUUAGAGCCGUUUGUUAGGCCCCAGCUCAGGGCCAACUCGAAAAAUGAGCCUAAAAUUUUGUUCAAUCCCGACCUAGAUAAAAAUGUUAAAACACAGGCCUGACCUAUAUUAAUUUUUUAUAUAAAUUUUUAAAUAUAUAUAAUACAUAAAAAUACUAAAAAAUUAAAAUAAAUAUUUCCCAACAAAUUGAAAAUAAAUUUAAAAAAUAUAUAUUUAUAGUUAAAUAACACUAAGAUAGGUGCAACUUAACAAGCAAAUAUCUCUAAAAUAGUAACAAAAUUAACAAUAAAAUAAGAGUUAUACAAUAACAACAAAAUAAUAGGAACAUAUUAGUGAAAUGGUAAGAAAAUAGUGAAAAAAAAAACAAGAUAAUAGGAAUAUACAAAGUUCUCCUGAAAUUCUCGCAAAACUCUCUCUUAAUUGUGUUGUUGAACCUUGUCUCUCUAAGGAUGCUAAAAGUCCUAUUUAUAGGCUAGAAUUCAUGGCUAAUCAAAUUAGAAAUUCUCUAGAGUUAUUAGAGUUUGAUUGGGAAAAGAUAAUAGAGUUUAACUAGGAGAAGAAACUUGGUUUAGUAGGGAACACGUUGUCACACCGUGAUGUCGCUCAUCGGCUCGUCAGGAUGUCAGCUCUCCCUCAUCAUGACGCCUUCUCUAUUUUAGACUAAAUGUGAGGCACACUCUACAAAUCUCCACCUUGACUCGUAUUUCUAAAAACUCCUUCUUUGUCGAGCCCUGUUAUGGGCCUAAAUUAAUCUUUGCCGGAUACUUAACAAGUCUAGGUAGUGCUUGAACUCCUGAACAAAGUGAUACUAAAUGUCUAUGUGAUUUGUUCUUUCAUGAUGCAUCUGAUCCUUAGUGAGAUGUAUGACACUUUAACUAUCACGAUAUACAAUAGUCUUUUCACUUUUAUCAACCAACUCCCAAAGUAGAUCUCUCAACUAAAUGAUCUCUUUCACAACCUCUAUGAUAGCUAUAUAUUCUGCCUCUAUAGUUGAUAAUGUCAUAGUCAUUUGUAGAGUGGAUUUCUAGCUAAUUGUACAAUUGCAAAAAGCGAACAGAUAACCUAUGAGAAAUCUACUUUUGUCUAAGUCUCCUGCAUAGUUCGAGUCUACAUAGUCUACUAGACCUUUUGAACAUUUUCCAAAUUCCAAAAAAGUAUUAGAUGUCCCCCUCAAAUAUCUAAGAAUCCACUUAACAACUUGUAAGUGUAAUUUGUCAAGUUUGGCCAUGUAUCUACUUACUGCUAACAACAUAUGAAAUAUUGGGACAAAUACAAACCAUUACAUACAUUAAACUUCCAACUGCACGGGAAUAAGGAACCAAGGACAUAUACCUUUCUUCGUCUUCUAUUUUUGGUAAGUCUAAAGUCGAAAGUCUAAACUAUGCAGCUAAGAGUGUACUAACUAGUUUAGAAUCUUGCAUUCUAAACCACUCGAGAAUUCUUUUGAUGUAUUUCUGUUGUGAUGGAAGUAGCUUCUCGGAGUGUCUAUCUCUCAAAAUUUUCAUCCCUAAAAUUUUCUUGGUUGCACCAGGAUCCUUCAUUUCAAACUUAGAGUUAAGCAUGGUUUUAACUCGGUUUAUUUCUGAUGGAUCCUUGGUUGCAAUUAACAUAUCGUCAACAUAAAAUAGCAAAUAAAUAAAUUAUCCAUCAUCUAAACAUUGUAGAUACAUACAACUGUCAUACUUACUCUGAAUGAAACCAAUUCUUAACAUGAAGGACUUGAACUUCUUAUACCAUUACCGAGGAGACUGCUUCAGACCGUAUAAUAAUUUUUAAAAAGGCAAGCAUGGUCUUCCUUGCCUUCAAUCCUAAAGCCUUUCGGUUGCUAUAUGUAAAUGUCCUCCUUUAUGUCGCCAUGAAAGAAUGCAAUUUUCACAUCUAAUUGUUCUAAUUCAAGAUUGUGUAAUGCAACAAGAGCUAACAAUGCUCGAAUGGAUGUAUGCUUAACAACUGGAGAGAAAACAUCAUGAAAAUUAACUCCCUCCACUUGACUAUAACCCUUUGCGACCAACCUCGCGUUAUAUCUCAUGUCAUCUUGACAUAAUCCUUUCUUCUUUUUGAACAUCCUUUUACAACCAAUUAUUUUCUUUUUAGUGGGUGGUUUAAUGACUUUCCAAGUCUCGUUCUUAUUAAGGGACUCUAUCCCUUCUUCCAUAACAAUAAGACAUUUGUUGGAAUCAGAAGUUCGAACUACCAUUAUCCGUAUAACCAUUUUACAGACUUUCCAAUCUACUCUUCUAGUCAGGUCUUCCACUACUUGAAGAUCCCAAAGACUUCAUUAUUAUGCUUCAGGAAAUAUACAUAAACUUUCCUAAAGUGGUCGUCAAUAAAAGUUAGAAGAUAUUUGCUACCACCUUUAGAGAUGACUGGAGCCGAACCCCAUAAAUUGGAUUGAAUGUAGUCAAGGGUCCCUUUUGUCCUGUGUACUACUGAAUCGAAGCUGACUUGAGUUUGCUUCCCAUAAAUUCAAUGCUCACAAAAAUCUAACUUUCCAACUGCGGUGCUUGUGAGAAGACCUUUUUCACUCAAAAUGAUCAUACAUUUUUCGCUUAUAUGAUCGAGUUGCGUGUGACAUAACUGAGUUGAAUUAUAAUCCAUAAAGAGGAAAUUUUGUCAUGUUAUUGUGACAUCAUGGGAGUCCUUGUCGUGCCAUGGUGAUGAUUUCACCUUUAUUUCUGUAAUUGUUAUUGAACCAGUCACCGUUAAACCUUACAAAAUGUAUAAGCUAUCGAUCUUGCAACCAUUCGAAUCUAGAAUACCCAAAGGGACAAGAUUCUUAUUUAAAUCAGGCAUGUGCCUGAUAUCUAAUAAUGUUCUGAAUAUCCCGUCAUGCAUCCUAAUCUGAAUGGUACCAAUGUCGGUUAUUUUGUAAGGUGAGUUAUUUCCUACAAGCACAAUUCCACCUUCAACCAAACUAUAUGUGGAGAAUCAGUCCCUAUUGUGACACAUAUGGUAGGAACACCCUGAAUCCGAAAUCCACUCAUAUGUGAACUUAGACCUUUCGAUCGUUGACACUAACAAAAAAUCAUCACCUUUAACCUUGGCUACACUAGCUCUGCCUUUUACUUCACUUUCUUGUCAUUUUCAUCGGCUCUCUUAUUUUUAUUCUGAAGUUUAUAGCAUUCUACUUUGAUGUGACCCAUCUUUUUGCAGUAGCCACAUUGUUUGUUGUGGUUUCUUAAUUUCAAUCUUGCCCUAGAUCCUUUUUGACCCAAAUCCUUAGACUGUUGCCUUCCUCUAGCAACCAAAACUGAGGUUUUUCCAUUUGACUUGAUCUUUGAAUCUAACUUGUUGUCAAUUUAUCCUUACUCAAUAGGUUUCCCUUCACGUCCUCAAACGAGUCUCUCUCUAUCAUAAAUUAGGGUUUCCUUGAAAUAUUUGUAUGAAUGGGGCAAAGAAAAAGGCAAUAACAUUGUUUGAUCUUAAUAAUCUAUGUUGUCCUCAACAUUCUUCAGGUCAUUCAGGAGAGUAACAAAUUUACUAAUGUGAGCCUUAAUAGACUCGCCUUCGGCCAUACAGAACGUGUAUAAUCACUAUUUUAAAACCAAGCAAUUUGCGAGAGAUAUUGUCUUAUAAAGUGCUUCUAAUUUUCUCCAUACAGUUGUUGUCGUUUUCUUUGUAAGUAGCUUCUGCGACAUGUUGUUCGUGAGGCACAACUGAAUUGUUGACAAUGUUUGCUCAUCAAGCUCCUCUCAUUCUACCUGAUUCGCAUCUGCGGGCUUCUUCCUUUUAAUGGCCUUUUUUAAAUCAUUCUGAACUAGAAUUGUCGUCAUAUGAACUUGUCACAAACUAAAAUUUGUGAUCCCAUCGAACUUCUCAAUAUUGUACCUCAUCAUCAACUCUGAAUGGGCUGAAUGUGAAAACCAUACCAAACUUUGAUACCAGUUUAUUGGGUUAAACUCGAAUUAUGCAACGAAUAAGAACGAAAAACAAGAAAAUUGGGCACCCAAAUAUUUACGUGGAAGAAAUCCACCCAAUAGGAUAAAAAAUCACAAGCAAAGAAAAUUUCUCUAAAAUAAAAAAAUCGAAAAGGAGUACAAGAUGGAGAAAUAAAAUCAAACUCGAAUCCAAAAUAAAAAGUUCUCUUGAAAUUCCCGUAAAACUCUCUUCAUUGUGUUGUUGAACCUUGUCUCUCCAGGGGGUGCUAAAAGCCCUAUUAUAAGCUAAAAUUUGUGGCUAAUAUGAUUAGAAUAUCCUUAAGAGUUAUUAGAGCUUGACUGGGAAAAGAUAGCAGAGUUUAACUAGGAAAAGAAACCCGAUUUAGUAGGGAACACGUCAACAUAUCGUGACAUCGCUUAACGGCUCAUUGUGAUAUCGCUUAUCGCGUCGUUGAGACGAUGAGUUCUUUUCAUCAAGAUGUCGUGUGUUGCCGUCGGUAUGUUAGCUCUUUCUCGUCACGAUGUCGUAUCUUUUUUGGACUAAAUUAACGUGAGGCACACUGUACAAUUUGCACGUUAUUAUAACUUUGAAACUAAAAGCAAAUACAUUAUAAUUUGAUCGCCAUAUUUGGACUCCACUAACAAUAUUUUAUGGUCGGCAGGGCAUUAUAAUGAUUUAAUUGACAAUUAUAAUUCUUGCUUUAGUCAAGACUAAAUCUUGGUGGCUUUUUUAAUCAAAGAAAAAAUUUUGAGAAAUCCAAUUGAUGUAGUUUAGCCUAAGAACUACAAGCAACGAUACACCCAAAAACUCGAAUAUCACAAUAGAAUCGAAAAGCUCCCUAAUAAAACUCUCAAAACCCAUGGGUCACCAAAUUUUCAAUUAAAACAUCAAAUUUCUUCCAACUUUGAACCAAGUCAUGGAGCACAAGUCUUAUUAAAACCCAAUAAUUGACAACAUAAAAGAGAAAACACUCCCAUUCAAAAGAAAAAAAAGGUAAGAGCUAAACAAAUCUAUUCUUGACAUUUUUGAGCUCCUAGGUAAAACAAUAAAAUAGAGUUUUAGAUUCCUUAAAAGUUGGUAAAAAAAAAUUUGGGCCCUUAAAAGCUAAAAGAAAAUAUUUUGGAACCCCUUAAAAGUUGAUAAUUUUUUUUACCUUUAAAAGUUUUAAAAAAAUUUGUUCUCCUUAAAAACUGGAAAAUAAUAUUUUAAACCCCUUUUAUCCUUGGGUCUUGAGCGGCCGCUCCUCCACACGACCCCAGGACCAAUCCUAAAGCUAAACCAAAAUGUUUACAACCAAUGAAUCUAAAACCAAUCAAAAUAAGCACCAUAAAACCUACUACUCGGAAACUGAGCACCAAGACAUACAAAUAGAUGCAGGAGCAUAACAAAUGUCACCACCAUGCACCCCAUAAUUCUUUUGAGUCACUAUAGUUGAAAAUAAAAAUUGAUGAUCAUAACUCUCUUUUUCCUCGUUCCUUGAAUUUCACCACUACAUACCUUCAAUUAAUACCCAACUUGGACUGAAAAAUUCAGCACUCAAUGUUCAUAUUGUUCAUACGAAGAGGUAAAAAACGGCAUCUUUUCGACAACUCAAAUCUGGACCCCUAAUCAUAAACCAUCUUACACGUCACUCUCGAAACCAAACAGCACUUUCUCAUAAAGACAAUGCCAAAAAAAAAAUGCUGAAAACAUCAAAAUGACACCACUCAAUCUUCUCAUACCACUAAUAUCACCAAGCAAUUCUCAUCUCGCCCUUAGUGUUCCAAUAUUUUCAUACAACAACCUAAGAGAAGAACAACAUAAUUUACAAAACAUAACAGCUUCACCCUGAAAACAAAACCCAAUAUCCCCAUCCUAAGUACUCAACAAAAGAUAACUAAUAUCCCCCAUUUUGACUCCAAAAAUAGACCAUUGAGGAUGAAAAUUCUCAAGAAAACAAAAAACUAAAGACCAAUUUCAUUAAUAAUCUAGUUCAAAAAUUGGCGAACUGUGAGUCUUAUGGUACAAACAAAUUAUGAAUAAGCUGACCUUUUUUUGUUAAUAACUCUCGAACUGCUCCUUUAUUAAGUUACAUAGUUAUGCAAUUGACUUUGACCUUCUAAAAUUACAAAUAUAAUUAUCAGCACCAAAGACAAAUGGUUCAAAUGUAGAAGGUAUGCAUACACACAUAUAAUGGAAUUUUAUAUCUAAAACAAAUAUAUUUAAAUAAGUCAUUAUACUUUUGUCACAUCGAAAAUAAGCCCUUCUACUUAAACUCAUUUUCAAUUUCAAUAAAACAUACAUAUAUAUAUCUUGGAAGUCUUUCUGAAAUGUGUUGUAGUUCUUUAUUUAUGAUGGACUAAGAUUUGAUAACUGCCGAUCUGCAAAUAUAUUGCAUUAAGGGGUAGUUCUACAAGCAUUUCAUCAGUUAGGGCAUUUAAUCCUAAGGUCAGAAUACGUAAGGGAACCAUUUACAAUAUGCUCAUCAGUCAACUGCAUCUUUACAAACUUUGGGUUUUCAAAAGUGCAAUCUCGUUAAACAAAUCUGAUUUGUCAUUCUCCUAUUAAAAAAUUAUAAAGAUGACAUGAAAUCACAGUUUCAUACAAUCCCUUCUCUAACUCAAAGACCUAAUUGUUAGCCAAAGGAAACUUUGGAUUGUAAUUCGAAUAUAACCUCUCCUUUUGAGACAUACCAAGAAACACACAUCCAUCAAGUCAAAAAAAAUAUGCUUACAAGACAACCCAAACAAAACGAAGCCAAAGAGAUCAUAAGAGCAAACGAUCUCCAUCAAACUUUCCACAUCCAUAAGACAUCUCCUUGAUACAAUUAUAAUUAAAGGUAGAAUCACCAAUGAAAUCACUUCAACUUGAAAAAUGUCUGCUGAACAACUCACCUUGCAACAACCCAAGAAACCAAUCCAAUAAAACACCUUCAAAACUUGAACAAAAUUUGGCAGAUCAGAACACCAAAACCCAAAAAUCACUGUAUUCGAAUCCUAAAGCAACUAAAAGAAAUCGGUAAAUUAGCUCCCUCAAAAAGAACGUAUCCGACCUCCUAUUGUUGAAAAGUGGCCAACCAUGCUAUUGUUAUGUUUUUGCUAAAGUGCAUGCAGGCUAUUUGCAUGUUGCAGCUUUUGUGCAUGCUGCAUUAACAAGUUUAUUGUUUAGUUACGUUGUAAUUAAACUUAGUUGAAAAUGAACAAGCUGAUGAAAGUUUGAAGUGUUUAGGUAGUUGAAUGACUAGUUUAGGUGGCUUGUUUACGUGCACAAGCAAUGUUUUACAAGUUACUAGGCUACUUAGUGGUAGUAGGCAGUAUUUAGUGAUGUAUUUGGUUAUAAAUGUAUUGUUUUUUCUGGUUGAAUGAAUGAGAAAAAUGAGCUAUCAGCCAUAAGCUCCCUUGCUGCACGAUUGUGAGCAAGUAAAAAUAUUUCUUGCAUCUUGCUGUCUUGUUCUAUUCUCUGUUUUCUUCCUCUGCUUCUCCAAAUCGUCAACACCUAUAGAUCCAAAUUCAAUCUCCUUUCUUCAAUUGGCCUCAAUUUCUUUUCAUCCCGAUAACUUGCAAGUCCAACUUUUUGCUCAGUUCCCACGCCUCUGUCAGUUCCUUCCACAUCAUCUUCUUUCGGUUUUGAAAAUCAGAGUUAGAUAAAUGACUCAUUUGCGGACUUUCCCCAAAAGAUUAUGGUUUCGAAAAUUUAUUCUUACAACUCCUUCCUUUCACUUUAUUUUUAAUCCCAAGUUUCGCAGUUCUUUAUUGCUCCUAGUUCAAAUAGAGAUCUAACUUUCCUUGUUUUAAUUUUAUUGAACCCUACCUAGUCUCAAUCCUUGUGUCCGCCUUACGAUUGAAACUCGAAGUAGAAACAUUUGCUAGAUUCACCCCUUCAUGAUGUUGAACUUCAACACUGUCACCCAUAUUGCAUCCAUCAUCAAGGGAUGGGCUACGAAUAUCAUCAACACCCAAUUCCAGUCCUAUAUCAUCAGCCCGAUUCAAAGGUGUGCGCGGAACACAUUUUGUUAACCCAAUACAAGAAUCCACUUGAACCAAAUAUGUUGUUAAGCCCAUACCCCUUCAUCAUCAUCCACUUGAAUCAUAAGUCCAUCUUCAACAAAAUCUUAAAUUUCCAAAUCCUCGUUGCGUGGGUCUAUUGACUUUAUCAAUACCCAUUUUCCCAAAAACCUCCACUGACUAUGUACCUAUAUUAGAAUGGCCUUGGUCACAUUAUCAUCUACUAUAUUUACAAUGCCAUUAGUGUCCCACUUUGCCCUUUUUUCGAGAACCUCACUGUUUCCAUCACAACUAAUGUUCUUUAUCAUUUCGUCAAUACCAAGAGCCACCCUAUUCGCCGAUAUUCCUAACAUGCCUUCACUGCCAUGCUCGAUUUCCCAACUCAUCUCAUUAAAUGGCAUCAUCAUCAUCCCAUUCUCAAAGUCUUCUUCUUUUAUUUUUCUUCCUGAAACCGGUGACUCAUCACCUUCUUCUAAAGACAGACAAUCAAAUUCAGAGGACUCAUCAGAGAUCGAUGUUAAGGGAAUUUACUGAUAUCCUUUUGCUUUAUCAGACCCUAAGAACAUACCUGACGCCUCAGAGGCUCUAACACGAAAACCAUCUUCCAAAUUGAAGCAACUCAAUCCUCUGUAACAUUUUACUAUAAUCCUCCAUCAUCCUUUUAUUCGAACCCAAAGACACUAACGACCCCCAAGUCUCCGCAAUUCUUUUAUAGUGGCACAUAUGAAUUGGGACACCGUAAACCUCCACCCACACCGUCCUGUUAGUGGUGGUAGAAAACUUAGACCACGAAACAAUGUCGAUGAAGCAUUCACGAAGACAAGGCCAUUGAAGUUCUUCCAAUCUUGCUCUCAAGCCGUUGUCUUGAAUAGAGACCAGGAACUGAUCACCUGAGAUUUAUUGUGCCAAUUAGACAUUUUUCCAACUUAGUAACCUCUUCAUCAUCUACAUGACCCACAAUUUUCUUCAUACAAGUCAAUUCGCCAUCGUCCCUUAAAAUACAAACGUUUUCUCCUUCUGCACGAUUCGAAUUGCAUAUUCCUUGCUAGAAUGCUUGCUUUCUUCAGAAACUUCUUUUUGAGUCUAUUUACCUCCUGAGUACUUAAAGCACUUCCUACUCCCUAUUUGCAUCUUACCAGCCUAUUGCCUUCACCUUUCCCAUCCACUCUUCUCCAAAAUGCUUCUCUCCCAUUAAAUUUGGCAAUAUUGACCCUCAAUCAACAACCCCAAAUCCAUAGACCAUUGAUUCCUCUCACCAGUUUUUUAGCUUCCGUAAAACUAGUCACUUGUACAAAUGUAAAUAUUUGUCCUUUUCUAUGACUUUUCUGAGGCACAGAGAGGUCCUCACCAUAUUUUUUGCACUUUCCACGAUACCAUCGCCAAUUUAUGAAAUCCGGUGAAUUUUCAAUGUGUACGGAAACCAGCAUAUCCUUCUUAUUAAAAUUUGUCUAUUAAUAUAUAAUUACAUGUAUCUUUCUCCAAGAAACAAAAAUAUUGGGAUAUUAUUAGGAAAGAACAAUGAAUUUUUUUAGGCUUAACGUAUAGAUUAUUACCUGAGUUUGAUAAUUUUUUUUAAUGUAGCCUCUGUGUUUUUUUUGUUCAACGUGAUGCAUAUAUUUGAUAAAAAUUACACAUUUUUCUAAAAAUGAUUAUGUAACUUUUUAAUACUUAAUUUAAGUUUAUAGUUGAUUUGCAUCAAAUAAACUCUACACACCGAAUUAAAUUACAUUCAUCAAACUAUAUUUGACAAACUAAAUAUAGAAUCAUGACAACUUCAAACCUAAUAAUAUUAACCAUUAAGUUUCAUCAAAUCAACUUUAAAAUUUAAGUUAAACACUAAAAAAUUAAAAUCGUUAUCUUUAAAUCUCAAAAUAAUUUAACUUUUUUCAAAUCCAAGUCUUAGAUUGGACCGAAAAAUAACAUAAAUAUCACAUUAAAAAAUAUUAAAAUCGAGUAUCAAAUUAUAGAUUAAACCAAAUUUUAUGGCAAAUAUGAGUCCAAAUAUUGGUUAAGUUGCAAAAAUAAAAGAGAAGUUUUAAGGUUUUUAAAAAAUUGAAGAAAACUCGAAUUAAAAAUUUCAAGCCUCUUCAAAUCUCCUCUGAAAAAAAAAUCUCAAGCAAUAAAAUUGAUUUUUUUAAAGUUAAAACUUAUAUUAUUUAGGUUUAAAUAUUUGUUUUGUAAUUUAACUUAAUUUUUGGAGUUUUUUUAUAGUAUUAAGGAAAUUGCUUGCCUUUUAGGCGAUAAGAAGAAAUAACUUCGCCAUGUUGUCAUCCAAUAUCGAUGGCCCCCUAAAUUUUAAUUUUCUAAAUUAUCAACCAGCAUGGUGUUUUUUUUGGUAAAACAAUGAUUAAAAUCUAAGCUAUUUUUUAGGUAAACAAUGAACAAAAGAGAUGAUUUCCCCUUAAUUCACGUUUGAGUAACACAAUACUUAAUAUCAGAACAAUAGUCACAUAAUAUUUUCAUGCAUUUUGAUGAGAUAAACAUAAAAUCCUAUAAGAAACGUUAUCACCCUUACCUUAACCUUACUCAAAAUCUGUAACUCUUUUUUUCUCUCUUUUCAAAUAUGUAUUCUAGCUAACAUCACAAGAAACUUAUGCCAUGGAGUCACUCAUGAAGGAAAUUUGGAAUUUAAAGCUUGGGAUUGUUAGAAAUGAUGGAAAGGACAUAAAUGUAAGAAAAUGAAUAUUUUCUAUGGAUGGAGAAGGAGAGUGGUGUGAGAGGAGACGGAAAUGAUGAUGGAAAGUUUUCUACAUCUUUACACGAAAGUAUCUACUAAAUUUUAUAUUUUAAAAUACUAAUAAAAAAAUAAAAAAAUUCAAGUCAUCGUCAUCCAAACAAGUGGACCACAUUCAAAUUUAAUUUCAUCCACAAACUCAUCUACCCUUUUGGACUAAAUUGCUCUUCAAGUCCUUCAUCUUUUUCUCAUCCAUUGAAUCUAGUAAUUUCUUAUUUAUAAUUUACACUAUUACCUAACACUUCUUUCACUUUUAUAAUUUAGUCCAUACCUUAAAUUAAUUUCCCUUAAUUCAAAAGCCUUUUUAAUUACUUAUGAAAUCCAACUACCUUCUCCAUUAAUACUAAAAAUCUUAUUUUAUCUGCUUCAAAAAUCUUAACACGUGCACAACUCGAAAUGGCACCGUUCCCAUCUUGAGAGGUGUUGGGGAUGUUACAAACUAGCCACCAAAAAAAUACGACAACCCAUUUUUCAUAUACCAUCAUUGGUAGUAGAUUGAGGGCAUGAAAUCCCCCGUACAAGAUUCCAUCAAAGGCUUCCUUUCCAUUCGGGAAUUCCACAUUACAAUCCACUAUCGAUGCUCCAAUGUUCAAUUCUUUGCAUCUUUUCUCUUCUUAUUAAUGCCAUGGACAUUAUCAAAAUUGACUGGAACAUUCGGAACAUCUUGCUUACACCUAAAUUGUUGCAAAACCUAAUCACCAUUGUACCACUCAAUAGUUGAAAAAUUCAAAACAGGUGUGUUAAUGCACCACACGUAUGAAUGGUGGUAAGCCGACUGGAGAAUUUAGUUUGUCUCACCCAAUCCCCAUUGUACCACUUAAUUAGCAUUUUGUGUUAAAAAAUCCAUAAUUUGACUCAAAAUAAAAUGUUGAGGGCCACAUUGCUAAAAAGAAAAUAAUAAGGGUCAUAUAGUCAAAUUUUAUAAACGCCAUUAAACCUAAUGAUAGGUGCUAAAAGUAACAUGUUUUAAUUUCGUUCUUAAUGCAUUUUUGGAUGAUUAUUUGAUGUAAAAUGGUAAAUUUUAUGGUCCUAAUCCUUUAAAUUCAUGUUUUUAUACUUAGGAGAGCAUUUGGGAGUAAAAAGAGCGAAAAUUAGAAAAUCGGAGUAAGUUUCAGGAGUCACGCGGGCUGCCACACAACCAUGUGUCAAACCGUGUUGAAAUCGCGAAUUGCACUCCAAACUUUUGGGAAAAUACGUUUUUUAGGCAUUUUAAGACCUAUAUAAGACAAAAAUAAGAUGGGAGAGAGUCGUCAUAAAAUACUCAAGAAAAAAACUCAAAAAACACCAUUGAAGCCGACUCUAAAGUAGAUUUCUAUCGAGAUUGAAGAUCUCUUUUUGAUUUUUUUGAAGUUUAUUAUGAGUUUCUUUGUUUCUUAUGGUUAUACUAUCUUCUGAAUUUUUUUAUUUGCAAUUAUAAACUAAUUUUCUAAAUACCCAGGGGAGAUGAAUGUUAUGAUGAAUUCUAUCUUUUGAUUUCUAUUUUACACAAUAAAUACUUGAAUCUUUCUCAAUUAUAUGUGCUUAAUUCUUGGUUUAAUAUUUUCGGACUAUUAAUCCAUGUUUGGUGUGCUUAAAUCAAAGGAGGAAAAGUUUUUGUUUAAGAGUAGAUAUAGCAUAAUUAAGUGUUGUAUGCAAUACUAGAAAUAGGACGACAUAAAUCUACCGGAUUAGAGUCAAAUCUAAUAGGGGGAUCAAUGGAUCGAGUUAAUGCGAUAAUAGGGGUUUUAAUUAGAAAGAAAUUUCAAUUAAUCAACCUAGAGUCAGUUGUUUUUACUCUCGAAAGAGAUAUUAGUAUAAUUUAGGGAUUUCUACGGAUCAAGAUACUAAGUAAAGAAAUUGCAUAAUAUAGAUUGAUAAUGACAGAUGAAGUCUAGGUGGAUUCUUUCCUGCAUAUUAUUUCGCUUCUUGGUUGUUAAUCAUUUAUUUUUCUAAUUCAUUCUUUAUCGUGAUCCUUCGUUAAUUAAUUUAGUUAAUUUUAGUUUUAAUCAAUCUAUCCAAUUUGUCGGUUAAAUAAUAGAAAGACAGUAAUUAUUAGUACUUUUAAUCCUCGUGGGAACAAUAUCUUUGCUCACAGUAACUAUAUUAUUAAUUGAUAGAUGCACUUAUUUUAAUCAAAUUUUUAGUUAAUUUACGACUGCAUCACCUAAUUUAAAAAAUUACUAUUUGAAUUACAUUUUACAAACAACAAAUUUAAAAAGUUAGGUUUAAAAUAGUAUAACUUGCAUUACAUUACAUUACAUGUAAAAAGCAACUAAUUAUAUAAUAUCAUAAUCUAUUUCUCGAAAUCCUAAUUGCCUAAAUUCAUUGAGCCUAUAAAUGCUAAAGUGUCCACUUCCAUUUCAACUUGACUUUUGUUGGUCCCUCACUUGUAUGAUCCUUUGAGCCAACCAUGCUUCUAUUGGUCUAGGGACAAACAUAAAACACCAAGAUUAUUUUUGUUGCAUUUAGAUCAUUUAUAUCACUACUAUAUUAACUUACCUCAAAUUGAAAAUUUUUUAUUGAUAUAGAAAACACAACCGUUAAAAAUCUAAUUCAUGUCGACCAAAAAUCAUAAAUACUUAAUAAAAAUAAUAUACCAAAGAGUAAUUGGAAUAAUAUUAUUUGUAAUUCAAGUCACGAAAUUUAAAUGGUAAUUUUAUUAGAAGGAAAUAAAGCUAUUUAAAUACUAUUAAGGACUAUAUUUAAUCUUCCAAAUAUAUAUAAAAAAAUUGACUAAUUAAAUUGAACACAUAAAUUGAUCUUAAAUAAAAAUGGAAUGAUUUUUAAGGGUACCCAAAUUAUAAUUCAAUCCUCAUUAAAGGGUUUUCACCUUAUUAUUACCUGCUUUGUCACCGAAGCAUUUGGGAUUUGUACAAAAUAUGAGUAUGAAUAAAAGAUUAAUUUUUUUUCAUAUAUAAUAGAAGAAUCAUAUCUCAUAUCCAAAUAAGUCUAGAAUGAUUAUUUUAAAUGAAAUAAAAAAUGGAAAAACGUAAAUGUGUAAAAAAUAAAUUAAUAGGACAAGGUGAGAUAAGUAGUUUACACAGUUAAUGCUUCUUCUCCGAGUGGCCCAUUAUAAAAUUGAAAAUUUUUUGCAUCCAUUUUGGUUGCGGCCCUUCUUCCUCCGCUUCCUCGUAGAUAUUACGUUUUGGUUUUGUGUAAGAAAUGCUACCUACUGAUCCAUUGUUGCGAGCAGAGUGUUGGUGGAUGUGUUCAAAUUUUGGAGAAAAUUGAGUGCUAUGGCACUGCAACUCAUUUAUUUCUUCCAAAUCUUUCUUAUACACUAUUCUAAAAGCACACUUCUUCACCUUAACACUGCUUCCACUGAAAGACACGUCAAGCUCAUCAUCGCAUAAAUGAUUGGUUUCACAGUCACCAUAUUCAUCCUCCAAUAAAAAUGGAUAUAAUUUAUCACGCGACCAAUAACGAAGAAAAAGGUGAUCUUUCGUUACGGGCUCGUUAAAUCGUUUACCCAUAUUCAAGCGUUUCCGACUAAUCUCCCAACAAUUGACAGAUGCUGUACAAUUGAGAAGUUCGACCUCCUUUGAAGCAUCAUUAUUAACAAAAAUGCAGCAACAAGCAACUCCAAUCCAUUCUGUUGCGCGGAAGCGUGUGAAAGAGUAAAAAUAUUAUACUGAAAAAUCACACUAAGUUCAAUUCCCAAGAAAAAGAGGUAGAUCACGAAGAUCACUUAAAUACCAAGUCUUUCCUAGCCAAAAUAUCCCUUUAUCGUAAUUUAAUAGCACAAUAAAUCACUACAAUCACAUUCACAAAAUAUGCAAAAUAAAAAAUAAAGAACACCCGAAUUUUAACGAGGUUCAGCAAAUUUUGCCUACGUUCUCGGGCACUACCAAAUAUAUUUCACUCCAAAAAUUACAAGUGAAAUUUACAAAUAGGGAGAGAGAAUAAUGCCUUAAGUAGAGAAUGGCAAUUAUGGGAUGAAGAAAGUAAGAAAUGGUUAGACCUAUUUAUAGUUGAGGUUCAAUGAUCAACUUGCAAUGUCCCUAUACAAUUAGGGACCAAAAUUGUAAUUAUCCCAUGCCAACUUUUAACCCAACUUAUCAACCAAUAUUACUUUCUACUUUCGGUGCCCACCCCAUUUGACUUUUCAAACAAUGGUGGGUUCCAAUACAUUCACUAUCUUUCCGAAGGUUGAUAGGUAGGAAUAUUUUAACAGAAUCAAUUGAAGAGUCGCUUUUUUGUUGGCUAAACCAUUCUGAGAUUCCACUUCCGGGCAUAAUAAUAUCAAACCAUUCUGGGAUUUCACUUCCAGGCAUAGUAAUAUCAAACAUUUUCCUUGAAUUUGCAAAUGCCUGCAAAAUAAAACACAAGUCGUUUGGUAACUAAAACCAUAAAUUCUCAAGUAUGAGAUUUUGUAAGGGAAAAUAAAGAGAUUAAUCGACCUUAAGAUGUGUUUUCUGCAAUGUUAAUGCAUAGAUAUUCUCAGCCAAUUUGAAGCAGUUAAUGGCGUUAACGGCAGCCGAAUCCACUAAAUUGCUUACUUUUGAUGGACUUGCAACUACUUCAAGUGAAGCACAACCAUCUAUCCACACCGUUUUUAUACUUGUUAGAAGUUCAGGCAACAAUUUAAGAUUCAAGCAAUCUGAUAAUGCAAGCAAUUUAAGCUUUGAGAGUCGAGUAAAAGAUACAGGUAUGCUGAUGAAAUUGUUACCACUAAGAUCAAGAUGUAUCAAAGAAGAUAGACCAGAAAUAUCACGUGGAAUAUCUCCUUCACAAAGAUUGCAGUCCCUUAGAUUCAACUCUCUUAAUGAACUCAAACCUGACAGUGAAGGUAACAUCCGAGCCAUGGGAUUCGUCCUUCUGCCUUGGAUUACCUUGAAAAGAGAAGGCAAAUUUGGUCGUAACUUAUGUGAUGGUCCCUUGCGCCCAUUGAAAGACAGAACUUUAAAAUUUUUAAAUUGACAAAUGAAGGAUGGUGGUUCUGUUAUGGCUGUUUCACUCAAGUCGAGCUCUUCCAAAAACUUUGCUUGCUGCAAAUUUUCAGAUAAAUUUUCAACUCUAUAACAACCGGAAGGAUCUAGAGUUUUUAAACGUUCCAUUUUCCCAUCAAUCUCUGGAAACCUUACAAGACUUGAGCAACCCGAAAGAAUUAAUGUUUCAAGAGAUUCCAUUCCAAUUUUGGCCGGAAGACUCCUAAGACUUUUGCAAUCUCUUAAAUUCAAAAGUUUAAGGCUCUUAAGCAUUUCGAUUGAUGGAUGAAAAUCCACUAAUUUGGUACAACCUUUCAUGAUCAAAGCUUCAAGUUUUGGCGCUGUUGUGAAGUCUGGUGUCUUGAUCAGAUUUUGGGACCCUUCAAAGUUCAUCAUUUUCAACUUAUACAAGGGCUGUUGAAGUCCAUAAUAAAUUAGAAACAAAUGAGAAAACAUAAUAAUGCUCAUUUUUAUUUUUUUAUCUUAAUCAAAAUUUAAUCAUUUAUAUUAAAAUAAGCUAAAACACAAGGAUCAUAUGAGUUAAUUCUUACUCUUUUUCCCUUCCAUAGUUGUUUAAUGUUACUAUAAGGUAAAAGAAGUGCGACAAGAUUGUCCGGUUGGAAGCUUGAAGGCAACGAUCUUGAAGGCCAUCCUUUCCAAUCUAAAAGUCGUAGCUCAUUAGAAAGAUAAUUGAGAUCAUCACAAUUUGAUAGGCAAAGUACUUUGAGCAAUCUCAAUUUUUUUCAUUUUUGAGAAGGCAUCGACACUCAAGUUGAGCACCUUGCUCAAUUCCCUAAUAACCAUGAGCAAAACAAAAAUGAGCUUUAGAAUAUACAAAAACAUUCAAUAUCUAAGAACUAUGUUGUAUCAAUAUCGUUUUUUUAUGUACAUGUAUCCUAUACUUUUAUCUAAUGCAUAUCUGAAUAUCGAUAUUAAGAUCCUUUAAGAACUCUUUAAAUACAUAAAAAAAAUCUUCAAAAAAAUUGAACGUACCAAUAUUGAAGAUAUACACAUAUCUAACAAUCACAUAUCUUACGUUAUAUUACCUAAUCCUAAAAAAAUUGAAAUUAAUAUUUUGAUUUAUAUUUGGUCAGCCAACAAUGCAUAAUUCUAUACAAAUUAAUCAACCAAAAACAAUGAUACAUAAUUAAAAAUAAAACCAUUUUCAUUUAAAAAAAAAAACUUUAGAUGACAUGUUACAAUCUAAUUCAUUGAUGUAUACACUAUUAGUGCAUUAAAUAUAUACCAUUAAUAUUUCAGAAAGAUAUACAUAUUUCAAUAUUGAUUCUUUUAAAAGAGUAAUAUGUUGCUAGAUAAAUUUCAUAUGUAAACAUUGAAAAUAUAGAGUGUCAAAGGUUUUGCUAUAGUUUCUUAUCAUAUUUAAAAUAAAUAAAAUCAUUAUUUAUAAUACACAAAGAUAUAAAUUUAUAUGCACCUUCUUACCUUUUAUUAUCGAUGAACAUGCCUUCAAUUAUUUUUGUAGCCUAAAAAAAAUCAAGAAUAGAAAAUAAGAAAACAAAAUAAAUGGUGUAUAAUGUAAAAUUAAGCUUUUAAAAAUUUACAUUUUUAUUGAGCAUUGUAAUGCAAGAAAUAUAAUAAAUAAAGCAUUUUAAACAAUGUAAAACAGUUUCUAAUGAGGGCAAUGCAAUGAAAUUAAAUAUUUGUUUCUAUAAAUUUUUGUUAACAUUUGUAAACAUCAAACAAUAUUUAUGUCGAAAGUACAAAAUAUCACUUUUUAAGGAUGUUGUAUCAACCAAUUAGACUAAGCUUUGAAUUUUUAUCAUAUAUUAUUAGAUAUUCUAUUAAAAAAUAGUAUGUAAUUUUUGUUGAAUGACUUAUAGUGUUUUUGUUAGGAUAUGAUAGACAUCCGUUUCCUUCCACAAUCUGCAACAUUUUCCAAGUUUAUCAAUAGAUUUUUCUCUAACAAUUUUUCUUCUCAUUUCUUGCAACAAGUCAUGCAUCCACAAAUAUUGGUUGUCAUCAUCGACUUUUAUUAAAGAUUUUUUAAUGAGAACGUCAAUUCCAAUAUCGGGGAAAAACUCACAACCAUCUAAUACUUUCAUUACAAAAUCUUUCUUCUCCCCAUUGAAGAAGCAUGCUAUAUCUAGAAAUAUAUUUUUCUCUGUUUCUUCCAAUCCAUCAAAACUAAUUCGAAGUUUAUUAAGAAUUUCUUCAUUAGAAUCUCUUUUAAGUCUUUCAAUCGCACUUCUCCAUUGAGUCACAUCUCUACCGCAUAAAAAGGAACCUAAAACUUUAAGAGCUAAUGGGAGCCCAUCAGCAUAACUUAUAACAUGGUAAGAAAGCUCAAUGAAAUCAUCUUUCAGCACUAUAUCACUAUGGAAAGCUUUCAAAUUGAAAAGUUGAAGCGCAUCUGUGUAAUCCAAUGUUGUGGGUAUAUACACAUCAUCAACUUGGCAAGAUUGAAGCAAAUGUUCAUCUCUUGUUGUUACAAUGAUUCUACUCCCUAAUCCGAACCAAUCAUGCCUUCCAACCAAGCAUUUUAAGUGUUGUAUGUUAUCAACAUCAUCAAGAACAACAAGAACCUUUUUGCGAGACAACAUAUGACUAAUUAUAUCAUUCCCUUCAUGAACAUUGAAAAAUUUGAAGCAUUCAUCAUGAAAAAUUUCCGAAAGAAGUUGUUUCUGUAAAAAAACUAAUUCACAUUUGUCUGAAACUUCUCUAAUAUCAGCAAUAAGCUUUUACUUUCAAAAUGAUGUGACAUUUGAUUAUAAGCAAGUCUUGCGAGUGUUGUUUUACCGAUACCACCCAUUCAGCAAAUCCCUAUAAUGCGGACAUCAUUUUUCCCGAUGUUUAUUUUCAAAUAUAAAUCCUCCAAGCGUUGACUAAUUCCAACCAAGUCACUAUGAGUAACUGGGUGACAUAGUUUUGCUGAUAUCUUCUUAAUAAACUCUCUAAUAAAUUAUGAUUCAUGCCUACAAGGAAAGAAAUUUUAAUUUUUUGAAUAAUUCUUUUUUCAUAUUUUCAAAUGCACUCUCUUUUUCAAUGAAUCAUGAAACAUAAUAUAGUUUGGAAGCAAACAAGAACCAAGACACUUUUCAAUUAAACACAUAGGAUUGGAAAGAAAAAAAAAGUUAUACAUAUAUAUCCGAAAAAAUAGAAAAUAGAGAAGAAAAGAAAAUGUUACCUGUUAUUUAAAUGCCAUCCCUUGAUUCCAGCCACUUGAAUUAAAGCAUUUCGCCACCUUUGGAUCUUCUCACUAUCUUCUUUGUAUCUCUCUUCAUGUCUAGCAAGGGCUUCUUCCACUUUCUCUUUUUGUUUUCUUAAAUCAGAUGGAUCAACAUCGUAAAAAAUUGGAAACACUUUAUGGCCGUCGUUGUUAUGUUGUUUAACAAUCUCAGCAAGCUCCUCCAAGCACCAACUUGAGAAGGCAUAAGUUUGUGAAAAAACGAUUACCGAACACCAUGAUUGCUGAAUUGCUGUAAAGAGUUCUGGCGCGAUCUCUUCGCCGGCCUCCAGCUUUGGAUCAUCCCUGAAAGUGACGAUCCCACUCCUACUUAAAGCAUCGUAGAGAUGAUCGGUAAAGUUGUUGCGGGUAUCUUCACCUCUAAAACUCAAGAAAACAUCAAAUUUCUUUCUAGAAUUGGACGAAGAAGUUGAAGGUAAUGACGGCAUGACGAUGUGCGAGAAAAAAAAAUGUGGAUGUAGUGUUGAAAAUCAGAAAAUUGAUCGCUCAAUAUGUCUGAAAGAAACUAGAAACUAGAAACAGAUCAAAUUUCAAGGGAAGAAUAAAGGUGGUUUCUAAGCAAUUUCUUUAUAACCUUUUCAUUUUCCAAAUGAAUGCGCCUAGUUGUGGAAAUUGGGGGGGUCAUAAAUGAGUGAUUCAUGUGAAUCCAAGAAGGUGGGUGUUGAUAAAAUGGAGCCUACAAUAAUUGCAAGUCUUCUUAAGUUUGUGUUUUACUUGCUUUCUUUUACAUAAUCAUAUCUAGUUUAUAAUAUAUUAUAUGUGUUCUUAAGUUUGAUAGCUUGCAUCUAACUAAUGAUCCGAAUUACUUUGAGCGAAUUCCUUAGGCCAUGGUUUCAAAUGACCACUCCACCAUCAACACCUCUACCACCGACAAUGAAUUCGGCCCGCAACAAAACGUUCCCAUUGAAGGAAAAAGGAAUUGUGUAAUGAAUGAUGUCACCUUCACCAAUUAUUUUUCUUAUCACAAACCCAAAUCAAUUUUCUUCCGCUGAAUAUAAAUAAUUUAUUAUUAAUUUUCUGCCCUCCAAUUUUAGAAAAAAAAAUUAUUUUAGCCUUUCAUUUAAUGUUUUAUUUUUUUAACUCUUCAAUUUAUAUUUUUUGUCAAAUCACUCUAAAAUGGAUAGAUAAUUUAAUAUUUAUUCACUUUACUGAUGUGACAUACACGUGGAUUGCCAUGCGGUUGACAUGUCAGUAUUUAAUUAAUUUUUUAAAUUUUAAAAAAUAUUUUUUUAUAAUUUUUAAUAUUUUAAAUUUUUUAAAAUAUAUUUUUUUUUAUUUUUUAAAAUUUUAAAAAAUUAAUUAAAUGAUGAUAUGUCAUCCAUGUGGCAAUCUACAUAUAUGCUAUAUCAAUAAAGUUAAAAAAACAAGUUGAAAAAUUAAAAACACAAAAAAUUAAAUAAAUAACUAAAAUAAUUUUUUUAUAAAAUUUAAAGGUUAAAUAAAUCAUUCGGCCUGGAGGUCCAGCAAGGAGAGAUCAACCUACAAAAUGGAUGAGGACUAAGCCUUGCAUGGUUUUUUGUUUUUUAUUUAUAUAUUUUUUUCUUUUUAGAUGGCCCCAGCCCCUAAAAUGGAAAUUUUCCUUUUACAGCCCUUAAAAUUUUAAAUUUGUAAUGGUAAAAUUACAUUUUGACUCCCCUAAAAUUGAUAAAAAUUUGAUUUAAUUCUUUAAAAAUUAUAAAUAUAUAAACUAUUAAAAUGGUAAAUUUGUAUUUUUACUAUCAUAAAAAUACAAUUUAAUUUUGACUCCCUCAAAAUUUUCUUGACUUCGCCCCUGCCUAUAUUAGGCCCUGGGGUAGGGAGUUAGAAGAUCAUCUUAUUCAUUUCUUUCUCGAUUUUGCAUGGAUGCAAUGACGAAGCCAUGUAGAGGCCCAGGGGCCAUGGCCCUUCAAAAUUUUUUUUUUUUUAAAUUUAAUCCUUUGUAAAAAUACUAUGACCCUCUCAAAAAUAUAAGUAGGUCCCCUAAGACUUAAGAUUUUUGUAAUUUCCCCCUUUGUAUAUAUAUUAUAACCCUCCUAAAAAUAUAAGUAGGCCCCUCCAAUAUUUUUAUAGUAUUAAAUAUAAUAUUAAAAAAUUUAUUCUUGAUAUCACAGAAAAAGAUUAAUCUAUAUCACUAGUAUAUUAACUUAUCUCAAAUUAAGAAUUUUUUCUUGAUAUCACAGAAAACACAACCGUUGAAAAUCUUGCUCAUUUCAACCAAAAUCAUAUCUCUAAACCCUAGACAUGAACAAAAAAUGAAUUUAUUAAUUUUUUUUUAAUAUUGGAUAUGAAUGAGUCUCUCACACUAAAAAGAUCUUCCAAUGAAUUAAAAGAGCAAACUCUUUAUAUUCAUAUUUGAAUAAGUGUUAAAAAUAAAUGUCUAAACAUAAAUACUUUACAAAAAUAUAUAUAAACUUAGGAAUUGGAGUAAUAUUAUUUGUACUACAAACCAUGAAAUUUAAAUGAUACUUUCUCCGUUUGUUUGCCAGUAAAAUAUUUUUCGGAAAAUGAUUUUUAAAAAAUGAUUUACUUUUCUGGAAAUAAUUUACUUUUCUGGUGUUUAGAUGAAUCUAUGUAAAAUAUUUUCUGUUGUUUGACAGAUUUUCUGAAAAUAUUUUCCGAAAAAACUGUAUUUACAUAUAUUAAUAAAUAUAUAUAUUAAUAAAUUUAUAUUUUAAAUUAUUUUUACAUAUAUUGCAAUGAUUUAUUUAUAAAUAAAUAAAUCAAAUUAAAUAUAUCAAUUAGAUGGUUUAAUUGCUCAAGAUUGGCAAUCAUCCUAUAAGAUUCAUUCACAUCACAUGUAAAUGAUAAAAACUAAUCGUCAUAUUUGUAGUUAAAUAAACAAGUAGCAACAACUCGUCUAGUAACGUAUUGAAGCCAAACAAUAUAUAGAUCAUGCAGAAAAAUAUUUAAUCUGAAAUGAAAAUGCACUUUCAUCCACAUAAAAGUGGAUCAUAAAAAUCCCAAUACAAAAUGAAAGAUAAGGAUGAUGUUUGCAGUUUUAACCGUAUCCUCAGGCAUUCCAGUGCCAUUGUAGAUCCAACAAAUGCCAAAAAGUGAAAAGUUUAGUACAUGAGCCGCUCCUUUCAGAACAAAGAUUUAAGGAUCAAGCAAUACCUACUAAAGGAAUCAUACAAAGAUGGCUCUACCCGCAAAUGACUAACACUUAUCUCUAUCCUCAUUGCUCGUCAUUUCACUUUCCCUUCUUCUUGCCCUUUUCAAAUACCGAAAUUGUUACAAUGGCAGAAAGGAACCGGAGAAAAAAAUUCAUGAUGCAACUAGAUCAGGUGUUUCAGCCUCAAUUGAUAACCAAGCGUCAUGUACUUUGCCCAUCCAAUUAUCCAACAGCUGCAAUGACCAGACUUGUAAACGCCAAAGAAGCCUGCAUGUAUCCAAGUGAUUGGUAUCAACCAGUCCGAAAAUAUAGAAAAUUGAAACACCAAACAUAGUACUUAAUACCAAUGCACAACAGUUGAAUUUCUACGACUGCCUGCCUAUAGAAAGAAUCUAUUUGAUUUGCAGUAACAAGCCAAAGAAAACUGCAAAAAAUAAAAAUUAUCCAACAAAUUGUUCAAAUACCAUAUGCAUCCAACAAACUGCAAAAAACUGAUUAUAACAAUGAAACUAUAAUCAAUAAAUGCAAAAAGAAAUGAUACAUGAGAAAAGUAUAGACUAUCCUAUGUUACUAAGACUCGAACAUGAGUGUAGGAUACGAAUAUGUUUCUAACACGAGUAAGUUCAAUUUUUUCUAAGUUUUUAUGUGUACUUGGAGGGCUCUAAAGAAAAAAUUAAAUAGUGGGAACGACAUACUAUUACCAAGUUACAAUUCCAACAUUAUCAAACAUCAAUUUCAUAUAUACAUAUAUAUAUUUAUAAGCUACAUGCAAACAAGAGAAGCUUAUCAAAUUUUGAAAAUAUCCAUUAAGCAAUAAGAAGCACGCACAUAAAACAUGCCCAAAACCAAGAACUGCCCUUAAACAACCUCAAAAUAAGCACUAAAUAAUCUCAAAACAUUAAAGAACAAUCCGUUUACAGAACAUAUUUAGCACACCUUCCAAGUAAUGAGACUAUCAAUCAAAUAUUCUCUCUCACACAUACGCAGAUAUAUAGCAUAAAAAUUCCACAUACAUAUAUAGUACACAAUAACCUGAAAAGCCUUAAAACCAUACAAGCAAUAAAAGUGAACAGAUAGAAGGCUUGAUCACUCGAACUCAUCUUUUGAGUUGGAAUAAAAACUCAUCCUUUGAGAAGGGAAAAAAAGAAAAAGAAAAAGAAACUACAACAUAAGACUCCCUUUUAAAUCAAUCCAACACAAUAAAAAAUAAGAAUGUAUUCAUGUAAUUGCAAUAGCAUGAAAAGAAAUGCAAAACGAAAAGAGGCUCUUAAUAGCAGGCACUUUUCAGUCAUUAAACCUCCAUAUACAUUAACAUGAGUAUCAUAAACGAGGCCUAUGAACCUUAUCUUUGUGCAAUUAAAAGUAUAUUUUCUUAAUCAAGACUGCAUCGAUCAUCUCCAUAACAAUUGGACCAGCUGCAAUAUAUAGUGAAUUUAAGAAACUUAUAAAUAGGUGCUUACAAUUGGAUGAGCAAGGAGUUCUCCAAAGUUGUAGAUGUUAUCUCCCAAAAGAGCAGAAAUGGACAGAUCAAAUGCCAAAUCCUAUAUCAAAAGAGUUCAAAUAAAAUUAAAUGAAAUGAAGUCACUGGACAAAUAUAUUCCUCGCAAUUUCUUUAGUUCAUUUACUUCCAUCAAUUUUAUGACUGGGUUGUAAGGGGCUGGAAAACAGAAUAUUUAAGCACAUCAGCCAUCAGACUUCGGAGGCACUGCUGUUAGAUGAAUAGGUUGAUAAAACCAUAAGAUUCAAAUGCUUCCAUUCAACUAAUACAAAUAAACUCACCGAUUCUACAGAAUAGCAAGGAACCAUAAGAACAACUCGGAUCAAGAACUUUUGCUCCCGUCAAUCCAAGAACACAGAAUUUAAAAAACUGGAUGAAGGAGGAACCGAAAAAGGUCAUUGACCAAACUAUUUGUGAAUGCAACUAAAGCCCAGUAAGAAUCUCAGAUGUUCCUAUUCAACAGGGAGACAAUUAAAUCCUUAAACAACUUAAAAAAUCAUCAUUUUGACAACAUCGAGCAAAAACAUUAGCACUAACAGAAUUGGUUUCAUGCUUAAGUCCCGUAAAAACCCUUACAAUACUCUCUUCCCAAAUACAGAGGCAUGAAACACACAGAUCAUCAAUCAAAUCCAAGAAAAAGUCGUCACAAUCACAAAAAAACCGAUUUAAAUAUAGUAAGACAUAAGAUUAUUAUAGCACUGAAACAAAACGAGGAUCUUUCAUAACGUUUUACAUUGUGGAACUAACGUAAUUCACAAACCUUAAACCUAUCAAUUCAGGGCGGAAAAAGAAGAAAAAAAAGGAGGUGAAAUUGAGGGAAAAUAUCGCUGAGAGAGCCAGAGAAAAAUGAACAACAAAAGAAUGAUUAGAAUUAGAAAAUGGUGUAGAAAAUAUAAAGAGGGUUUUACCUGGAUGAAGGAGGAACCGGAAAAGGUCCUUGACCAAACUAUUGUCAAUGGCACUGAUUUGCAACCCAAGGGGAAGGGGGAGGGGGAGAAGAAGCUUCAUUUUCAGGAAAAUGUCUUACCGAUUUCAAAAGGGUAAGAUAUUUUCCUAAAAAAACACUUUAUUUUUCCGUGUUUUGUAAAAUAUUUUACGGUAGGAAAUUGUUUUCAGCCAUCCAAAUAUCAAAAAAGCCUGAAAACCUUUUACAUGUUACCAAACAGAAUUAAACCUAUUUAAGUACUAGAAAGGUCUUAUUUUUAAUUUUCUAAAUAGAUAAAAAUAAUUUUGACCGAUUAAAUUGAAUACAUAAAUUAGUCUCAAAUAAAAAUAAAAUAAUUUUUAACUCAGUCCAAAUUAUGAUCUGAUCUUUAUUAAAGGAUUUCACCUUAUUGUUACCUGUUUUGUCACGGAAAUUAUCUAUUUUUCUUUACAUUUCUAUCUCAAGUUGAUUAUAUUUAUUUCAACCUACAAAUAAAAUAUAGAUGUAAGUGUAUAUAUAAUGAAAAUAAAAUUUUAAUAAAAAAUGAAACUACACAUUUCAGUUAUGUAAAAAGGAAUGAAUUAAGCUACUAAAAUUUUAAAUGAUAUAUAUAAACUAUGUUAUCAACAUUUGUGAUAUGUACGGAAUAUGAGCUUCUGUUGAAUAUGAGUAAAAGAUUUAUAACUUUUUGGUAUGUAAGAAGGAUCGUAAAUAAGUCUAGAUUGAUCACAUUAAAUAAAAGAUGUGUAAAAAAGUUCAUAGGACAAGACUGGUUAAGUAGUUUACCACACACUACAGGAAAAUAGAGAUUUAGCGGCGUUUUAUAAAAAAACGCCACAAAAAUUAUACAUUAGCGGCGUUUUUGGCAAAACCCCGCUAAAAACAUAGCAAUAGCGGCUUUUUUUGGCAAAGCGCCGCUAAAAAACAGAGCAAUAGCGGCGUUUUUGACAAAGCGCCGCUAAAAAUAGAGCAAUAGCGGUGUUUUUUGCGAAGCGCCGCUAAAAAACAGAGCAAUAACAGCAUUUUUAGCAAAGCGCUAAAAAAUAGAACAAUAGCGGCGUUUUUGGCAGAGCGCCGCUAAAAGUCAUAUAACCCCUAAAUCCUUAAACACCCAAAAAAACCAUAGACACUAGUCUAUAUAACUCCUAAAACCCUAAACCCAAAAAACCCUAAACACUAAUCUAUAAUUCCUAAAACCCUAAACCCCAAAAACAUCAUAUGGAUGUUGAUAUGUAUAUACAUAGAUAUUAAUGUAAAAGCUUAUGUUCAUAAUAAAUUACGAAAGCAAUACUUAAUAUUGAUUAAAUUUAUUUUUAGGUUUAGAGUUUAAUAUUUAAGAUUUAAGGUCUAUAAUUUAGAGUUUUAUGGUUUAAGGUUUAAUGGCCAUGGGUAAUAUGUUAAUCUCAAGUGAAUCAUAUUCAAUUAAAUCCUAAACCCUAUAAUUAAUAUAUAUUUAGGGGCAUAAGUAGGGGGUUGAAAGGGUCUUUGCCUUUCUAAAAUGAAAAAUUGUCCAUUUCGAUUUUUUUUGAAAUUUUUAAAAGGUAAAAUUACACUUCAUCCCUUUGAAUAAUGGAAAAUUUUUUUAUUUAAUCGUUUCAAAAUUAUAAAAAUAUAUGCUAAACUUUAAUGUUUAAAGUUUAGAUGAUAGGGGGUAAGGGUUAGAGGUUAAAGGGUAAAAGUUUAGGGUUUAUGUUUUAUGACUUAAUGUUAAGGGUUUAGAUUAAUACUUUUAUUUUCAAAAAUAUUUAAUCUAAACUAUUUGAUAUAUUUAAAUAUCAGAUUUUAAAAAAAUAUUGAUAAAUAAAUAAAAACAUUGAUAAUAAAUAAAAAUGAAAUAUAAAAAAUAUAUAUAUAAAAAAUUGAGAUUAAUGGCGUUUUUAUAAAAAAACGACACAAAAGAUAAGCAAUAAUGACGUUUUUAUAAAAAACGCCGCAAACAAUCAUUUUACUUAAAAAAAAAUGGCGCUUUUGUUUCCCAAAUUCCCCCUCCCUUCGAAACCCUAAAUUUUCCCCUAAAAUUGGAAUACUCAAAACCCCUUUUUCACACACACCGUUUUCAUCGGUUUACCUUGGAACCCAUACGAUCCCUUCCCCUUCCCCUUUCCCUUUCCCUUUCCCUUUGGUUUUGAAAAAACCCCAAUUCUUAUAUUCAUUAUUCUGUUCUUAAUUUCGGUUUUGAUUUUUCUAUGUUCUUUCUUCAAAUUUUUAGACUCUCUGCAAAUUUUGAAGGACCUGCCUCUGGGCUCUGUACUUAAAUCCUAGUCUAAAGACAUGCAAGCAAGAAUGCAGAUUUUUGUUCAAACAGAUUCAAACAAUUAAAGAUACAAUGGAUUUGUACUGCAGAAUGCGGAUUCAAGACAUGCAACUUGCAAGCAAGAAUCAAGAGUAUUUUUCAGGUACUUACUUGGAGUUUACGGUCUUUGCCUCUUUGGAGUUUACGGUCUCUAAACUCUAAACCGAAAUAUGAUUGCUUUUAAGUUUCUUUUUUUUUGUAUGAUUUAGAUGGAAUUAUAUAGUGGGGUGAAGUGAAAAACAAAAAAGAUUGGAACUUUGAGAAUGUUGCUUGAAUUGUCCUUUAUUUGCUGUGUUUUUUUUUUGUAAUUACAUAUAUCCUAAACUCGAUCUUGUGAACAUGAAGACUGAUUUCCUUAACCGAAAUGUCAAUGAAGGAUUCAGUGGAGGUGAAAGGAAGCGCAAUGAGAUUUUGCAGCUUGCGGUAAUAUGAUAUAAUGUCUUCUGUAAUUCAUUGUGGAAUUGUUUUGUCCUCAUUUGAUAGUUGCAGUGGAAUAUUCUUGUUUGAACUUAGAAUUGCUGUUCAUGGCUUACAUGCUAUUGCAGGAGCUAUUACUAUACACUAUUUUAAUAUUUCAGCUUUAUUAAUAAUUUUUAGAUAUGGAUGGAUGGCUAGGAUUAUAAGUUUUCCUUAUUUUUCUGGUAAGCAACCAUUUCUCUUUUGUUGUUGAAGAAUUUCAACAUAUAAAAAAAGAAAUUGUAUUAAUUUCAGGCUAAGGAUAAGUUAGAGAAGUCAAUGGUGGCAGAUGAUGUAUCAGGCCAGAGUAUUGAAAGUGAAGUUCGAACCAGCUCCGGCAUGUUUCUUGAGAAAGCUCUGGUAUAUAAAUGAAUUGUCUUUCAUUCCUUUUUUUAGCUUAAAGCUGUGAAAUUACUAGAAUUUAUGUUAAUUUAAGAGAGGAAUGCUGAAUUUAUGAGUCGAAUUGUUGAAUUUAGAAGUAAAAUGAAUUGAUCUAUUAUCCAUAUGAUCUUGUUUUUAUGUAAUUUUAUGCAAUCUUAUUCUUGCUUUGUUUAAGAAAGGAUGAAGCAUCUGGCUGUUUAUAAUUAUGUCAUUGUAUCAGUACUUUCAUGCUUUUUUUCCCUUCUGUGGGAUACUGAUCAUAGCUGUUUGAGAUUGUUCUAUUUUUGAGAACAUGUAUUUGAUAUAGACUGACUAUAUGAACUGAAAUUUGCGUGGUGCUUGUGAGAUUUUAAUCACUUGAAUGGUACAUCAUCUGAUAUUUGGUCUUACGGAGUUAUUCUCUUUGUUCUCAUGGCUGGUUAUUUGCCUUUUGAUGAGCCAAGCCUUAUAGGCUUGUAUAAGAAAGUAAGUACCCUCCAGGUUUGGCCAGUCUUGCUGUCCAUCAUGGUUUUCAUCUGGUGCUAGGAAUUUGAUUAAGCGUAUUCUUGAUCCAAAAACCCUCUUACCGUAAGUUUCAAAUUCAAUUCAUCCUAUGAAAAUUUGUGAUUACAUGCAAUUUUUGAUCACAAUAAGCUUUGGCACAUGCAUUUUGGUUGAAAUUCUGCAUGUUCUUUUUUGCAACGUAUAACUAUUCCUGAAAUUCUACAAGAUGAAUGGUUCAAGAAAGGGUACAAGCCACUAAAAUUUGAGCAAGAUGAGGAUGUAAAUCUUGAUGAUAAUAUCUUAUAUUUUACAUGGUUAUGAUAUCUUUAUAUUUAAUCUAAUUUUUAUUAUUUAUUUUAGUUUUGAUUAUAAAUUUUUAUUUUUAUUUUAAUAUUUUUAGUUAAAAUUUUAAUAGAAAAUUUUAUUCUUCGCUAUAUUUUGAUAAUGAAUUUUAAUUUUUUUAUAUUUUUCAUGAUUUUUAUAAUAUUUUAUUUUUUUCCCAAAAACGCCGCUAAAGGGCAUGGCCUUUAGCGGCGUUUGCGAGGAAAGCCGCCGCUAAAGGUCAUGACCUUGACCUUUAGCGGCGUUUUUUUAAAUAAACGCCACAAACUUUAGUAGCGUCAUCUAUAGCGGCGUUUUUUUGCGGCGCUUGUAAAAACGCCACAAAUAGUUUUAGCGGCACUUAAAAGCGCCGCUAAAGACCUUAAAAAAUGCCGCUAAAAGUCAAUUUUGCUGCAGUGACUGUUAAAGCUUCUUACCUGAUUGGCCCAUUAUAAAAUUGAAAAAUUUUUGCAUCAAUUUUGGUUGCAGCCCUUCUUCUUCCGCUUCCUCGGAGAUAUUACGUUCUUGUUUUAUGUUAGAAGUGCUACCUACUGAUCCAUCGUUGUGAGCAAAGUGUUGGUGGAUGUGUUCAAAAUUUGGUGAAGAUUGAGUGAUAUGGCAUUGCAACUCUUUUAUUUCUUCCAAAUCUUUCUCAUACACUAUUCUAACACCACACUUCUUCACCUUAAGGCUAUGACCAUUGAAAAACACAUGAAGCCCAUCACGUUUAUGAUCUAAUCAAUCUGUUGUCUGUAAAUUAUUGGUUUCACAGCCACCAUAUUUAUCCUUCAAGGAAAAUGGAUAUACUUUAUCACGCGACCAAUAACGAAGAAAAAUGUGAUCUUUCAUUAUGGGCUUGUUGAAUCGUUUACCCACCAACUAGCCUCUCCUCUCAAUGUGUCGAGGAUUUCUACCAUACAUUAACGCUCUGAAGUCGAUAAAGCCCACAUCCUUUGAAGCAUCAUUAUUGACAAAAAUGCAGCAACAAGCAACUCCAAUCCAUUCACUAUCCUCUUGAAGGUUGAUAGGUAAGGGAAUCUUAAUAAAGGAGUCACCUUUUUGUUGGCUAAACCAUUCUGGGAUUUCACUUCCCGGCAUGAUAAUAUCAAACAUUUUUCUUGAAUUUGCAAAUGCCCAAAAUAAAUCACAAGUCGUUUGGUAACUAAAACCAUAAAUUCUCAAGUAUGAGAUUUUAUAAGGGAGAAAAAGAGAGAUUAAUCGACCUUAAGAUGUUUUCUCAGCAGUGUUAAUGCAUUCAUAUUCUCAACCAAUUUGAAGCAGUUAAAGGCUCUAAUAGCAGCCGAAUCCACUAAAUUGCAUACUUUUGAUGGACUUGCAACUACUUCAAGUGAAGAACAACCCUCUAGCCACACAUCUUCUAUACUUGUUGGUAGCUCAGGCAACGAGUUAAGCUUCAUGCAAUUUGAUAAUGCAAUCAAUUUAAGCUUGGAAAGUUGAGUCAGAGCCAAAGGAACGGUGAUGAAAUUGUUAUCGUUAAGAUAAAGCCAUUUCAAAGAGGAUAGACCAUGAAUAUCUGCUUCACCAAGAGUGCACAUGUUGCAAUUUGACAAUAUAAGAACUUCAAGCUUGGAGAGUCGUGUAAGAGAUGCAGGUAUACUGACGAAAUUGUUACCACUAAGAUCAAGUUCUUUCAAAAAGGAUAGACCAGAAAUAUCAGGGGGAAUAUCUCCUUCACAAAGAUUGCAGUCCCUUAGUUUUAGCUCUCUUAAUGAACUCAAACCUGAAAAUGAAGGUAACAUCGGAGCAAUGGAAUUUGUCCUUCCUCUUUUGCAUCCAUUGAAAGACAGAACUUUAAGAUUUUUAAAUUGAAAAAUGAAGGAUGGUGGUUCGGUUAUGGCUGUUUCAGUCAAGUCGAGCUCUUCCAAAAACUUUUCAUGCUGCAAAUUCUCCGAUAAAUUUUCAACUCUAUAACAACCGGAAAGAUCUAGAGUUUUUAGACGUUUCAUUUUUCCAUCAAUCUCCGGAAACCUUACAAGACUUGAGCAACCCGAAAGAAUUAAUGUUUCAAGAUAUUCCAUUCUAAUUAUGGUCGGAAAACUCCUAAGACUUUUGCAAUCUUUUAAAUUCAAAACUUUAAGGCUCUUAAGUACUGCGAUUGAUGGAUGAACAUCUACUAAUUUGGUACAACCUUUCAAUGUUAGAACUUCAAGAUUUGAUGCCGUUGUGAAGUCUGGUGUCUUGAUCAGGUUUUGGAACCCUUCGAGGUCCAUCAUUUUCAACUUACACAGGAGCUGUUGAAGAUCACAAUAAAUUAGAAACAAAUGAGAAAACAUAAUAAUGCUUAUUUUUUUGUUUUUUUACCUUAAUCAAAGUUUAAUCAUUUAUAUUAAAAUAAGCUAAAAUACAAGGAUGAGAUGAAUUAAUUCUUACUCUAUUUCCCUUCCAUAGUUGUUGAAUGCGACUAUAUGGUAAAAGAAGUGCAACAAGGUUGUCCGGUUGGCUUGAAGGCAACGAUCUUAAAGGGCAUCCUUUCUAAUCUAAAAGCCGUAGCUCAUUAGAAAGAAAUUUAAGAUAAUCACAAUUUGAUAGGCAAAGCACUUUGAGCAAUCUCAAUUUUUUCAUUUUUGAGAAAGCAUCGGCUCUCAAAUUGAACAUCUUGCUUGAUUCCCUAAUAAUCAUAAAUAAAACAAAAUGAAAAUGAGCUUCACAAUAUACAGAAACAUUCAUAUCUAAAAGUUAUGUUAUAAUCUAAUUCAUUGAUAUGCUAUUAAUAUUUCAAAAAGACAUACAUUUAUAAAUUUCAGAAUUAAACAUUGAAAUAUUGAGUGUUAAAGAUUUUGUUAUAAUUUUUUUAUCAUAUUUAAAAAUAUAAAAUAAUUAUUUACAAUACACAUAAAUAUAAAUUUAUGUCUUCUUACCUUUUAUUAUCGAUGAUUAUACCUUCAAUCAUUUCUGUACCCUAAAAAAAAUCAAGAAUAGAAAAUAAGAAAAUAAAAUAAAUGGUGUAUAAUGUAGAAUAAAACUUUUAAAAACUUACAUUUUUAUUUAGCAUUAUUAUAUUCUAAAUAUAAUAAAUAAAGCAUUUUAAAUGAAGUAAAACAAUUUCUACAAAUAUUAUGCUCUAAAGAGGGUAAUGCAAUGAAAUUAAAUAUUUAUUUCUACAAAUCUUUUUAAUAUUUGUAAACAAACUACAAAAUGGAGCAAUUUAAAUACUAAAGAAGCAGGCACUGAAUCACACCUAAACACAUUGCAGGCAUCCAAUGGUAUAUUCUCUUAUUAUUCCCUUUUUCAUAAAGUACUUAUUUUUAACAUUAUGUUUGGCUUUCAUAUAUAUAAUCUUCCAAAUAGAUAAAAAAAAAAAAUUAACAGAUUAAAUAGGACACAUAUCACAUUUACUUUACAAGAAAAAAUUGUUUGAGACUGUAAUUCCACAUUAUCUCUAUCUCUUUUUGAUAAAUAAAAAAAAAAUUAGAUUUUUCCUCAUUGGAAGUCACACGCAUGGAUUUGCCUUUUGAUGGACUUGGAGGUGCAACUACUUCAAGCGAAGCACAACCAUCUAUCUUCACAUUCAUUAUGGUUGCUAGAAGCUCAGGCAAUGAUUCAAGCUCCCUACAAUUUGAAAAUCUAAGAAAUAGAAGCUUGGAAAGUCGAGUAAGAGACACAGGUAUGCUAAUGAAAUUGUUACCACUAAGAUCAAGUUCUUUCAAAGAGGAACGACAAGAAAUGUCACUAGGAAUAUCUCCUUCCCUAAUAUUGAAGGAUGGUGGUUCUGUUAUGGUUGUUUCACUCAAGUCAAGCUCUUCCAAAAAUUCUACUUGUUGCAAACUCUGGAAAUUUUUUUAACUUUAUAACAACCAGAAAGAUGAAGAGUUUUUAGACGUUUCAUUUUCCCAUCAAUCUCUGGAAACCUUGCAAGAUUUGAGUAACCCGAAAAAAUUAAUGUUUCAAGAGAUUCCGUUCCAAUUGUUUCUCACUGUUUACAAUUAUUUCUGGCUCAGGUUUGUUCUCUUUUGCAUCGAAAAUUAACCUCUGAUUCUUUUAUAAUUUAAAAUUGUUGACUUCUUUAUGUCAGGUGUUUUGCUCUCAAAUAUGCUGCCUGCCCUGUGAUGUGUGUAGAUCAGGUAAUUUACUAGAGGCAGAAAGUUUGGAAAUGAAAAUCGCACUUAAAUUAGUUUCUGAUGGGAUUAGGUUCUCAUGCAAAGUUGUAUUUGUUGCUUAGGAUCGCAUCUGUAUUUCAUUUUCCCAACAUUUUCUUCCACUUAGCUUGGUAAUGUGGUUAUUUCAAUGUUUGCAUAUUAUCACGGCGAAACUAGAUGGAGGUCCAGGGAGGAGAGAUCAACCUGAAGGAAUGGAUGGCGAAUAAAUCUUGCACAGUAUGAUUGAUUUUGUUGGGGUUUUGACAGUAGCAAAAGAAGAUAACAAGACAGAGAACAAAAGAGGAUUGAUUUUGUUGGGGUUUUGACAGUAGCAAAAGAAGAUAACAAGACAGAGAGCAAAAGAGCAAGAAGCUUGAUAUAGUUUAGUUGCUCACAAACUGCAGUAAGAAAGCAAUCUAUUUUACAAAACUGAUAUGCUUGCUCAUUCAAUAAGAAAAUAAUCCCACUAAUCAGCAUUGGGACAAUUAAAAACAUGGCUUGUAUGUAUGAAUAAGCAGACUUAUCAGCUCAAUCAGCACCUAAGCAUAUCGAUACAUCAACAGCUAAGUUCAUUUUCAACCAAAUUAAAUUACUGUUAGAGUUGGCCUGCAUGCAGCACAAGCAGCACCAAGGUGCAGAGAAGCAAAAAAUUCAAAAAAGUUUAUUUAAAAUACUAUAAUUUACAUUACAUGUAAAAAAAAAAAAGAAAGCUAAUUAAGUAAUAACAUUAUCUAUUUCUCAAAAUCUUAAUUCUCUAAAUUCAUCCGAGCCUAUAAUUGCUGAAGUGUCCGCUUUCAUUCCAACUUGAUGACUUUUGUUGGUCCCUCACUAGCAUGAUUCUUUUAGCAAACUUUCAUACUUCUAUUAGCCUAAGGGACAAACAUAAAACAUCAAGGUUAUUCUCGCUGCAUAGAGAUCGUUGCAUUGAGAUCAUCUAUAUCACUAGGCAUUGUAUAAAACUGUGACUCCACUUUAUUCCUAUCACCUCCUAAUAGGAGAAUAACAAAUCAGAAUUUUUUUUUCCUGAUUUUCAACUUUUUCCUCCUAAAAAAAUUUAAAUUCAACUAAAAAUACUAAAAAAUUGAUUUAUCAUUCUUUUAUUGAAAAGGUAAAAAGAUGACAUAAAAUCACAAUUUUAUAUAAUCUUUUCUCUAUCAUAUAAUCUUUUCUCUAUCACUAGUAUAUUAACUUACCUCAAAUCAAGAAAAUUUUGUUAAUAUCACAGAAAAAAAAAACAACAGUUAAAAAUCUUACUCAUGUCAAUCAAAAAUCAUAUAUUUAUUUCUCUAAACACUAAUAUUAGACAAGAACAAAAAUUGAGUUUAUUGAAUUUAAAAAAAUAUAUACUGAAUAUGAAUAUGUUUCUCACAUUGGAAAAGAUUUUCCAAUUAAUUAAAAGAGUCUACUUUAUAUUCAUAUUUGAGUAAUUCUUAAAAAUAAAUGUAUAAAUAUAAAUACUUUACAACUAUAUAUAUAUAUAUAUAAACUUAAGAGUUGGAGUAAUAUUAUUUGUACUACAAACCAUGAAAUUUAAAUGAUACUUUUAUUAAGAGUAAUUAAACCUAUUUAAAUACUAGAAAGGACUUAUUUUUAAUCUUCUAAAUAUAUAAAAAUAAUUUUGACUGAUUAAAUUGAACACAUAAGUUAGUGUCAAAUAAAAAUAAAUUGGUUUCUAACUCGAUCCAAAUUCUGAUCUGAUCUUUAUUAAAGGAUUUCACCUUAUUGUUAUCUGUUUUGUCACGGAAACUAUCCAUUUUUUUCUACAUUUCUAUCUCAAGUUAAUUAUAUUUAUUUCUAACCUACAAAUAAAAUAUAGAUGUAAGUGUAUAUAUUAUGAAAAUAAAAUUUUAAUAAAAAAUGAAACUAUGAUAUCAACAUUUGUGAUAUGUACGGAAUAUGAGCUCCUGUUGAAUAUGAGUAAAAGAUUUAUAACUUUGUGGUAUGUAAGAAGGAUCGUAAGUAAGUCUAGAUUGAUCACAUUAAAUAAAAGAUGUGAAAAAAAGUUAAUAGGACAAGAUUGGUUAAGUAGUUUACCACAGUUAAUGCUUCUUCCCUGAUUGGCCCAUUAUAAAAUUGAAAAAUUUUUGCAACAGUUUUGGUUGCUGCCCCUCUUCCUCCGCUUCCUCGGAGAUAUUACGUUCUUGUUUAAUGUCAGAAGUGCUACCUACUGAUCCAUCGUUGUGAGCAGAGUGUUGGUGGAUGUGUUCAAAAUUUGGUGAAGAUUGAGGGGUAUGGCACUGCAACUCUUUUAUUUCUUCCAAAUCUUUCUCAUACACUAUUCUAACACCACACUUCUUCACCUUAAGGCUAUGACCAUUGAAAUACACAUGAAGCCCAUCACGUUUAUGAUCUAAGCAAUCUGUUGUCCGUAAAUUAUUGGUUUCACAGCCACCAUAUUUAUCUUUCAAGGAAAAUGGAUAUAAUUUAUCACGCGACCAAUAACGAAGAAAAAUGUGAUCUUUCAGUAUGGGAUAGCUGAAUCGUUUACCCACCAACCAGCCUCUCCUCUCAAUCAGUCGACGAUUUCUACCAUACAUUAACGCUCCACAGUCGAUAAAGCCCACAUCCAUUGAAGCAUCAUUAUUGACAAAAAUGCAGCAACAAGCAACCCCAAUCCAUUCACUAUCCUCUUGAAGGUUAAUAGGUAAGGGAAUCUUAAUAAAGAAGUCACCUUUUUGUUGGCUAAACCAUUCUGGGAUUUCACUUCCUGGCAUGAUAAUAUCAAACAUUUUUCUUGAAUUUGCAAAUGCCUGCAAAAUAAACCACAAGUCGUUUGGUAACUAAACCAUAAAUUCUCAAGUAUGAGAUUUUGUAAGGGAGAAAAAGAGAGAUUAAUCGACCUUAAGAUGUUUUCUCAGCAGUGUUAAUGCAUUGAUAUUCUCAGCCAAUUUGAAGCAGUUAAAGGCUCUAAUAGCAGCCAUAUCCACUAAAUUGCAUACUUUUGAUGGACUUGCAACUACUUCAAGUGAAGAACAACCAUCUAGCCUCACAUCUUCUAUACUUGUUGGUAGCUCAGGCAACGAGUUAAGCUUCAUGCAAUUUGAUAAUUCAAGCAAUUUAAGCUUGGUAAGUUGAGUCAGAGCCAAAGGAACGGUGAUGAAAUUGUUACCUUUAAGAUAAAGCCAUUUCAAAGAGGAUAGACCAUGAAUAUCUGCUUCACCAAGAGUGCAAAUGUUGCAAUUUGACAGUAUAAGAUCUUCAAGCUUGGAGAGUCGUGUAAGAGAUGCAGGUAUACUGGUGAAAUUGUUACCACUAAGAUCAAGUUCUUUCAAAGAGGAUAGACCAGAAAUAUCAGGGGGAAUAUCUCCUUCACAAAGAUUGCGGUCCCUUAGAUUUAGCUUUCCUAAUGAACUCAAACCUGACAAUGAAGGUAACAUCGGAGCGAUGGAAUUUGUCCUUCCUCUUUUGCAUCCAUUGAAAGACAGAACUUUAAGAUUUUUAAAUUGAAAAAUGAAGGGUGGGGGUUCUGUUAUGGCUGUUUCACUAAAGUCGAGCUCUUCCAAAAACUUUGCAUGCUGCAAAUUCUCUGAUAAAUUUUCAACUCUAUAACAACCGGAAAGAUCUAGAGUUUUUAGACGUUUCAUUUUCCUAUCAAUCUCCGGAAACCUUAUAAGACUUGAGCAACCCGAAAGAAUUAAUGUUUCAAGAGAUUCCAUUCCAAUUAUGGUCGGAAGACUCCUAAGACUUUUGCAAUCUCUUAAAUUCAAAACUUUAAGGCUCUUUAGUACUGCGAUUGAUGGAUGGACAUCCACUAAUUUGGUACAACCCUUCAAUGUUAGAACUUCAAGAUUUGAUGCCGUUGUGAAGUCUGGUGUCUUGAUCAAGUUUUGGGACCCUUCAAGGUUCAUCAAUUUCAACUUACACAAGGGCUAUUGAAGAUCACAAUAAAUUAGAAACAAAUGAGAAAACAUAAUAAGCUUAUUUUUCUUUUUCACCUUAAUCAAAGUUUAAUCAUUUAUAUUAAAAUAAGCUAAAAAAACAAGGAUGAGAUGAGUUAAUUCUUACUCUAUUUCCCUUCCAUAGUUGUUGAAUACGACUAUAUGGUAAAAGAAGUGCAAUAAGAUUGUCCGGUUGGAAGCUUGAAGGCAAUGAUUUUAAAGGGCAUCCUUUCCAAUCUAAAAGCCGUAGCUCAUUAGAAAGAAAUUUGAGAUAAUCACAAUUUGACAGGCAAAGUACUUUGAGCAAUCUCAAUUUUUUCAUUUUUGAAAAGGCAUCGACACUCAAGUUGAGCAUCUUGCUCGAUUCCCUAAUAAUCAUGAAUAAAACAAAAUGAAAAUGAGCUUCACAAUAUACAAAACCAUUCAUAUCUAAAAGUUAUGUUAUAAUCUAAUUCAUUGAUAUACUAUUAAUAUUUCAAAAAGACAUACAUUUCUCUAUUGAUUCUUUUGAAAGAGUAAUACGCUACAAGAUAAAUUUCAUAAUUAAACAUUGAAAUGUAAGUGUCAAAGGUUUUGCUAUAAUUUCUUAUUAUAUUUAAAAAUAUAAAAUAAUUAUUUACAAUACACAUAAAUAUAAGUUUAUAUAUCUUCUUACCUUUUAUUAUCGAUGAUUAUACUUUCAAUCAUUUCUGUACCCUAAGAAAAAUCAAGAAUAGAAAAUAAGAAAACAAAAUAAAUGGUGUAUAAUGUAGAAUAAAACUUUUAAAAACUUACAUUUUUAUUUAGCAUUAUUAUAUUCUAAAUAUAAUAAAUAAAGCAUUUUAAAUGAAGUAAAACAAUUUCUACAAAUAUUAUGCUCUAAAGAGGGUAAUACAAUGAAAUCAAAUAUUUAUUUCUACAAAUCUUUUUAAUAUUUGAAAACAUCAAACAUCACUUAUCUCAAAGUUACUAAAUAUCACCUUUUAAGAAUAGUUGUAUCAACCAAUUUGAUUAAGCUUUGGAUAUAUAUCAUAUAUUGAUUUGUUAUUAUAUAACAAAAUAGAAAUAGUAUGUAACUUUUGUUAAAUGACUUACAGUGUUUUUUGUUAGGACAUGAUGGACGUCCAUUUCCUCCCACAAUCUGCAACGUUUUCCAGGUUCAUCAACACAUUUUUCUUUAACAAUUUUUCUUCCCAUUUCUUGCAACAAGUUAUGCAUCCUCAAUUCUUUGUGUUCAUCGACUUUUAUGAGAGAUUUUUUAAUGAGAACAUCAAUGCCAAUAUCUGGGAAAAACUCACAACCAUCCAAUACUUUGAUUACAAAAUCUUUCUUCUCCCCAUUGAAGAAGCAUGCUAUAUCUAGAAAUAUAUUCUUCUCCGUUUCUUCCAGGCCAUCAAAACUAAUUCGAAGUUUAUCGAGAAUUUCUUUAUUAGAAUCUCUUUUAAGUCUUUCAAUUGCACUUCUCCAUACAGUAGCAUCUCUACCGCACAAAAAGCAACCCAAAAUUUCAAGAGCUAAAGGGAGACCAUCAGCAUAUUUUACAACAUGGAAAGAAAGCCCAAUGAAAUCUUCCGGUACUGUAGCACUAUGGAAAGCUUUCCGGUUGAAAAGUUGCAGCGCAUCUUUGGUAUUCAAUGUUGUGGAGAUAUACACGUCAUCAACUUGGCAACAUCGAAGCAAAUGUUCGUCUCUUGUUGUUACAAUGAUUCUACUCCCUAAUCUGAACCAAUCAUGCCUUCCAGCCAAGUAUUUUAAGUGUUGUAUGUUAUCAACAUCAUCAAGAACAACAAGAACCUUUUUGCGAGGCAACAUAUGUCUAAUUAUAUUAUUCCCUUCAUCAACAUUGGAAAUUCUGGAGUAGUCAUCGUAAAAGAUAUCUGAAAGAAGACGUUUCUGUAAAGAAACUAGUCCAUAUUUUUCUGAAUCUUCUCGAAUAUUAGCAAUAAAGCUUUUAGCUUCAAAAUGAGGUGAAAAUUCAUUAUAAGCACGGUUUGCGAGUGUUGUUUUACCGAUACCACCCAUUCCACAAAUCCCUAUAAUGCGGACAUCAUUUUCCCCGAUGUUUAUUUUCAAAUAUAAACCCUCCAAGCGUUCAGGAAUUCCAACCAAGCCACUAUCAUGAGUAACUGGAUAUGCCUGACAAAGUUUUGUUGAUAUCUCCUGAACAAUCUCCCUAAUAAAGUCUGAUUCAUGCCUAAAAAAAAAAGAAAUUUUAAUUUUUUUUGUAUAAAUUAAAAUUUUGUUGAUGUCUUUCAAAUGCACUUUCUUUUUCAAUGAAUUAUGAAACAUAAUAUAAUUUGGAAGCAAGAAUUAAAAAGCAAGAUCUGUUGCGGGACCAGAACACAAAAUUUGCUCUUUUAUUGAAAUAUGACACUUUUCAAUUAAACACAUAGGAUUGGACUUGUUAUUUAAAUAGAAAAGAAAGAAUUACCUGUUAUUUAAAUGCCAUCCCCUGACUCCAGCCACUAGAAUUAAAGCAUUUCGCCACCUUUGGAUCUUCUCACUUUCUUCUUUGUAUCUCUCUUCAUGUCUGGCAAAGGCUUCUUUCACUUUCCCUUUUUGAUUUCUUAAAUCAGAUGGAUCAACAUCGUAAAAAAUUGGAAACACUUUAUGGCCGUCGUUUUUAUGUUGUUUAACAAUCUCAGCAAGCUCCUCCAAGCACCAACUUGAAAAGGCAUAAGUUUCUGAAAAAACGAUUACCGAGCACCAUGAUUCCUGAAUUGCUUUCAAGAGUUCUGGCGCGAUCUCUUCGCCGGCCUCCAGCUUUUGAUCAUCCCUGAAAGUGACGAUCCAUCUCCUCUUUAAAGCAGCAUAGAGAUGAUCGGUGAAGUUUCUGCGAGUAUCUUCACCUCUAAAACUCAAGAAAACAUCAUAUUUCUUUCUAGAAUUGGAUGAGGAAGUUGAAGGUAAUGACAACAUGACGAUGUUUGAGAAGAAAAAUAUAUCUCGAUGUAGUGUUUAAAAUCAGAAAACCGAUCGUUCAAUACGUCUGAAAGAAACUAGAAACAAUAAGAAUAUGAGAAUGAAGAAGGAAAACAGAUCAAAAUUCCAGGGAAGAGUAAAGGUGGUUUCUAAGCAAAUUUUAACCUUUUCGUUUUCCAAAUGAAUGCGCGUAGGUGUGGAAAUUGGGGGGUCAUAAAUGAGUGAUGCAUGUGAAUCCAAGAAGGUGGGUGUUGAUAAAAUGGAGCCUACAAUAAUUGCAAGUCUUCUUUAAGUUUGUGUUUUACUUGCUUUCUCUGUUAACUUUUGAAUUUUUUUUGGUUAAAUCACUCUAAAAUGUAUAGAAAAAAUAAUAUUUAUUCACUUUAUUGAUGUGGCAUACGUGUGAAUUACCAUGCAGAUGACAUAUCAGUAUUUAAUUAAUUUUUAAAAUUUUUAAAAAUAUUUUUAUAAUUUUUAAUAUUUUUAAAUUUUAAAAAUAUUUUUUAUUUUUUAAUUUAAAAAAAAUUAAUUAAAUGAUGUUAUUCAUGUGCAUGUAUGCUAUAUCAAUAAACACAAGUUAAAAACCUAAAACACAAAAGAAUUAAAUAAAUAACUAAAAUAUUUUUUUUUAUAAAAUUUGACGGUAAAAUAAAUCCUUCAACCUGGAAAUCAAGCAAGGAGAGAUCAACCUACAGGAUGGAUGAGGACUAAGCCUUGCAUGGUUUUUUGUUUUUUAUUUUUUAUUUAUAUUUUAUUUUCUUUUUAGAUGGCACUGACUUUUUAAAAUGACAUUUUCUUUUUAGUGCCCUUAAAAUUUUAAAUUUGUAAUGAUAAAAUUACACUUUGACUCCCUUAAAAAUGAUAAAAAUUAAAUUUAAUCCUUUAAAAAUUAUAAAUAUAUAAACCAAUAAAAUGAAAAAAAAUAUAUUUUUACUAUUAUAAAAAAUACAAUUUAAUUUCAACCAAAAAAUUUCCUUUCUUUGCCCUGCCUAUAUUAGGGCUUGGGGUAGGGAGUUAGAAAAUCAUCUUAUUCAUUUCUUUCUCAAUUUUGCAUGGAUGCAACAAUAGAGCCAUGUAGAGGCCCAUGGGCCAUGGGUCUCCAAAAUUUAAUUUAAUUUUUUCAAAUUUAAUCCUUUAUAAAUAUAGUAUGACCCUUCUAGAAAUAUAAGUAGGUCUUCUGAGGCUUAAGAUUUUUGUAAUUUCUCCCUUUAUAGUAUUAAAAAUAUAAGUAAGCCCCUCCAAUAUUUUUAUAGUAUUAAAAAUAAUAUUAAAAAAAUUAUUCUUGAUAUCACAAAAAAAGAUUGAUCUAUAUCAUUGAUUUAUUAACUUAUCUCAAAUUGAGAAAUUUUUCCUAAUAUCACAGAAAACACGACCAUUGAAAAUCUUGCUCACCUCAACCGAAAUCAUAUCUCUAAACCCUAAUUUUAGACAUGAACAAAAAAUAAAUCUAUUAAUUUUUUAAAAAAAUAUUGGAUAUGAAUGUGUCUCUCACAUGAAAAUGACCUUCCAAUUAAUUAAAGGGUAAACUGCAAAAAUAGUCACUUUUGUUUGUCUCAGGUUACAUUUUAGUCACUUAUGUUUGAAAUGUUACGUUUUAGUCCCUUAUGUUAUAAUUUUGUUACGAAAUGGUCACUCUUCCGUUAAGUUUCGUUAUCUCUCUAACUAUAAUCCUACGUGGCAGUCCAACUAGAUUUUAAGUGCCAACUUGGAUUUCCUAAUGGGAUGAGAAUAGAUUUUUUAUUAAAUAAAUUUAAUUAAUUACAAAUUUUAAACCCUAAAUCUGAGUUAAAAAAUCAUUCAUCUCCCCCUUUUUUUAGUUUUCUUUUUCAAUUAACUAAAAAAGCUAUUAUCAUCAAAAAAAAAUUAUUCACGUGCAAAAACAAAAGAGGAUUCAAUGGAGGGUCCAGCAACAAUUUUAUGUUCUAAAACUUAAAAUGGAGUGGUUGUCGACAAAUAAGAAGAUGGUAAUCAUUAUUGUCCCUAAUCAUUGUAUUUUCCAAUUCUUCACAUUCUUGAAUAAUUAGUUUUUCAAUCUGAUUUUUUCUGAUCUGAAUCAACUUAUUUGUUCACAAUCCCUUUGUGGGUAUCCCUUUUUUCUAAUCUGAAAUUCUUUUAGUUGUUAAUAUUUAUAUCAAGAAUUUUAAUUUAGGGUUUUGAUUAAACAAUAAAAUAUCCAAUCUUUUGUUUUUCAGUAUUGAAUAAAAGAGAUAGAAAAGAAUGUAAAGAAGAAAUACCUGAACCCUCCAUUGAAUCCAUCUUUAUGAAGCAGUCAAUUUGAUUUCAACUAUUUUGAUAUUAAUAAUAGUUUUUCCGGUCAAAUGAAAAAAAACCAUUGAAAAAAGAAGAGACUGAAGAAAAAUUAAAAAGAAAAAACGAACAGUUUUUUUAGUUAAGGUUUAAGUUUAAAAAUUUUAAUUAAUUACAUUCUUUAAUUAAAAAUCUAUUUUCAUCCCAUUUAGAAAUCCAAGUUGGCAUCUAAAAUCUAGUUGAACUGCCACAUAAGAUUACCGUUAGAGAGAUAACAAAACUUAACGGUAGAGUGAUCACUUCGUAACAAAAUAGUAACAUAAGUGACUAAAACGUAACAUUUUAAACAUAAGUGACUAAAAUGUAACCUGAGGCAAAUAAAAGUGACUAUUUUUAUAGAUUACCCUUAAUUAAAAGAGCAUACUCUUUAUAUUCAUAUUUGAAUAAGUGUUAAAAAUAAAUGUCUAAACAUAAAUACUUUUAAAAGGUAUAAACGGAAGAGUUGAAAUAAUAUUAUUUGUACUUCAAGCCAUAAAAUUUAAAUGGUACUUUUAUUAGAAGAAAUUAAACCUAUUUGAGUAUUGUAAAGGACUUAUAUUUAAUAUUCUAAAUAUAUAAAAACAAUUUUAAUUGAUUAAACUAAACACAUAAGUUGGUCUCAAAAAAAAUGAAACAAUUAACUUAGCCCAAAUUAUGAUCUUAUCCUUGUUAAAGGAUUUUUCACUUUAUUAUUACCUGUUUUGUCACGAAACUAUCCAUUUUUCUUCACAUUUCUAUCUCAAUUUGAUUAUAUUUACUUCAACCUACAAAUAAAAUAUAAAUGUAACUGAAUAUAUAUAAUGAAAAUAAAAUUUAAUAAAUAAAUAAAACCAAUUAAAAUGUACACAUUUUAAUUAUGUAAAAAGGAAUGAAUUGAACGACUAAAAUUUUAAAUAGUAAAAAAAUAUAAAUUAAGUGAUUAAAAUUUUAAAUGGUAUAAAAAACUAUAUUAUUAACAGUUGAGAUAUGUACAUAUUCAAUACGAUUGCAUGGCUAAAAAUUUUAAAUUUUUUUAAUAUAUAUUAAAAAAAAUCAUAUCUUAUACGCAAAUAAAUUUAAAAUGAUUAUUUUAAGUGAAAUAGAAGUACUAGUACAUGGUUGGUUAAGUACUUUGCCACAAUUAAUGCUUCUUCCCCGAUUGGCCCAUCAUAAAAUUGAAAAUUUUUUGCAUCCAUUUUGGUUGCGGCCAUUCUUCCUCUGCUUCCUCGUCGAUCUUACAUUUUCGGUUUGAUGUGAGAAGUGCUACCUACUGAUCUAUGGUUGUGAGCAGAGUGUUGGUGGAUGUGUUCAAAAUUUGGAGAAGAUUGAGUGGUAUGGCACUACAACUCUUUUAUUUCUUCCAAAUCUUUCUCAUACAUUAUUCUAGCACCACAGUUCUUCACCUUAGCAUUGGGUUUACAUGUAUGUAAGAAAGACACAUCAAGCUCACAGUCACCAUAUUUAUCCUCCAAUGAAAAUGGAAAUAAUUUAUCACGCGACCAAUAACGAAGAAAAAGGUGAUCUUUCGUUAUGGGCUGAUUCCUACCUGUCAACAAAAUAUAGCCCCACCAAUCAACCUGUCGACGAUUUCUACCUCGAAAAAUAGAUCCAUUAAGACUGGCUUGUUCAGAAUUUCCACAAUAUAUAAAUGCUCCACAACGGAUUUUCUCGUCAUAGCAUGAAGCAUCAUUAUUGACAAAAAUGCAGCAAGAAGGAACUCCAAUCCAUUCACUAUCUUUCCGAAGGUUGAUAGGUAGCAGUAUCUUAAUCGAAGAGUCACUUUUUUUAUCCUGCAGGGAAUUCUCGAGCUUUGAUAACUGACCAAAAAGAAAACUUCUACAACGACCUAAUUGUGUUUUUUUAAUGAUUUUUAAGUGCUUAUUUUCAUCUUAUUAAAUUAUUGUAUUAAUUAAACUAUGAAAUUAUAUUAUUAUAAAAUGUGUGGUAUUUAUAUCAGGGAUUUUAUAUAACUUCCAAAUGACAUUCAAGUAUUCGACUUUUAUUUUCAAAAUACAUUUUGCUUGGUCAUGAACCAUAAGAGAGCUAGGCAAAUUUAGACAUCUCUACGUCAAUUUCUGUUGAGAUAAAAGUUUAUAUGAAAAAUUAAAUAAAUUUUUAGUUGAAAUGGUAAACUUAAAUGUUAAAAUUUUAUUGUGUGUUGAGUUAAGUUUUUAUUAAUUUUUGUACAAAAUAUGAAAAGAUAAAAAUAAUUAAUAAUAUAACGUACUUUGUAUAUUUGUCACACCAACUUAGAUAAUAAUUUAAAUAUAUAUAAAUAAAAAUAUUUUUAAAAGAUACAAAAAUGUGACAAUCUGUACCAUUUUUAUUUUUUAUAUAAUAUUCUGAAUAUUAUUACCAUAUGAAAAACAACAUAAAUAUAAAUUUAAAUAUUUUUAAUAUAUAUAUAUUAGAGGUAAAGAAUUGUCAACGAAAUUUAGAGUGUUUCAUUAUCAGAUGAUAACAUCACGUUUACCAAAUAAUUUCAUCUUAUCAUCUUAAAAGGCAAGCAAUUUCCUUUCCACUGACCGGUAAAACCCCGGAAAUUUCUUUGAGGCCUUAAUGAAGUCGAUUAAGACAAUGGUAUUUUGGUUUUUUUUUUUUUUUGUAUUUAUAUUGGACUAAUGGUGCAGAAUAACUUGUGUACCCAACAAAACUGACUAGAUCCCUCAAUCUCUAUUGUUUUUUUUUUUUUUUGUGUGUGUAAUGAUGUCUUGCUUGAUCAUGCUUGUGUUGCUUUUCCUCCUGAACCUUGCAUCUUCAGAUAUCAAUCAGGGUCAGUUCAGUUUCAAUGGUUACUUGAAUGUUGAUGGAGUUGCAGGCGUAGAUUCAAGUGGGCUCUUUAAACUGACUAAUUCUACAAUCCAAUCAACAGGUCACAUCUUCUACAAGAAUCCAAUCCAAUUCAAGAACUCCACAAAUGGUAGUGUUUUCUCUUUUUCGACCACAUUCUUUUUUGCAAUUGUACCGGAGGAAUACCCUACUUUGUCUGGCCAUGGAUUAGCCUUUUUAAUCUCGCCUAAUAAUAGAACUCCUGGAGCUCUUCCCAGCCAGUAUCUUGGUCUUUUCAAUCAAUCAAACAACGGUGACAGCUCAAAUCAUAUUGUUGCGGUUGAGCUGGACACAAUUAUGAGCAGCGAAUUCGAUGACAUAAACAAUAACCAUGUUGGCAUCGAUAUCAAUGGCCUAAACUCAAUGGUAUCUGCUCCUGCAGGGUAUUUCACUGAUGAAGGCAAGUUCAUAAAUGUCGCCCUUAUAAGCGGAGAUCCACUGCAGAUUUGGGUUGAAUACAAUGGGAUGAAAAAACAACUCAAUGUUACGUUGUAUCCAAUCAAUAUAUCAAAGCCAAAAACCCCACUUUUAUCCUUCAAACGGGAUUUGUCUCCGUAUAUUUAUGACUAUGUAUGUAGGUUUCUCAUCCUCCGCAGGUUCGAUUCUAUCAUCACACUACAUAUUGGCAUGGAGUUUCAAGAUGAAUGGCUCAGCUGAGGAGCUAGAUUUGUCUCACCUUCCAAAAAUUCCACGAUAUGAUAAUGAUAAUAAUCGAGGAAUCAAGCAAUUGAAGAGGAUUUUGGCUUUCACCCUUUCUUUCACAGGUCUCACUUUAGUCCUCGUAUUGGUUUUCGGGUUUGUGUUGAUCUCAAGGAAGAAGAGAUUCAUGGAGAUUCUGGAGGAUUGGGAGGUUCAGUACGGGCCUCAUAGAUUCUCUUAUAAAGAUCUAUUCAAAGCUACAAAGGGGUUUAAAGAAAAGGAAGUUCUAGGGAGAGGUGGAUUUGGUAGGGUGUAUAAGGGUGUUUUACCCUCUUCCAACAUACAAAUUGCCGUCAAAAGGAUCUCUCAUGAUUCAAGGCAAGGUAUGAGGGAAUUCGUGGCUGAGAUUGCAACCAUCGGUCGCCUCAGGCAUCCGAAUUUGGUUCGACUUCUCGGUUAUUGCAGGCGCAAGAACGAGUUGCUUUUGGUUUAUGACUACAUGCCUAAUGGAAGCCUUGACAAGUUUCUUUAUCACCAACCUAAUAGCAGUCUUAAUUGGACACAAAGGUUUAAGAUCAUCAAGGACGUAGCGUCCGCGUUGUUCUAUCUCCACCAGCAAUGGAUGCAAGUCAUCAUUCACAGAGAUAUCAAGCCUACCAAUGUGCUGAUAGACGGUGACAUGAACGCC
This 124662-nucleotide long non-coding RNA is filed under the name Gossypium barbadense (sea-island cotton). Its description in RNAcentral is "long non-coding RNA (GBAR_LNC010982)". Lineage: Eukaryota; Viridiplantae; Streptophyta; Magnoliopsida; Malvales; Malvaceae. The record is from RNAcentral.